AGUGAUAGUGUUUUAUGACCUUCACAGGUAUGGAGCAAUGACAUUUAUGAUAGCUUAGUCCACAGAGUGGUCGUGAACUCUCAACUCGAGAGGUUCUCAAGCAUCCUUGCGGUUGUACCUUCUUACCAUACCAUUGUGAAGCCAUUAGAGGAGCUGGUUGAUGAAAACAACCCUGCAAAUUAUAAUGAAUACAAAUGGGGUGAAUACUUUAUGACAAGGAGGAUCAGCAAUUUCAUGAAGUUGGACAAGCCUGUGAUUCAGGUUGCAGACUUUAGAAAGUCCAAAUAAGCCACUCUCAUUGUGAGAUGUUUGCAAUGCUUUGUGCCCUUGCUUGCUCGCUCUUGCUUUCCUUUCAGCGUUUCUACUACUAAGGUCUUCCGUAUUUCUACUAAUAAGGCCUAUCUCUAGUGUUUGUUAGAAUAAGUGGCUUUGUUCCACAAAAUAUGUACCUGAUAAAUUAAAUAAAUUUGCAAUGAAAUAUGGUUUGUAUCAUCCUAUUGUAUUAAGAUUGACAAAUUUUGAUCACCCUCUCUCUCUCACACACAUACAGAACAUGCAUACCUCUCUAUAAACGUGCCUCUCUCAUCUCUCUCAUACGCAACAUAAAUCUAUUUUGAGAUUGGGCUAGGUUGGCUGUAGUACCAACGAGCUUUGCAAUAAAGUCUAUUACUCUAAGGGUAGGGCCCAAAUCCCCAUUGGCCUUUCAAAAAAAAAUAGCAAAUAACUUCUUUAAAAAGGGUUUUUAAGUGGAUUUUUUUUUUAAAUUUAUGUUUUUUUUAAGUGGAUUUAUUUUUCAAAAAAAUAUAAGGAAAGAACUUGUUCAAAAAGAAAAACCAGCAACUUAAUCUAAUACUUACUAAAAAAGAAAGGAAAGGAAAGGACGUGCUUCAUCAUCCUAAAAAACUGAACAAAAAUGGACUCUUAAUAUUUAUUCUAAUUUAAACUUACUAAAAAAAGGAAAAGUCAACCUCACAAAAGAGAAAGAAACAAAGUUUCCUAAAAAACAACUCAUGUAAAAGAAAGAAAAAAAAGACCUAAAAAAAACAUAAGUACCCGGUUUCUAUGCGGCCAGCCUUCAUAUAUAGAAAUGCGGGCCUUUUAAUAAAUCUAUUUUUUAAAUUGAUUUUAAGACUUAAUUUUUUAAGACAUGUAAUCUCUAACAUGGAGAUCAUGAAUAUAAAAAACCAAAUAAAUUUUAAAACUAAAAAUAAUAACUCUUGUAAGAAUACAUUUGGACCGUAAAUUUCCAUUGUUUUUAGAUGAAACACGUACUUGCAUCCAUCUUUAAGAUGGAUGCUUUACACUUUCUGGAUUGCAUAUAUAGAUAUGCGGUCCAGCUCGCAUGAACAAUUUUUUAAAAAUAAAGGACUUAUACUUUUGAAAAAAAUGCAUUUUCUUAAAAAAAUAGGUUUUUAUUAAACUAACCUAAAAAUCAUAUUUUUACCAAUUAACCCUAAUAAAAAAAAAAGAGUCAACCAACAUCUUUAAAAAUAAAAUUAAUAAAUUAAAAUUAAAUUAAAUUUAAAUUUAAAUUAAAUUAAAAUUAAAAUUAAAAUUAAAANNNNNNNNNNNNNNNNNNNNNNNNNNNNNNNNNNNNNNNNNNNNNNNNNNNNNNNNNNNNNNNNNNNNNNNNNNNNNNNNNNNNNNNNNNNNNNNNNNNNNNNNNNNNNNNNNNNNNNNNNNNNNNNNNNNNNNNNNNNNNNNNNNNNNNNNNNNNNNNNNNNNNNNNNNNNNNNNNNNNNNNNNNNNNNNNNNNNNNNNNNNNNNNNNNNNNNNNNNNNNNNNNNNNNNNNNNNNNNNNNNNNNNNNNNNNNNNNNNNNNNNNNNNNNNNNNNNNNNNNNNNNNNNNNNNNNNNNNNNNNNNNNNNNNNNNNNNNNNNNNNNNNNNNNNNNNNNNNNNNNNNNNNNNNNNNNNNNNNNNNNNNNNNNNNNNNNNNNNNNNNNNNNNNNNNNNNNNNNNNNNNNNNNNNNNNNNNNNNNNNNNNNNNNNNNNNNNNNNNNNNNNNNNNNNNNNNNNNNNNNNNNNNNNNNNNNNNNNNNNNNNNNNNNNNNNNNNNNNNNNNNNNNNNNNNNNNNNNNNNNNNNNNNNNNNNNNNNNNNNNNNNNNNNNNNNNNNNNNNNNNNNNNNNNNNNNNNNNNNNNNNNNNNNNNNNNNNNNNNNNNNNNNNNNNNNNNNNNNNNNNNNNNNNNNNNNNNNNNNNNNNNNNNNNNNNNNNNNNNNNNNNNNNNNNNNNNNNNNNNNNNNNNNNNNNNNNNNNNNNNNNNNNNNNNNNNNNNNNNNAGAUUCACCUAUUGCUUCUCCUUUGAGGCAUUUCUUUUUUUUCUUUGUCAAAUAUUGGUUUAAUCACACAAUAUUGAUCAUCAUUACAGAUUAAUCUCAUACAAAACCUUGAUCUUCAUCUAAGUAUGUAUCGAAAAUUGGUGGAAGAUCCCAAUUUAUAACUUGCAAAAUUUUGAUACAAUCGACGUCAAAAUCAGCCUCGUUCCAUUCAAAUCACGCAGAUCAAUUAAAUCUCAUAAUUUAUUCUCUUCAACAUGGGGCUCCCGACACGGAGCAUGCGCAUAGAACAUAUACUCGAAAAUAACUUCCGACUCACUACUAUCGUCAUAGUGUGUUACUACUUGGUUUUGUGCCAAGCGCUAGGUCAAUUCCUCAACUUGCCUUUUCAAGUCUUUUAUCUCAGUAUCUCGGAGGUUUGCUCUCGCUGGAUAGGCUUAUUCUCGAUAUCUGGUCGUAGACCAUGUUACAAGCGAUGAUGCCUUAUUGAUGAAGGCCACAAUCCACAAGAAUUGACUGAAGGCCACAAUCCACAAAAAUUAACAGGCGCUAAUAACCGGCAAAAGAAUCAUAGUUUUAGAAAGAAAUUAAGAAACUGACAAAAAAUUUGUAAGUAGAAAACACUGAUGUGGGGAUCCGAGAUCUACACCACAUACCAUCAACAAGAGUAGAAGCAAAGAAAAACAAGAGUCAUGCUCCCUCUUUCGCUCUACAAAAUAAUCGUUUUUUUUAUUCAACCAAAAUUCAUCAUCCAAUACAUUGUAUGUGUUCCUUUUUUAUACACUAAGAAACUUGCUUUCUAAAACUCCCUACAAAAAAGGAAGUCCACUACUUCAAUGUUAAUCCUAAUAGGGAUCUUUGUUAACCAAAAGAUAAGGAAAAAAACUUAUUCAAAAUAAGAAACUAUCAACUCAAUCUAAUAUUUACUUAAAAAAUAAAGGAAAGGAUGUGCUUCAUCAUCCUAAAAUAACUCAACAAAAACGGACUCCUUCAAAAGACAACUCCAAAUAUUUAUUACAAUUUAAACAUACUAAAGAAAAUGAUAAGUCAACCUCACAAAAGAAAAAAUAUCCUACGAAACAAAAGUACUCUAAAAUAAGAAACUUGUGCAUAAGAAAGAAGGAAACAGACUAAACUAGGCCUUAUUUGUAAGCUAGGCUUUGCGAAGGCACAUGAUAAGGUUGAUUGCGGGGUCCUGCACAGUAUCAUGGAUAAAAUGGGUUUUCGUUCAAGAUGGAGAUUGUGGAUUGAUGGUUGCAUAUCUUCUACCCAUUUUUUAGUUCUUGUUAAUGGCAAAUAAACAUGUUUUUUCAAAGCAUCAAGAGGAUUGAGACAAUGAGACCCUCUUUCACCUUUUUCAUAUACUUUGGUAGCUGAGAGCUUUAGUGUUACACUUAAUGGAUUGAUAGGGCAAAGGAUCAUAUCAGGUGUUAAUAUUAAUAAUAACGGUCUUGUAGUAUCACAUUUACAGUAUGCUGAUGAUAUCAUUAUAUUCUAUGAUCCCACGAUUACUGAAAUCACUUGCCUAUGGAUUUUCUUGAAAAGCGUGGAACUCUCAAUUGCACUUAAAGUUAAUUUAAGUAAAACCAAGCUUAUUGGUAUUGGCUGUCCACAAAUGGUAGUAUCAGGAAUGACACAUUUAUUAGGUUGUGGUGUUGAGUCAUUACCUUGUACUUAUUUGGGAAUUCCCUUAGUGGAUUCAAGGCCUUCAAGAUCAAUUUGGGAUUUGGUGGUGGAGAGAUUUGAGACGAAACUGGAUACUUGGAAAACUAAAACUCUUUCCAUGGGGGGAAGAUUUACGUUGAUUAAAUCCACUUUGUUUAACCUCCCAAUAUAUUUUGUCUUUAUUUAAAUGCCAAAAGAAGUUGAAAAAUAACUGGAGAGAGUUAUGAGAAAUUUCUUGUGGGGAGAUGACAUAAGAAGGAAGAGAUUUCAACUGUUGAGUUGGGAAAAAGUUUGUAGACCAAUGAAGGAGGGGGGAUUGGGUGUUAGGAGACUGAAACAUAUGAACUCGCCGAUUUUAGUAAAAUGGUGGUAGAGGAUCCAUACACAACCUAAGUCUUUCUGGGUUUUCUUAGAGAAAAAUAUGGAAUGGAUUUGAACUUUGGCCUUAUUAAAAGUCCAAGAAACAAGACAAGUUGGUCUCAUGUUUGGAGAGGUAUUGACUAUGAGAGAUCUGUGUAUCUAUGGCAAUUCUGAAAAAUAGUGGGGAAUAAAGAGUCCACUCUCUUUUGGUUCGACAAAUGGAUUGAAAAUGAACCGUUGAGAUACCUUUUCCUCGAGGUUUUCACAAAAGCUUUAAACUCGCUAGCAUCUAUCAAGGAGGCUAGUGGGGGUGCUUAUACUAAUAUUAUUUGGUCCAUUCCUUGUAAGUAUAGAAGAGGUACAGACAGAUUCAUUGAGGAGUAUCAAACAUUGUUGAAAUUAUUGAAUGACACAUAUUUGAUUCCAAAUAUGGAUGAUAACUUUAUUUGGGAUCUUAACCCUUCGAGAGACUUUUUGGUUAAGUCAACCUACAACCUAUUAUUUUCUGAUCGUUGGAGAGAAUUAGAUGCUGGUUUAUUUAAGAUUAAGAAAUUGUAUGUGCCUCUUAAACUGCAGUUAUUCUUAUAGAUCUUGUGUUAAGAUAAAUUAGCAACUGUUGACAACUUGAGAAAGAGGGGGUUUAUUAUCACCAAUGUAUGUAUCAUGUGCACAGCCAGUGAUGAAACUUUGUAACAUCUUUUCCUAUCAUGCCCUUUUGUUACUUAUCUUUGGGAUUGGGUUCACCAGUGCCUCAAUCUGUCAUUACCUUUGCACCAAAAUGUCAGUGCGCUUCUUGACCAAUGGAUCACACUCGAUAUUUUAGAGAUGGGAACUAUCCUCUAGAGAUCUAUUUGGGUUCGCCUUUUUUAGAAUGUGUAGAAGGAAAGAAAUAGAAGAGUAUUUGAUAGUAUAAGUGCAGAUAUGUCUAUAUUAAUAUCAAAUAUUUUGGCAGUUGCAGCUGAUUGGUUCCAUGCACAUAAGGAUAGUGGCUUCAUUCCUAAAAGUCUUAUCAUUAGCACUUCUUCGGUAGUGGUGAUUAUGGGUGUUUUCAUCAACACUCGUAGUGAAGUUGUUUGGAUACAACCACCAGUCAAUUCCUUCAAACUUAAUUUUUAUUAGAAUAUUUGAAAUUGCUAUGCACUUUGGAAGGGGACAGGAUUAUCGAAGGAGACUUGACAAAUGUCAUUGCGUAGAGUAAGAGAAAGGCCAAAAUACCUUGGAGAUUAAAGACUAUUUUUCAUCAAAUUUGAGAUAUUUUGUUAACCUCUAUGGCAACGAUCCAACAUUGUUAUAGAGAGGCGAAUGAAGAUGCCGAUGUUCUUGUUAAAGGAGGUGUCCAUUCUCCCUCUCUGUUGGUUAGUUCUUUUAUGUAAUAUUGUGACAUUGCUUGAACAUCUUGUAUUUUACAUAUGAAUUAAUAGUAAGUCGUACGUUGCCCUUCAAAAAAAAAGAAAGAAGGAAAUGGACCUAUUGUUUUACCUUUUAUCAACCUUAUUUCCUCUCAUGUUCUCAUUUUCUCUCUUUGUGCCCUCCAGCACCUUUUUCUCUCUCUGUGAUAUCGGAGCCUAUAGCUUCAACCUUUUAGUUUUUCCAUCCUUUGGCUUUACUGUUUCCCUUGUUUCUUUCCUCACUAUUCAUUCACAAAUUUCAUUGUUGAGUUUCCCUUUUCUCUCUUAACCCACUGUCAAGUCAAUAGUUUUUCCUUGAAAAUACAUACAUUUUGAGCCCAUAACAUAUAGGGAGUUAGUUCACAACUAAGCAUGGUGGGAUUCAGGUUUGAUUAAUUUCGAACAAAUUUGCACAAAUGGCUUGUGAGUGCAUCUAUGAUAACGUUUUUCAUAAAAAAGAGCGUAACACAAUGGGUUUUGGCGAGCCUUUACUAGAAUUUAAAAUUUUACAUUAUGAAAAUAAAGUAUCAUAUGUGAAAGAGAGAUCUGAUCAUACUUUGGGAUGUUCAUGAUCUUCAAAUUUUUCAUCCAGAGAAAAGGCAGAAAGAAAGGAAUGGGUUUCCACAUAUACUUAUCCAAUUUCAGUGACAGAAUCAUGGGAAUAUGUAUUUUACAGUAACCUCUGCCAAAAACUUUAUACCUUUUUUGAACGAUAUCUUCCCCUAAAAUACAAUUAUGCUUGUCUAGUUUUCAUAACAAUAUCAAAAAGGAAACUUUUGAAUUGGAUUUUAGAGUGACAAAGAACAAGUACGCUAUAAAAUGGAAGCUUAGAAUCGAAGAAGAAUCCAUUACACUUCUCUUUCUAAGUUUGAUGUAGAUGCAAGAAUUUUUGAAGAAGAAGAAAUCAUUUGGCAGAUAAAGAUGGCUUCUUGAGGAGACUUGGUUUCAGACGAAUAAAAAGAAGAAAGGAAAAAGAAUACGUACAACAGGAUUCGAGACUAAUCUCGCACGAGAUUAGUGGAAAAAUUCUCUCUUCACAAGUUAUUUAAGAUUAGGUAGAUUGGGGUCUGGUCGAGUUUCGAUCCAAAUGUGAUUUGGUCUUGUACCAGAGCUCCAACCUUCUUUGGAUCUUUUGUGCAAGAAAUAUUGGCACGAAAAUUGGGGAAUGCCUUCGGGGUAUCAAAGGCCACUCUUGUCCACCAUGUGGGGCCAAGAUGAUGUCCUUGUAGUGUCUCUUCAAAAUCUGGCUUUAUUCCACGCAGGCUUCCGUAGUCCUUAGGUUAUAAAGAGUGUGAUUGUAACCGCCUCCUCUCUUAUUGGCAUAGGGGGAGAGUGCAUAAAAAAUAUGGCCGAACACACUUCCCAUCCUUUCUUCGAGGAUCUCAUCCAUCAAGUGGAUAGGUUUGGAAACUUGCCCUCCUCUAAUCAGGGAAUCUAUUUCAUCUUUUUGUAGCUCAAUGGGGGCUGCCCUAGCGAGAGUGAUAUGGUGUUUUGGGGUGUUAUCCCCUUGUGUAUCUUGAUUGGAGGAAGAACCCCUCUCAUUGACCUGGAUCAUGUCAACUUCCAUGGUCUCGUUUUCAUAGUGAUCCCACUUAGGUGGGUUGUCAAAGUUGUCUUGCGAGGGAGGUUCCUUAGAAGAUCCAGUAAGUCUUCUUGGGUUCUUGAGCAUGAAGGUGACCAUCUUGAGGGAAUAUGAAUGGGGUCGGAUCUUUGCCUUCAACACCACUUCUGAUCUUAUGAAUAACAACAUUUCCCUUGGUGUUGUAGUGGAUCUCGGGAUUUUCAUUCAUUGUCGACGUGUUUUCGGGAAAGGGGUUCUCAAAUAUACCCAUAUUUUAAUUGGGUGCUUCGACAGGUUGGUUCUUCGGUGUAACAGUGAUGUCCCCCUUAUUGAUUAAUCUACGAAUGACACACUUCGAGUGGUAACAAGUAUGGGUGUUAUGUGCAUAGUUUCGAUGCCAUUUGCACCAUUUCAUCUUGUCCUUGACUGAGAAGGGUGGCUUGGAUGGUGCUAAGAGAUAAACGAAAUCUUUAGACCAGAGUAGUUCGAGCACCUUUUCCAAUAGGUCUUUGAGAGGAGUAAAAUUAUCCUCUCGUCUCCUAUUGUCAUUUUGAGAAUGACCAAUGGGUCACCUCCUCUGAUUUUGGUUUUGAAAGUUUUGCCAAGUGGCGGAGCCUUGAGCCUGCCGUUAAUAACAAUCUCAUUAACUUGGUCGGAAGUACUCCCUCUCUUGUUAUUAUUGUUGUUUCUGAGUGACUUAUUUUGGGGAGUGGUUAUAGGCUUGUUCUCGGGCUUUGUGCUAAUGGAAAUCCCCUGUGCCCUUUCAUGAAGUGCUACUCUUUUGAUCAUGGAGAUAAAAGAGUAAGGGAAAAGACCAUGAUUGAAUAACAUUCUAUAUUCGAAAGCAACAUUCUCCAAAGCUCUGGAGAUCUUUGCGGGGUCUGUGAGUGGCAUUCGAUAACCUGCAUCGCAGCCUCCCGAAAUCUGUUACUGAAAUCUUUGAAGGACUCUCCUAGAUUUUUCUUUGUUGUGCUUAUUCACCGAGGAAGAGAGCCCUUGGUGCUACCUCCCAGUAGUGGGAGGCAAAUUCUAAAAAUCUGAUCUACGUGACAUGCGGCUAUGUAUUCAUUAUUCUUCGAUGCCAGUUUAGAGUUUUACUGGACAACAUUUGUGAGAAUAUGGCUUUUAAUUGAUUAGGCCUAUCUUGCCAAUUUGGGAUAGAGAGAAGAUAUGUGUGGACAUGGGUGUCUGGAUCACAUUUUCCAUUGAAUUUGUUUCAAAAUUAUGACAUUAUGAAUGCAAGCAGACCUUCGUGUAUGCCCAUGAUAUAUACAAUGAAAGAACCACCACAAGAAUUGUGUGGGGCACAAUUAUUUUUCUCAAAAAGUUCCUCUCUCUCUCUCUCAAAUUUUUAAUGGUUUCUGAGCAAACAUUGAUCCAAUCUCUAUUUUUCAUGUUGUUCCUCAAUCCAAAGUAAGUCUCUCCCUCUCCAUUUCAUUUCAUGUUUCAUCUUGGAAAUUUUGUUAAAAAAAAAAAAUCCCUUUGGCUCGAUUUCAUAUUUCAUCUUUCAGUCAACUAACCCAUCGCUUUGCAUCUUUGCAUCCAUCAAUUUUUUUUUUUUUGCAUCAUAUUUCUUUGCCUCCAUUGUUUUGCACUCUUUGCCGCCAUUGUUUUGCAUUUUUUAAAAAAAAAAAAAAAUUGCAUCGUUUUGCACUCUUUGCCUCAUCGUUUUUCUUUGCCUCCAUAUCACCCAAGCAAGCCUCUCACGUCUAACCCAUAGUUCUAAUUUAAUCUUCGGCUUACACUCUAUUUUACACAUUGAAAAGCUCUAAAACUUAUUUGUCAAAAAAAAGAAAAGCUCUAAAACUUGCGCCCACCUUUUUUAGUCGAUCCAUCUAUCUUAAAAAGAUACCUCUUUAUUCUUAUGGACACUUCAUCCUCACCAAACAAAUAUCCCUAUCCCUCAACCUUGAAUAUAGAAAAUUUUGUGUCUCUUAAAUUGACACAGAAUAACUAUUUAUUAUGGGAAACUAAAAUUCUCUCUCAUUGAGAGUCAUAAAAUUUUUGAAUUCAUUAAUAGUGAUUGCUCUACACCAAGUCAAAAUAUUUCUUCUCUUGAUGGUAAGAGUGAAAUAAAAAAUCCAGACUACAAAUUAUGGCUAAAGUCGGACCAGCUUCUUAAAGCUUGGAUCACAUAGACAUUAUUACAAGAAUGUCUUAGCCUUGUUGUUGGCUUCAAGACCUCUAUAGAAGUUUGGAAACAUCUGGAGAAUGCUUAUGCAGGGAAUUCUCAAGCUAGGGAGUUCCAACUUACCCAACAACUUCGACUCUGCAAGAAAGGGAAUUCAACCCUCUCAGAAUACAUAUGCAAAUUCUAGAGUAUUUGUAAUGAUUUGGCGGCUAUUAGAAAAGAUGUACCAUAAGAAAAUAAGGUUAUUUAGCUUCUAAAUUGACUUAGUCCAAAAUAUGAGAGUUUUGUUGUCUAAUGCUUAAGCCUAUGAUUACUUCAUAUUCUAAAAUUAUACCACUUCUUCAAAGCCAUGAGAUUAAAAAUCAGCCCCAUAUCUUUGAAGAACACUCAUAUCCAAAUCAAAAUAUGGCCUUUGCUAGACAAUAGAGAAAUUUGGACCUAACAUAUGUACCAGAAAUUACAGAGGUAGAGGCAUACACAACUUUGGUGGUCAACAGGUUUCUAAUUCUCGAGGGUAUGGAUUUGCUCAAACAUGUUGGAACAAUAACGGGGGACGUGGUUUGCCUCAGAGAAACCAAGAAAGUGGUGGUACAUCUAUUCAACAUAUGAAUCAAAGUUUCAACAAGAUUCACAGAUACAACGAUUAGCUCAAACACCCCAUGAAAAGUGUAAAAUUUGUGGAAAAUUUUGACAUACUGCAUUGAAGUGUUGGCGCCGAUUCAAUCAUAUGUGCUAAGAAAAAGAUAUUCCUCCAGCUCUUGCUACAGUGACAAUAGUAAAUUCCCAAGACUCGGAAUGGUUCCCAGACCCGGUUGGCUCAACUCAUAUGAUAGAAGACCCAGUCAAACUGUAAAACCUUCGCCCUUAUAGUGGUAGAGAUAUAAUCAUGAUUGGCAAUGGUGAGCAAUUAACUAUUUCAUAUGUUGGUGACGCAAAUAUUGAUGUUGGAUCUGAAAAUUUUAAUAUUUUUAAUGCACUUUUGGUGCUAGAGAUAAAAAAGAAUUUACUAUUUGUUAGCCAGUUUAUAAAUUAUUUUUCUUGUAUUUUUUAUUUCUCAUCAAAUGGUUUUCAAAUUAAAGAAAGGAGCACAGGGAGAACUCUAGCCAGCAGGAGUAGAAAUGGUGGACUUUAUGCACUUGAGGAUGUGAAUGAAGCUUUAUUUUCUAAUCAAAAUAAGAAAACAAAGAUGUGCGGCAUCAAUGACUUGGACAUCCUCAAAAUAAAGUAAUACGUUACUUAGAAUCUAAACAGUUGAUUAUUGUUGAUGCAUGUAAUAAAUCUCAUUCUGUUUGUGCUAGCUGUCAGACGGGAAAAUGUUGUAACUCCGAUUUAGUAGUACUGACAAAACCUCUACAAAACCUCUUUUCAAGAUUCAUUCAGAUUUAGGGAUCCUUCAUCAGUUUUAUCUAAUCAGAAUUAUCGCUUUUAUGUGGUAUUUGUAGGUGAUUACACUCGUACUUGGAUUUAUCCUUUGAAAAUAAAAUCUGAAUUUUUCUCUGCAUUUGUGAAAUUUCAUCUAAUGGUUGAAAGGAGAUUUGAUAAACGAAUUCGAAUUUUCAAUGUGAUAGAGGUGGUGAGUUUGCUAAGAAAGAAUUCAUUGCUCAUCUUACUGAGAAUGGAAUUGUGCAACAUAUAUCAUGUCCAGGAACCCCUGAACAAAAUGGAAUAGUUGAAAGGAAAUGUAGAAAUAUUAUAGAAUCGCUUCUUACGAUGAUGUUUUAUACAUGAAUUUCUAAACGAUUUUGGGUUGAAGCUUUCCAUACCGUAGUCUUUGUAAUAAACAAGAUUCUCUCGGCCAAUUUGCAAAUGGAUUCACCGUAUUCUUUGUUGUUUGGUCGUAUACCAGACUAUUCUUCACUCCGAGUUUUUGUUUGUCAGUGUUUUCCGUUCCUUCGAGACUAUGCUGCAAAUAAAUUAUGUAAUCAUUCUCUUACAUGUGUAUUUUUGAGUUACAGUGUUCAGCAUAAGGGUUACAAAUGUCUGCAUCCACCGACAUAGUGAAUUUAUAUCUCUAGACAUGUUGUAUUUGAUGGAAAUAUCUAUCCUUAUGCUAGCCCAAUUCUUUGUUUGAGAGUUCUCAGGUUCAAGGGGAGAUGUCCACCUAUACAUAAUGGUCAGAAUGUUAUGAGCCUGAUAUACAAACUCCUUCCUCUUUUGAUUCAUCACCUCUACAUACACCACCCAUAUGGGAUAAACUUGAUGUAUCUGGUCCCUCAAGUCCCACUUUGCCCACCACCAAUUAUAGUUUUCUAACUUCUCUUAUAGAGGAAGAUGUCACCACUGCAACACCAAUCCAAGAUGUUCAAGAUGAUGUAACACACAAUCAUGAUGAUGAAAAUGUUACUACUCAAGACACCAACCAAUCUAAUUUUUUACAAGCUUCUGAGCAUUUUCAUCAUCACAUGGUCACCAGAUCUAAAGAUGGUACUCAAAUACCUUGAAUUCUCCCAUCUAUGGCAGCAAUCUCAAGUGCUCCUACAUUUGAAGCUAUCCCUCUGAACUUAAAACAUAAAGUCUGCCUUGGUCACUAGGUUAGCAUUCUACGAUGGAAGAGGAAAUUGAAGCCCUACAUGUUAACUCAACUUGGAAGCUAGUUUCAUGUCUUCUAGGUAUGAAUAUUGUUGAUUGUCAUUGGGCCUAUAAGACUAAAUUAAAGUUUGAUGGUAAUCUAGAGAGACUUAAGGCCAAACUAGUUGCUAAAAGAUAUAAUCAGGAUGCUGGAAUUGAUUUCUCUGAAUCAUUCAGUCUGUUAUUAAUCCUGCUAGUAUUCGGAUUGUGCUUCCCAUAACUACUAUGUGCCACUGGCCUAUCAAAUAGCUUGAUAUGAAAAAUGCUUUCCUGCAUAGCUUUCUUAAGGAACUUGUAUUUAUGGAAUAACCUCCUGGAUUUGUGAGCUCAAAAUAUCAAAAUCAUGUCUGCAAAUUACAAAGAGCUUUAUAUGGUCUCAAGCAAGUACCAUGGGCCUGAUUUGAUAGAUUUAGUAUCUAUUUAUUAUCAUUGGUGUUUUAUGGCAGUAUAGUUUAUUCAUCUCUUAUUUCUCGCACUGGCACUAUUAUCCUUCUCAUUUGUGUUAAUGAUAUUAUUGUUAUUGGUGACAAUUUAGAUUUUCUAGAUUGGUUCAUUUCCCAACUUGGGAGUUCACAAUAAAAGAUAUUGGACCUCUUCACUACUUUCUUGUCAUAGAGGUAUCUUAUUUUUCAGGUGGGAUAUUUCUCUCACAAAGAAAAUAUGCUCGAGAUCUUAAUGAUCAUGCUCAGAUGCUCAAUGCAACACCUGUUUCAACACCAAUGGCAAUGAAGAACAAUAUUCAUGGGAAUUCUGAUUUAUUUCAUGAUCCAUCUCUUUAUCGGAGCAUUAUUGGUGCCAUCCAAUACAUUACCAUUACAUGGCCAGACCUUUCUCAUGGUGUUAAUAAAGUUGGUCAAUUUAUGCAUGCCCCUACAAUUGCACAUUUUCAGCUAGUUAUCUCAAUGGUACACAAUCAUGUGGUGUACGACUCUUAUCUGCUAGUUCCCUUGAGUUAUAUGCCUUCUUUGAUACAGUCUGGGUUGGGUUUCCAACCACUCGUCGUUCAACUGCUGGUUUUCUACGCCUAUCUUGGUUCUAACUACAUAUCUUGGAGCACUAAGAAACUGGCAAUUGUAGCUCGUUCUAGUGCUAAAGCGGAAUACCGCUCUAUGGCAUCCAUUGCUGUAGAAUUGACAUGGCUUUCUUUUAUUCUUCGGGAUCUUGGGUUGCAUCUUCUUCAACCAAUAACACUUUUUUGUUACAAUAUUAGUAUUCUCUCUAUAUGACAGUUAAUCAUGUUUUCAAGCCCGGACAAAUCACAUUGAGUUAGACUAUCAUUUGUAUGUGAAAAGCUUGUUCUUGGGUUACUUAUCACUCGUUUUGUUUCCUCUCGUAAUCAAGUAGUUGAUAUCUUUACCAAGCCUUUUAUCACAAGAUGUUUUUCGAGAUUUUUGCUUCAAACUCAGGCUUCAAAUGCCUCCCGAGCCAAGUUUGAGAGGGAGUAAUGGAAACAAAGUCCAAAAUAGCAAAAUACAUAUUACAAGAUAGGAAAAAGAUAUUGCUCUUACCUUUUGAGAGGAGAAUGUAACAAGAUAGGAAAGUAUAUAUUGCAUGUAACAAGAUAGGAAAAUGUAUAUUUGUACUAUUGUAUUACCAUGAUAUAUAUAAUAAAAGAACCGCCACAAGAGUUGUGUGGGGCAUAAUUAUUUUUCUCAAAGUGUUCCUCUCUCUCUCUCAAAUUCUUUAAGUAUCACAUUCCCUUACACUAUUACCAUGAGUAUUACAUUCCCUUAGCUCCAAUGCUCCACCAACCUCCAUGGCCUCCAUCUUUAAGCUUCAAACAAAAAUUAGGAUUUCAAACUCUGAAAAUAGUCUAUAAUAUAAGAAAAUAUCCAGACUGUUCAUUUUUUUUUAAAAAAAAAUAUUCACAUAUCUGCAAGAUUUGUGACCAUGCUCUCACCUAUUCCUCUCUAUCUAUUGCUGCACUAAAUCAGCCUCCUAGUUCAUCCUAAAGUAGCAUUUGAAGUUGCAUUUUAUGCAUCCCAUUUAUUGACUGUGAUAGAGUCCCGAUCACUGUGUUUUCAGUUUGAUAAGUUCUGGAAGGUAAUCGGGGCAAAUUGUGUGAAAUUUUGGCAUCAUGUUCCUUGUAUCUCGUAGACACACAUUUGUAAAGCGUUUAUAGAAAUUGAGAUUGCAAUUAAGUCAUUGUAUAUGUAAAAGCAUUCGAUGUAAAUCUAAAAGAAAUAGAAUAUAACUAAAUUUUAUUUGUAUGAAUGUUAAGUGCAGUCAGAAGUUUGUCCAAAUGAAUAGAAAUGGUUAUGGUGAUGUAAAGAGGUUUUUAUGACCAUCAAAUCUUGCUUAAAUUAUAUUAAAAGAAAGUAGUAUGAGGAAGUGACUGUACUUAUUCAUGUAUGAAAUUGAGGUGUAUAUUUAUCUCUUUUUGGAAAUUUUAAAAGAGUUGUACCUAAGAGACCCGUAUCUACCUAUCACGUAGCAUCAGAGCCGGCCCUCUUAGAUCUCCAUUAUUAUUCAAGUUUUGUGUCCUACAUUGUAUUUUAGUUAUGCUGGAGUCAGAAGCCAUCACCGUGAAUGCAAUUUUGGGCCAAUUACUUAAUGGAAAGAUUUUUAUAUUUCCCCUACGGCAUAGAAGAUCUAUGCUUCCCCCUACCAUCCAGCCGUCCAAUUUUGCAAGAGAGCCACUCGCCUUUUAAUCUUAGAUCCGACAUCUCAAAAUAUUUUAUUUUUAGUUUUUCUUAUACAAAUUGUAUGAAUAUGAAAUUUGGUACAUGUCAUCUUAUCAUUGGGGCGCACCUAUAAAAUAUAUUUAAAAUAAUUUUUUGAUAAAAUACAAUGACCAAAAUACCCCUUAAAACUUUCAGGGUAAUUUUGAUCAUUUUAUUUCUUGGAAAUAUUUUUUUAAUGUUUUUCGCUAGUGCGAGUGUAAUAGAGGAUUGGACGUCCAAAAUUUGGUGUCAAAAUAGUUUAUAGAAAAAAAUUAAAAAUAAAAUAGUGUAAAGACAUGACAUUAUGAUUGGGGCAAACUUAGCCCUCCAUUCAGAAUGGACGGUUGGAUAAGGGGAAAUAUAUAAGUUUUAUGUUGUACGGGAAGCAUAUAAAGCUUGCCCAUUAUUUAAAGGAGACUGUUGUGAUUGUCAAAAAAAAAAAGGCUCUCUAUUUUGUUUGAUUUGAUAGCAACCUUAAACUUUUCUAUCCAUAAAAGAGCUAUAACCAUCAUCAUCAUGAUUGAAGCUUUUUUCCAACUAUUUGGAGUCGGCUACACAAAUCCUGAUCUAUCAUUAUGCUCUAUCCAGUUUUAUAUCCUCAAUAAGGCUAUAAGUCCCCAUAUUUUUCUUCACUACUUCUAAUUAGUGAUUUAAAAAUUGCCUAGUCAGCACUAACUCGGGCAAGUCAACACGGGAAUUGGUCACCCCGUGUCAAUUCCAAUAAAAUUCACAGUAUCGCCAGAUUUUACGAUUCCAAUAAAAUUCGCAAUAUCGCCCUGUUCUAGAGAAGAACCGGCGAGUCUCUACAAUGAACCACCGGAGUCUAUAUAGUGAACUGCCCGAAUGACUCUAAUAAAAAUCACAGUAUCGCCCGAUUUUACGAUUCCAAUAAAAUUUGCAGUAUCGCUCGGUUCUAGAGAAGAACCGGAGAGUCUUAUGACAUCAUAAAUAUACAUUUGUUUUCAAAUUUUUUUAAAAGGGUAAUUGGGAUAUUUUUAAAUCUACCUUUGUUUUCAAUUUUUUUUGCAAGGGUAAUUGGGAUAUUUUUUCAAAAUAGGGGGACUCUAUCGUGGCGAGCUUGAUGUCUCAACACUGGCCAUCACUGGACCCUAUGCCCCAUUCAAUGGAAGGACCCCAUGCUCCAUUCAAUCGUUGUUAAUGUGCUAGUCCUCGAGUCUUUUAUACAUGUUAACUUUUCAUGAAGUUUUCAAUUUGGGACAAUUCCCAAUGUAACAGCUUGAAAAGGUAAUAUAGCAUUUUAUUAUGAAAGUUAAUAAAGAAAGAGAUCUCUAGUUCAAACCUAGGCAGUAUUUAAAAAAAAAAAAAACGUACCAUCUUAUUUUUCUUUUCAAAAAUAAAUAAAUUUUGUCAAAAAAUAAAAUAAAAUAAUACAAAAUAAAACACAUCAUCUUCUUAUUUUUCUUGUCAAAAAAAAAUUCUUUUUGUCAAAAAAUAAAAAAAAAUAAAAGGUACCAUCUUCUUAUUUUUCUUGUCAAAAAAAAAGAAAAGGUAAUAUAACAAGUAUUUCAACAUAACAAGUAUUUCUUGUCAAGAAAUAAAUAAAAUGUAAUAUGACAAGUAUCAUGUUUUUCAAACACGCAUUUGAGCUGCAAUUGUCGUAAGCUUAAAUUAGACAUGUAAAAGUAAUCCAAUAUAGGCUUGAAGCAUGUUAGCUCUUUUUUUCUCUCUCAUAUAUGAAUGCCUAUUGUUAGAUUGUUUAUUUUUUUUUACUUAGGAAUAAAUGAUCUAAUUAUAUUUUUUUAUUUUUAUCACAUGGUGGUCUUUAACAUAAAUUUAGGAAUAUUAAUUUAAGGGAAAGUUUAUAUAGAACCGAGGCUCUAAACAAUCAAAUUAGAGCCUACAUAAAAUAUUUCACUAAAAGAGGUUGUUUUGAUGCCUAAAUAUCCUCAAAUUGAUCAUCUCAACAUUAAGAUGCAUGAUCAUGAGAAAAAAUGGAUUUAAAGUUUUAGGAGUAUUGUAUUUGUAACGUAUUUUGGACCGUCAAUUUUCAAGAUUUUCAAGUUUUCAUAGAUCAAUCGAUCUACACUAUUUUUUAAGCUUUAAACUUUAUAAAUAAAGAUGAAAAUAUAUUUUAAGACUAUCACAAAGAUUUACAGUAUUGAAACCACAUUUCUAAACACUAUUUUAGGGUAGGCUCUAAUUUGAUUGUUUAGAGCUUGGGCUGUAUACAAAUCGCACCCUUAAUUUAAAGAUAGGGUUCAUAUAAUGAAGCUAUUUGAAAUCUCUCUCUCUCUCNNNNNNNNNNNNNNNNNNNNUUAGUUAGGAUCUUCGGGUCGUCGUAAUACAAAGUUACCGCACCGUUUAACUUUAAACGUAAUAGGGUUACGUAUAUAAUAGAGACUACUUAGUAAUACUCUCUCUCUCUCUCUCUCUCUCUCUCUCUCUCUCUCUCUCGCUCUCUCUCUCUAUACUAACAAUCUCUUCCACUAAAUUUAUUCUAGCAACCUAAAAAACUUGAUUUUUGAAAAACAAUUGCGUUAUAAAUUAUGCAAUGUACCGUUUUUCUUACAAUUGUCAAUAAUAUAUUUUAAAUUAGAUGAUAUUAUAAGAUAAUUUAGAUUUGUUAUUAUUUGUAUAGUAAAAUAAUUAUAAAAUAUAAAUCAACAAUUUCAAUUUAAGUAUAUAAUAUUAUAGUUAGUUAGGUUGUAAUAAUUUUGGAUUAUAGUUAGUUAAGUUGUAAUAAUUUGGGUUUUUUCUUAGUGAAUUGGGAUUUCAGCCAAUUCGAGAUUUUUGUAGUCAUUUUUUCAUCGAUUAAAUCCAUUAUUUAUUGUAGUUCAUGUACGAUAUAUACUUCAUCCAUAAUAAUUCUGUGAUUUUUCUUUUGUGCGAUGUAAAUUUAAUGGUUAACAUAAGUUCAUACAGGGAAAGAACAUCUCAAUAUUCGCAUAUUGAUGAAAAAAAAUGAAAGUUAAUAAUGUAGUACCCCAUUUCUUAUUGGAUUCCUAAAAAGAAUAUUUAUAAUGAUUUUUAAUAAUGUUUUUAGAUUUUUUUAUUAUCGAAUCCUAUCGAUUUCUGAUCCGAACUGUUGAUUCACUGAUUCGGAUGGGUUUUGGGGUGCACGAUCAGGGACACCGAUCCGUUUUUUAAACCACUUCUUCUAACCAUGUGUUUUUGGGCUUACCUCUCGCUCUUUUUUAGCCAUCCACUGAAACCAACUUGCACCUCCUAACAAUACUGUAAUGGGUAUGUGAUGCACAUGGUCAGCCCACCUAAUUCUAUGUUUUCUCAUAUUAUCGCCUCUGGAGCCACAUCUAAGUUCUCCUGAAUGUCUUCAUGUCUUUCCACUCAUCCAUCUCAACAUCCUCAUUUCAGCUACACUCAUCCUAUGAGCAUGUCGUUUGUUGACUACCCGGUAGUCUACCUUAUAAAGCAAAGUCGGUCUCACAAUUUUCUCAUAGAACUUCCCCGUCAACUUCAUUGGUGGUGACUACAUAAAACUCUUGUAGUACAACUCCACUUCGUCCCUAGCUCUAAUUACAUAUAUUAUGGACCCAAGAUAUCUAAAGUACGUUUUUUUUAUAUUAUAUAUUUUUUUUUUACCAUCAAUCUUACCUACUUCCUUGUCUCUAUUUAUUGGGAUGCAGUGAUCAUAUAAAAAAGCCCUAACCGGUGUUGAUUCCGAUCCAUAUUGCCUGAUUUGGUGUGCGAAUAACAAAUAAAGUGUUUUAAGAAAAUAGAAAACCAAGAGAACCCGUGCAGUUUUUGGGUUUCUCUUGUCAGAAUUGUUCAUGUCCUAAUCCAAAUUCAAGUUGAAUGACUCCAAAUUAGAUUGGAAAUUUUCCAACACGUUCCCACAAAAUAAAUUUCUCUACCUCAAAAACAGUUGACGAUGUCAAAUACAUUCAUGGCAUGGCCGGCUUACUAGUAAAGGUCCAAAUUGGGAUGCAAAGUAUGUAACUAUUUCUUUUCUGUAUGGAAUAUAAACAUGGUGAGAUGGUUAUAAUGUAUCAGUCACUCUGUAGCAACUAAAUAAAAUAAACUUAAGGAUGAGCUCAAGUCUAGGAAGUCAGAAUGCCGGAAAACGACAAUGCGAUAUCUUGAUUCCAUUUCUAUCACGAACAAGUGAACCCUUCUUUGCAGAAAUGCUCGAAAAGAAGCCAAAUACAAUCACCCUUCUAUCGUUGUAUACCGUGCAGUAAGUUUAAAGGAAAAGUACCCCAUCCACAUUAUGUGGACAAGUGGUAAGGUGCACAAGCACCUUCCAAUGGUUGAGUUGAGUUCUCAUAUGAUCAUAUUCAAUCGCUGAAAGUUAGUUUCGUUUUUUAUUUUUUCUAAUUAGGCGAUUAGCAGUUAAAUUGCUCGAUUUUUCCAACAAUGCUUGUGAUAAUGUGAAAAUUUAUUGCUGCCUUUAAUUAUAAAAUUUAAAGUUCCAUAAAUAGUGACGAUCAAACAAUAUAUGAAUACUUAAAAAUUUUAAAAAUGGACCACUCCAGUUAGAAGAUGACCUGUUUUUAAAACUAAAACAUAAAUCCCCUUUUUUCAUAUCUAUCAGGUUGAAUUGAUCGAUUUGGAAAAUCUUACUCCGAUGGAUGCACCUUUUUAUAACAUAGCUAGUCUAAUUUUUGGAUGCACCUUACCUGUACAGUAUAAAAUGUGUAACUUUUUUUCAAACUUGGUGAGAUUCUCGUUAACCAGUUAAAAAUUUUAAAAAUUAAGGUAAUAAAAAAUUUCAAGCCUCUCUUUGCUGUGCAGCGUCAGUAAAAUAAUAAAAUAAUGAAUAAAUGUCGAAGAAAGAAAGGACCCUGGUAGAUAAUUCUAGAAGCCGCCUUCACCUCGUGAAAUGCAGUAAUAAAGUCUUUGUACAAAUAUGCGACACUACUAGUACAACAAACCAGUUGGUGACGGAACGUUGCCAAGUGCCGGCGACCAGUCCAAAUCAUUAAAGUUAAAAAAAUUAUAAAAAAUAUAUAUAUAUAUAUAUAUAUAUAUAUAUACUAUAACAANNNNNNNNNNNNNNNNNNNNAAUUGAUAUUCCAAAUCAUUGGAUCAGCCUAAAUGCCCUUUUAAAAAAAAAUUUAAAAAAUACUAAAAUUUCUUUCAAAUCUAAAUUUUUAGGUUUCUCAAAAAAUGUGGUUAUUGAAAAUACAUAAAUACUGAAAACAUGUUUCAUGUUUGAGUAUUUUGUUUAUCAUUAUAUUGAUUUUAUAGUCAAAAUUAAGUUUGAAAUGUAAUUUAUUAUAAUAAAAUAAAUCUCUUUAACUAAUUUUUUUAUUUUUUUUCUUCCAUAAUCUCCAAUGUCACUUUCACUUGUAAAAAUAGUGGGCCUAUUUCUUGUUUUUUUCUAUUUUCUGAUAAUUAAUUUAUUAAAUUAUUAAUUUAUUUCUAUGAUAUUUUUCUUCAUAUUUGAGGUCUCAUGCUUGAAAAUGCGCUCCAUUUAUUUAGGUUAUAGAUUUUCUUACGUAGAGUGAGGCCAAGCACAUCUUAAAAAACAAAAAAAAGUUGGGAGGAUAUCUCUCGUAUCCCUCCAUUCUCCAUCUAAUGACCUCUCAUUCUCUCUCUUUUUAUCCCCAUCCCUCAUUCUCCAUCUAAUGACGUCUCAUUCUCUCUCUUUUUAUCCCCAUUGAUGCAUUCUUAUCAAAUACGUCUUAAAAUCUUAUCUUUAUGAGGAUCAAAGGUAAACUACAUAUUAACAACAACUAAAACACAUAAGUUUGGGACAACCCCAUUACAUUGAGGACUCUUUAUAAAAAAAAAUCGCAAACUAUGUAAAAUUUAUAAAAAAAAAAUGAGGUUAUCCAAUAAAAGAAAAUUUUGUAGAAAAUAAAAAAUUAUAUGGAACUAGCUGGUUCCUAAAAGGAACUGGAUUGUUCCAACGAAGAAACGGCCAGCUCACACCUAGAACCAACCGGUUCCCAAUAUUUAUAGGAAACUGAACUAGCUCUUCGGAGAACUGAUUCGGAUCGGAUGACUUCAAUCCGAAUUGACAUUUUUUUAAACACUGAGUUCUAUAUCGCUCUGAUUAGGAUUGAAUGAUUCCAAUCCGAAUUGACAGUGUUUUAAACACUAAGUUCUAUAUCGCUCAGGACAUGUUUCUUAUGUAUCGAUGUUGUCUACGAGUUAUCUCGGCUAUCUACCAAGACCGAGUAACUCGGCCAAAUUCAUCUGAAAAUAUUGUUUUAAUGUUGAAAACUCUCUAAUUGAUCAUCUCGACGUUGAGAUGUAUGAAUAUGGAAAAAAAAAAAAAGAUUUUGAGUACAAGAAAUAGCGUAUCUUGCAACACAAUUUCUAGAUCGUCCAUUUUCAAGAUUUUCGUAUGUUUAUAGAUCUACAUAAUUUCAACUUUUUUUGGAGUUUAAAAUUUUUUUACUAGAUAUAAAAACAAAUUUUUAAUUGAUCCUAAUAUUUUUUUAAACCAAAAUUACAUGUUAUGUUAAAGUUUGGAAGUACGCCUUAAUUGGAUUGUCCAAGAUUGCAAUCUUAUGAAAAUCGCUAAUUAAAAUGGGCUAACUCAACAAAGAAAAUUAAAACCACUAUUUUUAACGUUUAAAAUCAAGUUAUUUCUUCAAAUUCAUUAUUGUAGUAGUUGAGAUUCGCAUCUCUUAAUAUUAAAAUCCAAAAUUCAUCUCUGACAUUAAUUUCCCGCCUCUUCUUUAUUUUUAUUUAUAUUAUUAUUAUUUAUUAUUUUAUGAGAAUAAUUUAUUAUUAUUAUUAUUAUUAUUGAUUUUGAGUGCUGUAACGGAUGACACAUCGUAGCGCGAUCCAAAAACAAUGCAGCCGACGUCCCAUGUGUCUCCUGACGGUAUCUCAAUUAUACUCACAGACAACUGCACAUCAAUCAUGACCAUUAAAAAAAUAAAGAAAACGAAACCCACCCAAAAACAAUGGAGAAAAAUCGAGAAGAUCAAGAUAAUAUGGCCUAAUGUGCUUAUAAAAACAAUGUAGAAAAAUCAAGAAAAUCAUUCAAGAUAUUCUGUAUACCCUCAUGUGGUUAUAAAAGUGGUAUGCCCGUUCUAGGGCUGAGCAUCAGAGUGAACCAUGGCUCCCUCUAUUGAUGAAGCCGCGGUCCAACCUCUUGAGCUCAGGCCUAAGCUUGACUGCAUCAAAUACUUAGAGGAAGUCCCUCUCAUUGAUCUCUCUCCUCUAAGGUCUAAAAACUGUGACCUCUCUGAGGCCAAAGAGAAACUUGCAUCUCAGCUCCAUGAUUGUCUUAAAGAGUGGGGCUUCUUCCUAGUUGUGAACCAUGGCAUGGCAACUGAUGCCUUGGCAAAGGUUAAGAGUACCUUCACUAAGCUUCCUGAGGAGGACAAGAAGAAGGUGGCUAGAAAUGAGAAGAAUCCUUGGGGUUACAGUGAGAAGGAUCUCACUAAGAACACUAAGGACUGGGUCGAGGUGUUCGACUACAUGGUCGCGGAGGAGCUCACCCUGCCUGAGACCUUCGAACCCGAUUGCAAAACUGUAGUGAAGUUCAGGAAUAACUGGCCGGAAAACCAGCCGGAGUUUCAGUAAUGGAUUUGGUUUAGAAUUCCUACUUUAUUCGUUUGUUAAAUUAGGUUUCUUUAAUUUUUAUUUGUUUUUCCCAUUUCUUCUUUUAGUAUAUCAGCAUGGAAAAAAGCCCCAUAGAGAAGAGAGACUAUGCUCUUCUUGUACAGCAGAAUACUGAAAGAACAGAUCUCUCUCUCCCUCUCUCUACGUCAAAAUUCAUUUCAUUCACCAAAAUCAUUCCAUACAAUGCGACCGUUUUUCUUUCUAGCUGUUUGUUGUCUUUUUUCUUCUUUUUUUUGGGUGAUUCAGUGGGAGAAGACCAAGACCCUUACCCGUUUUUUCAAGUAGAUCGAGUUAGCCGUUUGAAAGUACUAGUAUGGUUGGUGAGAAUAGAAACCAAUGCGUAGUGAGUCGAUGUGCUGCCGCGACCACCCAGGACUUUUACUUUUUAUUAAUACCUGCUGGCUUUUUUAAAAGAUUCCUCCUUACUAAAAUGAGCUCAUGCCUUCUAUAAAAUAUAAGCUUUCUAUUAACAAACUUCUUCCUUCAAUAAGAGAUCAAUUAGGUGGUUUUUCACCGUCAAAACAACCUCUUUCUGGGUGACUUUUGAGGGCAUGCUUUUUUCUACAAUUUAAAGUUGUAACUUUAUAUAAACUUUUUCUUCCAAAUUUUACUAAAAUGAACUCAUACCUUCUAUAAAAUAUAAGCUUUAUAUUAACAAACUUCUUCCUUCAAUAAGAGAUCAAUUAGGUGGUUUUUCACCAUCAAAACAAUCUUUUUCUGGGUGACUUUUAAGGGCUUUAUAUAAACUUUUCCUUCCAAAUUUUAUCACUAACAAAACUGAAAUUGCUUUGCAGGAAAGCAUGCGAAGACUUCACGACUGGCACGAUGAAAUUGCUCUAUGAGCUCAUGGAACUCAUAGCCUUAAGCUUGGGCUUAUCUGAAGACAGGUUAAAGCCUUAUUUUGACGAAAAUUUGUGUUAUUCUCGCAUCAAUUACUACCCACCAUGCCCAACUCCUGAGUUGGCUCUAGGCAAAGGCGCGCACAAGGACCACUGUGCCUACACAGUGUUAGCCACCGAUGAAGUAAGCGGGUUUGAGGUAAUGCGCAAGUCCGAUGGCGAGUGGCUCCGAGUCCGACCCAUUCCUGACUCUGUCAUCGUCGUCGGCGGCGACAUCUUGCAGGUAGUCCACUGAAAUCCAAUCUGUCUCUCUCUCUCUAUCUAUCUAUCUCAUCUGUCCAGGUGAUCCACGAAACGUAAUCUGAUGUUGUGUGGGAGAGUAGAUGCUUUUCUAUUUUAAGUGCAACUACAAAUUUUAAAGCACCCAAAAGGCCUCAAUGAAUCUGGAAAGGCCCACUCUUUCAUCUUUGACCUUUCUAAAAUGCCCCCCUAACAAGUUGCAAAAAAUAAUUAUGCUGAUAUGAUACACCAUUUUUUCAAAACUUAUCAAAUAGCAUUGACUAGUCUAUGCCAAUAAACUACAUCUUCCAUCUCUCACAAAGAACCCUGCCCACACCUAUGCCUUUAGCCUAUUUUUAAUUUUUUUUUAUUCACUUCACAUCUCACGAAAUAAAAGGCAGGUUUGGAGCAAUGAGAUUUACGAGAGCGUGGUACACAGAGCUGUGGUGAACUCCGAGAAGGAGAGGCUUUCUAUGCUCACUGUUGCCGCACCGGCAUUUGAGGUGAUGGUUGCGCCUCUCGAUGAGCUUGUGGGAGAGAAAACCCCUGCUAAAUAUAGAGCUUAUAAGUGGGGAGAGUUCUAUGGAGCAAGGAAGUUCAGCAAUUUCAGGAAGCUAGACACCCCUGUCCUUGAGGUGGCUGACUACAAGAUCAGAAGUUAGGGCAAGGCUAUCCACUAUCAUAUAUAUGCCUGAGUUUAGAUUAUCCUGUUUGUCUUGUGUCACUGUCUAAGCUCCUCUUGUGUCCCUGUCUAAGUUGUUAAUGUUCUGGUUUUCCCUGAAUAAUGGGAUAUUAUAUGACCCAGAUCCUUGCCUAUGUAGUUGGUCAUGUUCUGGUUUUCCCUUUCCCUGAAAAAUAGGAUCUUGAAUGUAAUAAAGAAUGGUUUUGUAGUAUGGAACUUCUCAUGGUGUAAAAUCUAUUAUGCUUAUUGUAAGACUUGCCCCAGGAGUGAGUCAAUCUUAUUUAUGCUUAUGUUCAUGUGAAUCUCCUCUCUCUCAUCGGAUUUUGCAUGACUCACUCAUUUUUUAAUCAGUUAGUGGUUUUUAAAGCUCUCGGGGGAAUGGAAACCACAACCCAUUGUAUGGGUGGAAACUGUUUCUGAGUGACUUACGUAGGGACUCUAAAAGUUUUUCUAAAAUACGAUAUACCAUUUAUAGGUAGAAAUUGCAAAGAACUUCGAUCAACCUCUUAUUUUUAUUUUUAUCAAAAUUACACCUCUGUCCAAAGAUAUCUUCGAACCGAUUUUUAUUUUUUAUUUUUUUAAGUGUUUUUUGUUAGUAAUAAAUUACCAUAAAACUUAAGCCAUUCUCUACUAACCAAAAAAAAAACUAAAAAAACUAAAAAUAAAAGUCAUGCUAAAUAUUCCAUCAUCAGAUCGAAGGACAAGUUUUGAAAAAAAUGAAAAAUACGAGGGUUAACCGACCUUCUUUCUAAUUUCUACCUAUAAAGGGAGGUUUUCAUAUUUUAUAAAAAAAAAUUAGGGUCCUGAUGUAAAAAAAAAUUAGGGUCCUGAUGUAAAUAACUCUUUAUUUUUCUCUUAAGAAAUUAAAAAGUUUUUAAGGGACUCGUGGAUGUGUUGCAAGUUAGGAGUGUUAGUGCCACAUAAAUCAAGUUAUAAAACCAUGUGCUUCUAUGUGCAACUAAAACGCUCUCGGACACUAAUUACAAUUGAUCAAAUAAAAUAGGAAAAGUUGUUUUAACGUAAAAAAGAAAAUAAAAGAUUUUGAAUCCCAGAAAUAGUGCAUCUUGCAAUACAUUAUCUAGACCUUCUAUUUUCAAGAUUUUCAUAUGUUUAUAGAUCUACUUGAUAUUGGUCAUUUUUUAGAGUUUCAAAAUUUUAUAAUUAAAUAUGAAAAUAGAUUUCAUAUAAUUCUAUGAAUUUUUUAAACGAAAAUUAUAUGUUAUGAUAAAAUUUGGAGCUGCGCCUUAAUUGGAUUGUUUAAAAUUGCAACCUUAUAGAGACCACACCCAAUAAAAUAUAGUCCAUACCAAGGUUUAAAAAAUCGAAUCGGUGACUUGAUUCAGUCACACCCAUACCCGUGUCAGAUCGGGGGGAUCGGAUCCAAAGAUUCGGGGGAAUUAGUAAUGUUUGUUUUAAUUUUUUUAAAUAAUAACUCAAGAAAAAAUUAUUCAUCCCUUUUUUUUUGCUUGACUCUGUGAUGAAUUGGUCGGAAUUGGUGAAGAAUUAGUCGGACUUGGUGAAGAAUCGUUGGAAUCAGCAGUUCCACAAAAAAUCGGCAACUCUACUAUUUGGAACCCCCGAAUCCCAUUUUUUACCUUAAUCUGAAACAUCCAAGGCAAUUCUUGAUCCGGAUCGCCCAAUUCCAGAUCGAGAUAGUGAUAUUUUAAACAUUGAUCCAUACUAUACUUUGUUUUGUGUUCUUCUAGGGGCUAUUUUCACGUCAUUGUUUCAUUAUAAGAUAUUAAAUUGGUUCUUUUAGACUGUGUGUUCAUGGAAUUUGCAUGACUCCAAAGUUUGAACUCACUCUCUUCAUCCAAAUGAUCAAUCUCAGCCCGAAAAAACUGCCUUCUAGAAAAAGCAAAGAGUAUUUCAACUCCAACAAUGAAUUUAGAUAACAUCGACUCGAAGUCUUUAAGAAUUCAAAAUUUAUUUUCCUUUUUUUAAGUCACUCAUCUAACACUGAUAAAGUGGUCCAUAAAAUUUAGAAUAAAAAAUAGGGCAAGCUUUCUAUACUUCCCCUACUAUAUAAAACUAAUAUACUUCCCCUUAUCCGACGGUCCAACCAUUCUGAAAGAACAGCUGAGAUGGCCCCAAUUACAAUGUCACGCCUCUACAUUAUUUAAGUUUUAAUUAUAUUUUUACAAAACUUUUUGUUGUCAAAUUUUUAGUGUCCAUUCCUCUCUUAAACAUGCACCUGUAAAAAAAAUAAAACAAAUAUUCCCAAUAAAAAAGACCAAAAAUGCCCCUUAAACUUUAGAGGUAUUUUUUUCAUUUUAUUUUAUCAAAAAUAUUUUUUAUUUGUGCACCCCAUUAAGAUGAUAGCAUGUACCAAAUUUUAUAUUAAUAUAAUUUAUAAAAAAUAAAAUAUUAUGAGACGUCAGAUCUCGAUCACACGGUCAUUGGGCUUACUUGAUCUAAAUUGGAUGGCUAGAUGGGGAGGGAAGUAUAUAGAAGUAUUAAACUGCCUAUAUUCAUUGGGUUAAAAGAAGGUCUUUUAAUGAGUUUGUUUGGAUUUUUUUUUCUUUUUUAUAUUGUUUAUGAAAAUAAAAGAGUGUGGGUUUAAAUAUUGAGAUUAAACAAAGGAAAAAGUUUAUAUAAGGCCUCUAAUUGAUCAUCUCAGCAUCAAGAUGUAUGAAUAUGAUAAAAUAAGAUUUCGAGUCUGAGAAAUAAUAUAUCGUACGUCACAUUAUCUUGACCAUCCAUUUUCAAAAAUUUCAUGAGUUUAUUGAUCUACUUGAUUUGAACUAUUUUUAGAGUUUACAAUUUUAGGAUUAAAAAUAAAAAUAGAUUUUGAAGCCAUCCUAAGAAUUAUUUAUAUCAAAAUCAGAUAUUACUUGGAUUGUUUAAGGUUGCAAUCUUAUCCAAACCACACCCUGAAACAAAUGUGCCUAAUUGUUUUAACCGUAAAUUUGAUUAUAUUUCUGUAAAAUCAUUGCAUAAAAUCACUGUCGUGUUUAACGGUACCAAAAAAGACAACGGGUCAAACAAUAUCCGUAUCUAUCUAAUCAAAUAGAAUAUCGGUGUCACCGAUAUCCAUCAUUAUCCAUUCUACCGUAAUCCAUGCAAACUCUUAAAUCAUAUAAUAUAAUUCAUAGACAAUGUUAAAUCAUAUAAUGUAAUAAAAUUAUAAAAUUGGGAUUAGCCUUGAUUAUGCGAUUUAAUAAAGAGCAAUGAAGGGGGUACAAGGCAAAGAAAGUCCACUUAAAUUAAAUAAGAGGUGCUUAACCACCACCAACAGAAUGGCAUGUCUUGAUUCUCGCAUUUAAUAUUAAUCAAAUAUUAAAAUGGUAAGUUAAACGUUUAAUUGUUUUAAAUGUCAUAAAAACUGAAACCAAUGACGUCUUGACAUUGAUUGGUCCAUCAUAUUUUAACAUGCCAUAGGAGAACGGUGAACUUGCUGGGCUCUGGGUGUUUAGAUAAACGUCUUCGAACUUCAAACAACACACAUUCCUGAUCGAAGUUCUAAAACCUGGCUCGAGCCUCGAGCUCCGCCCCUGCUUGGAUCGAGUUACUCUGGGUCAGUUCAAUUCGACAUGGCUAUAUCGUGUACAACCUCAAGUUAGAUUAGAAAUCUAUAAGAUUUAUAAAAAAAUUAUUAAGGUCAGGUCUUUAUAGAAAAAAAAUAAAUAAAUAUAUAAAGCCCUACCUCGAAACUCGCCUAAAAUUAUACUAACGGAUUUAAAGAACCUUCAAUUUCGAUCAACUUGACCUUGAUCUUUAUGAUUGUUAAAAAAAAUAUUGGACUUUAUGACCUAAAAAUAAUGUAUAUUGUAACACAUUAUCUAAACAAUCAAUUUUAAAGUGAUCAAUCAUAACUAGUGGUGGAAAUAGAUUUUGGAACGAUCAUUACAAAUUUUCCAUGGCUGAAUUGUUUUUUGGACAAUAUCCUGAGGUGAACCUCUAUUUAUUUUAUUUUGGGCAAUAUUUCUAUGCUUUCCUUACAACAUAUAUCUUUUAUGCUUCCCCCUAUCCAACCGUCCAUUUUGAAUGGAGGGCUACGGUUGCCCCAAUCACAAUGUCACGUCUCUACACUUUUGUUAUUUUUAAUUUCUUAUGUAAAAUAUUAUUUUUAAUUUCUUAUGUAAAAUAUUAUGACAUCAAAUUUUGGGUGUCCAAUCCUCUAUUAAACUCACAUUUGUAAAAAAUAUAAAAAAUAUUCCCAAUAAAAUAAAAGACCAAAAUACCCCUAAAAGUUUCAAGGUGUAUUUUAGUUAUUAUAUUCUAUCGAAAAAUUAAUUUUAAUAUUUUUUAUAGGUCCGCCCCAAUGAGAAGACGACACUUACCAAAUUUUAUAAUCAUAAAAUUUGUAUUAAAAAAAAAAAUUUAAAAUAAAAUACUCUGAGGCGUCGGAUCUAGGAUCAAAUGGUGAGCGGCUCACUUAAUCAAAAUUGGAGGACUAGAUAGUAGGGGAAGCGUAGAUCUUCUAUGUUUUAGGGAAAGUAUAGAAACCUUUCCUUUUUAUUGUUAUAAGGGCCAGUCUUAUAGAAAUUACAUCCUAGCAAAAAUUUGUGAGGCUUUUUUAAUGGGUGUGGUUUCUAUAAGGUUGCAACCUUAAACAAUUCAAUUAAAGCUACCUCCAAAUUUUAUCAUAACAUGUAAUUUUGGUGUAAAAAAUUCUUAAGGUUAUCUUAAAAUUGAUUUUCAUCUCUAAUUAUAAACUUUUAAACUCCAAAAAUGACUAAAAUCAAGUAGAUACAUAAACAUAUCAAAAUCUUGAAAAUGGACGGUCUAGAUAAUGGGUUGUAAGAUGCCCUAUUUUUGGUACUCAAAAUCUUUUUCUUUUUUCAUAUUCAUACAUCUCGAUGUCGAGAUGAUCAAUUAGAGGGUUUUUCAACAUUAAAACAACCUUGUUCGAUGGAUUUUUGAGGUACAUUUUUAAUUCUACAUUUUAAGGUUUCAACCUAAUAUAAACUUUUUCCUUUUUUUAAUAUGUAUUUUCAUUUAUCAUUUAGAUUUUCCUUGUUAAAUUUUAAGUUUUCAACGAUAUUCUAUAACAUUGCUUCCCGUUUUUCAAUUAGACGAAGCGAUAUGGCGUCCCUAGAAACGUGCCAGAUGCUCAUUUGUCAGCAUUUGGAAGGUGUUAGGUUGUUUUUCUUUCUUCCUUAUUUUAAGAGUUGUAUAGUCCCGCGGGUGCAUGCUAUAUGCUUUUUUCGGUCCAUUGGAAAGAAAUUUUUUUAGAAGAAACUUUGGGAAUACACUUGAACCACUAGAUUAUUAUUUUCAAAAGAAAAAAUAAUAAUUUCCAUUUAAAAAAAAAUAUUGAGUUCUCUAACAAUUAACCUUUCAUUAUCCAAAAUUGUCGUCUUCAGUCGUUCUUUGAACAUUAGUGUUUUACAAGCACAUCAAGAGAGAGAUUUGGAGAUUUGUUUUGUUUGCUUCUUUGUUUUUACUUUUAUUUUUUUAAAGGUUAAUCUUGAGGUUACAUCCCCAAGACUUGGGAUCCUAAAAAAUAAUUGCAAAUUAAAUUUUACCCAAGAAAAUAAUGAGUGUGACUGGGAGAUUUUUAGUUUUUUUAAUUAAGGUUAAUCUUCUGAUGUUAUAUCCCCAAUACUUGGGAUCCUAAAAAAUAACUGCAAAUUAAAUUUUACCGAAGAAAGUAAUGGACAAUGUGCUCGUGAUGGAGCACAAAUUCUUUUGGCUUAACAUUUACUAUGAAUUUUCAGACGUUAUUAGUCUUUUAGAGGAAACGAUUGUAUUCUAUAACAUGACAAUAUAAUAAUAAAAUAUUUAUUAUUUAAUCGCAAAUCAAGACUAAUCCCACUUUUAUGAUUUUAUUAUAGGGAAAAGUUUAUAUAAGGCCAAGGCUAUAAACAAUUUGAGCCUGCCUCAAAAAUUUUACUGUAAGGGGUUGUUUUGAUGCCCAAAUAUCCUCAAAUUGAUCAUCUCGGCAUCAAGAUGCAUGAACAUGAGAAAAAAAUGGAUUUCAAGUUUUGGAAAUAAUAUAUUUUGUAAUGAAUUUUUAGACCAUCAAUUUUCAAGAUUUUCAAGUUUUCAUAGAUCUGUCAAUCUACACGAUUUUUGAAGCUUUUAACUUUAUAAAUAAAGAUGAAAAUAUAUUUUAAGUCUAUCACAAAUAUUUCCAGUAUUGAAACCACAUUUCUCGACAGCAUUUGAAGGUAGGCUCUAAUUUGAUUAUUUAAAGCCUAGGCUCUAUACAAACCAUACCCUUUAUUAUAUUAUAUAAUUUAACAUUGAAUAUGAAUUUUUUCACGUUAUUAGUUCUUCGGAUGAAACAAUUAUAUUCUAUGAUAAUAUAAUAAUAUAAUAUUUAUUAUAGGGUACGGUUUAUAUAGAGCCAACGCUCUAAACAAUCAAAUAAACACACCUUCAAAUAGUGUCAAGACAUGUGGUUUCAAUAAUGGAAAUGUUUGUGAUAGCCUUAAAAUAGAUUUUUAUCUUUCAUUAUAAAGCUUUAAAAAUAGGGCAGAUCUAGCAGAUCUAUGAAAACUUGAAAAUCUUGAAAAUUAAUAGUCCACAAAUGUUUUACAAGAUAUACUAUUUCUAAAACUUGAAAUCCAUUUUCAUCUCAUGUCCAUUCAUCUUGAUGUUGAGAUGAUCAAUUUGCGGAUAUUUGAGCAUCAAAACAACCUCUUCCAGUGAAAUUUUUGAGGUGGAUUCUAAUUUGAUUGCUUAGAGCCUCGGUUCUAUAUAAACUUUUUUUCCUUAUUAUAUUUUGUACAACUUUUUUGUAUUAUAUGAUUUAACAUUGAAAAAUGGUUUGAUAGAGUUGCGGCCCUAUCAAAAUAAAAAAAGCCUCACCUCAUAAUUCAUUGAAAAUUAAAAUUCAAGCAUUGCAAAACCCUUGCAUCGAUCAUUUUGGCUUGAACAUUAUGGUUGUGAAAACAAAUUAAGAUUUCAAGCUCUAAAAAUAGUAUCUAUUGUAACAAAUUAUCUAAACCGUCCAUUUCGCCCUAAAAAUAAGUGUUCAUAGAUCCGCAAGAUCUUUACCUUUUUUUGAGUUUUAAAUUUCAUUGUCGGUAUUGAAAAUUGAUUUUAGAGCCAUCAUGGAGAUUUUCAUAGCCGAAAGGACUUUCCAAACGAGGAUUUGAGGUCAGGCUAUAUUUUGCUUUCAUGGCACCUAUACCUUAUAGAAACCUCAUCUUUUAACAUUUAUGAGGAUUUGACAUGUUUGGAGGGUUUUUCCGGCAGUUUUGAAACCGAAGUACUACCAAAAUUUUGCCAAUCUUGGUUUUAGAUUAUGUUAUCGAAUCAACAAAUUACUGUUUUGUUUGUAAAUAAGAGUAAAUACUCAGUGAGCAAACAAGCUUGUAAAACAAUAUAGAGUAGACGAGAUUAUAGAAGUGGGGCAGUUUGUGUUGAGUAGCGCAACGGAAAAUUCAUGCUCAAAAUGAGAACCUUGUGCAUUUAUCAGAUACCAUGCACACAUGUGCACACCAAAUUUGGAGAGAAACUAUUUCCUUGAUUUAUUAAUAAAAACAUCAUAUGAAAAUACGCAAAUAUCUCUACUACUCUAUCUAUAGCUCACGUCUGAUGCCUCUCUGUCUCAUGUAAUUUGCCACAAUGCCUACCUCACAGUAAUUCCCCCCUUUUUAUUACAGGAAAAAUUUUAUUUAAGGUUGACACCUUAAAAUGUAGAAUUAAGGUGCACCUCUAAUAUUUUUUAAAAAAAGUUGUUUUGAUUUUGGAAAAAUAUCUAUUAUCAUCUUGAAAUCGUGAUUUAUAGGUAUGGAGAAAUAAAGAGAUUUCAAGUCCUAACAAUAGUAUACCUUGCAAUACAUUAUUUGAACCGUCUAUUUUUAAGAUUUUCUUAUGUUUAUAAAUCUGCUUGAUUUGAACCAUUUUUUAAAUUUAAAAUUUUAUAAGCAAGAAUAAAAAUAGAUUCUCAUACUAUCCUAAGAAUUUUCGACACUAAAAUUGCGACAAAGUUUCGAGACACACCUUCCUUUCAUUUUUAAGGUUGGAAUCUUAUGCAAACCACAUCUUUUUUUUAACCUUAAAAGGAGAUAACUGCAAACAAAAAUAAGGACUUCUAACUCUAAAGGUAAUUCAUGUAGAACUUCUAACCCAAGAGCAAAUCUCUUCCUAUCUUAAGAUAACCAAAACAUUGAGUUUAGUUUUUUUUUUUUUUUGAACUGCAAAACAUUAAGUUUAGGCUGUUCCUCAAUAUUAUAAUCAUUAACUCCAACGGGAUUAGAAACUCGAAAUAGAGAUAAGGGAAAAGUUUAUAUGGAGCCUAGGCUCUAAACAAUCAAAAUUGAGCCUAUCUCAAAAAUUUCAUUAGAAGAGGUUGUUUUGAUUCUCACAUAUCCUUAAAUUGAUCAUCUCGACAUCAAGAUGAAUGAACUUGAGAAAACAAUGGAUUUCAAGUUUUGAAAAUAGUACAUCUUGUAAGGCAUUUUUGAACCAUCAAUUAUUAAGUUAUUCAAGGUUUCAUAGAUUUGCUCGAUCUACACUAUUUUUUUAAGAUUUAAAUUUUAUAAUUAAAUAUAAUAAUAUAUUUUAAAGCUAAUAAAAUAUUUCUAAUAUUGAAACCACAUUUAAUCAACACCAUUUGAAGGUGGGCUCCAACUUGAUUGCUUAGAGCGUCGGCUCUAUAGAAACCGCACCCGAUAGAUAAUUCCUAUCUAGCGACAAUCUCUGACGGUCGGCAGUACAACUGGGCGAUGUAGCUAAUUUAGUGCCGACAAUCAAGAUAGUGUCAGCUAAAUAAUUGAGAGACUCUGCAAUUUGAUAAUAUAAUUUCAUUUCUUGCACCUCACUUUUUUUCCGUCACACGUAUCGGUAGUGCUGUCUUGAGUUGGGAGCUACUUGAUUUGCACAAUUAUGACAUCGUGCUUUCUCUUUUUUCACAUCGUUUAAGAUGGACAAGGUGUAUAACACAGCCAAAUUGAUAAAUUACUUUGCAGUAAGACAUUUUGUGAAUCCUUCGACAAUGAAAAUUAUGCUUAUUGAUAUGUUUUAAGAAUUUCGUCCUCUCUAUAGUUCAUAUUCUUGUUGGAAAUUAGAAAGCGGAAAUAUAUUUCAAAUCCCAAGUCAGUGUUUUAAAAUCUAGGCGAGAUGAACUGGCCAACCAGAAAUCUGCUCCGCGACAGGGAAUUGCUUAUCCUGAUUGGUGCAUUAAACUAGUUCUCUAUCACGAGAAUCGGUCCAAUAAUUAAAAAUUUUAAAACAAAAAUAUAUAACCAGGCAGAAGAUCAUGAACUCAGAAUUGUGUGAAUCGAACCAGAUCAGCCAGUUUAUAUCAAUCUGCGGAAGAAUAUAAAAUAAAAAAAUUAAAUAACAAUAAAAAAUAUUUUGUAUAACAACCUAAUCUAAUUUUCUAAUACUUUUUAAUCAUUUUCUAGUAAAUUGUUUUGUGAUAAAUUGCUUUUUAAAACUUUUUAUGAUCAACUAUUCAUCAUCCAAAUAUAAUAAUUAUUUCAAAUUCAAAUCCAUUUAUAUAUUAUUUUUUAAGAUAUAAACCAUGGGAUUUUUAACAUUCAAAUAAAUAAAUAAACCACAAUUACUUUAUAGAAAAAUAUAAAUUUAUAUAGAAAGCUAGAAAAAUAUAUGGGAUUGUACAUGAUGAGAUCAUUUACCUUUGAAAUAGAGAGGUCACAAUUACUUACAAUCAUCCGACGUAAAAUUUGAACUUUGAGCUUGGUCAUUGAAAUAAAUGCAGCCACCCAAUUUCACACUCAAGGUUUAGAAAUAGUGCAUCUUGUAAUGCAUUUUUGGACUGUCAAUUUUCAAGAUUUUUAAGUUUUCAUAGACGUGUUCGAUCUACAUUAUUUUUAAAGCUUUAAAUUUUAUAAUUAAAAAUAAAAUAUAUUUUAAAGCUAUCACAAAGAUUUCUAUUAUUGAAACCACAUCUUUCAACACUAUUUAAAAAUGAGCUUUACUUUAAUUGUUUAGAUUGUCGGUUCUAUACAAGCUGCAGCCUAUAGAAACAAGCAGUAAAGUUCGACUGCGUUGUUGUCACACUGGACCAUUGGGCAGCAGCUAAAUACCAAACUUUGCGUGUUUUCUUUCACUUUGAAUAGAGGAAAUGGAUUUUUUUCCAAAAAAGAAGACGAAAAGAAAUGGUUUACACGAGUCAACAUCUUAACUACCGCAUGAAAGGUGUCCUUAAGAGAGAAAAAAGCUUAUAAGGUUUAACUUUAUACUAUUGACGUAAGGUGCGGCCUCACAAAUUCCAUAGAGAGCGUUCCGGGUUGACGCAAGGUGCGCCUCCCAAAUUCCAUAGAGAGGGUUCCGGAUUGGAGAACCCUAAGAGUGAUUGAUCUCGAGAUGGAUGGACGUGAAAAAAAUAUAUAUAUAUUUUCAAGUCUAAAAAGUGGUACAUUUUGUAAAAAGUUAUCUGGAUUUUUUAUUUUUUAGAUUUUUAAAUGUUUUUAUAUCUUCUUGAUCUGCACUGUUUUUGAAGUUUUAAAUUUUAUAAUUGAAAAUAAAAAAAUAUUUUUAAAUCAUUAUAAGAUUUUCAACACCAAAACGACAUCUCUAACUAAAUUUUUGUAAAUGCACCUUGCUUAUACAGUAUAAAGAGACAACCUCAUACAAACCUCACUCAUUGAAAAAUCCUCCCAAAAGUGGUUUUGAUAUUAAAAAUCCUCCCAUCAUGGUGAGGAUUCCGCCCAAAGGUUCAUAUUACUGUUUAGUUUAUUGUAAGAAAGGAUAUUGAAAUUUAUAUAAUUAAUUAUUUUUAACAGGGGCACGUUGAUGGGCCUUGGUCGGUUUGAUAUUAUUAAAAUAUACAUUUAAUGAUUUUGAUAGGGACUGAUCAACUUAGACAUGGGUUGUUGAGUUCUUGGAACAUGUCGCUUGUGGAAUUAGAAACUUUAAAUACCAGGAUCCCACUCAAAGUCGAGUAUAUAAUUGGUUAAAUGUAAAAUAAAUUAAUAUAAUUAUAAAUUGAGUGUAAGAAAUAUAUUAAAAAUCAAAAUACACUAUAAUGACACACGAUUUAGGUGGUUCACCCCGUACGGCUACAUCCCUUCUUCGUAAUCAUGUAGAGAUAGUUCCUUUUUCUUAUGUUGGACCCUGUGGCACUAACUCCUCUAAUAAAGCUGAAAUGUGUUCCCUUAUACAAAGGCUAGAAAUUAUUAUAGAUGAGGGUUUCUCAGGAGACAUUCUUAUUGAGGGAGAUUUUCUGAAUAUCUUGGACUUAUUAAUGAAAUCUUUGUAAUCUUGUCAAAAAAAGAAAACGAAAUUUGCUGAAUUUUGUUAAAUGGUGCAGGCAGGAGCAAAAGGUCCCUUAGCCCCUACAUAUCCUAUAGAUUAAAUUACUUGAUCUUUGUGCUUCUCCGAGACUAUGGGUUUUGUUCUGCCAUACCUAUCUUGAAGCCAAUGUUGCAGUGGAUAAUCUUGCUAAGCAUUAUCUACAAAGAGACCAUUUAUCUUUUGUAUAUGGAUGUCAUAAUCAUUCAUACUCAUUAGAUGCCAUAUUAGAUGGCUUGGGGUGAGUGACGAAGUUCAAGAUUUUUUUUUUUGGAACUUUGUAUCUACUCAAUGGCACUCUUACAACCACCCAUUUAAAUUUUAAGGGACAAAAAUAAUUGUGACCUCCAUGUAUAAAAAAACAAAUGGUCUCUUUGUAGGCAAGCCCUUUCGGAAAAUAGUCACUUAAUCUUUUUUCUCUUCAAAUAUGACAUUGAAUCGGGGACUAGGAGUUGCCGCCAAUUUGUUUUGAGAGUUUAGAUAAGCAAUUUCUACCCUUCAAAUUCCCAGAUUUGAAUUUUUUUUUUUCCUUGAUAUCAUCCAUAAAUUCUUAUUAAUUUUUAAUUAUUGAUUCGGCUAAUCUAGGUCAUCCGAUCCAAAUCUCUUUAGAUCAACUUAAAUGAAUCAAGUUUUGAUAUAAAUCUACUUAAAUUCAUUUUUAAUUAUAAGCUAUAUUAGGGUACUCGUACAUGUGAGUAUUUCUUUAAUAUACUCAACAAACCCUUACUGUACCAUGUAGUAGCUUUUUUAUUUAGGGAUAAUUCAGGUAAUUAAUUAGGGUAAAAUUGAAAUUCUUGACGGAAAAAAUAGCAUUUUGUAAUUAUCAUAGGGAAUGACAUCAUCCAUAUAAGAUGUGAUAUGACAUGACCCACAUGGAACAAUAAUUACUUCUUAACCACUUGUAAAAUAACACUAGUUUCUUAUAAAAAUAUCUAUUCUACACAUCCUUAUGAUCAAACAAUUCAUAUCAAUCAGUUUUCCAUAAAUGAUCUUUUUGAAUGUUAUGUGCAAACCAUGUGAAUGUCAAAAGUUCAAUUGAUCAUGGUGUCUUGUAAAACAAAGCUCAAAAUCUCAUAAAACAUAAAUCAUUUGAAAAAAAAUAAGAGUUUUAAGUAAGGAAAGUUUAAAUAAGGGUGACGCUUCGAUGCCCAAAAAUCCUUAAAUCGAUCAUCUUUGACCUCAACUUGUAUGUACAAGAAAAAUAAAUAAAUUUCAAGUCUUCACAUCUUUAAAAUAAGGGUGCAGUUUGCAUACGGAUGCAUCCGUAGGUCUAGAGGUAAGGUGCACAUUCAAAUUUUAUAAUGAUAUAUAAUUUUGAUGUAAAAUGUUCUUAGAAUUAUCUCAAAAUCGAUUUUUAUAUCUAAUUAUAAAAUUUUAAAUUUCAAAAAUAGUUAAAAUGAAGUAGAUCUAUAAACAUAUGAAAAUCUUGAAAAUGGAUGAUGUAGAUAAUAUGUUGUAAACUGCACUAUUUCUGAGACUUAAAAUCUUUUUAUUUUUCAUAGUCAUGCAUCUCGAUGUCAAGAUGAUCAAUUAAAGGGUUUUUCAACAUUAAAACUACCUUUUCCAAUGGAUGUUUGAGGGGCACCUGUAGUUCUACAUUUUUUUUUUUGACAAAUAAACCGUAGUUCUACAUUAUAAGGUAGCAUCCUUAUAUAAACUUUUUCCAUAAAUUAAUGUAUCUUGUAUUGCAUUUUAAAUAAAGUGCACCUCAAAAACUCAUCGGCAAAGUUGAAUGAUACUGAAAAAUCCUUCCAUUAAAAUCAAUCAGUUUUCCAUAUUCAAAGUGUUUUUUUUUUAAUUUCUUGCAAAAAUCGUUUGAUUGUCAACAAUUAAAAAUGGAUCAUGCUUUCUUGGAACCAAAGAUCAAAAUCUUAAAAGCAUAAAGUGAAGUGCAUAUCAAAAACUCAUCGAAAAUGGCCAUUAUGAGGCUGAAAAAAAAAAUUCAAUCGUCUAACUUUAUAACUUCAAGAUGAGUGAUGGUACUUUGCAAGGGCAUUUAAAUAAAUUUAAUACUCUUAUGGGAAAGUUGAUGGGACUAGAUGUGAAAGUUGUUGAGGAAGAUAAGACAUCCAUAUUACUUUGUUCCAUACUGAAAUUAUUGGGAUGAACUGAUCAGGAUUCUCAAUACUGCAAAGCAUCUAGAACUUAAUUUUGUUGUGUUUGCACUUCUUAAAGAGGAGUUUAGGUGGAAGUUCAAUAAAAGAUAAUCUGAGAAUGUAUUUAUAGCAUGGUAGAUCAAUGAAGAGAACUGCAGGAGUGAGUUUGUCUUGAUCCAUGUCAAAAAUACAUAAGAAAGUGAAGUGCAUAGGUUGUAAAAAUUAUGUAAUGUGAGGAAAGAUUGCAAGUUUUUUUGAAAAUGAAGAAGUUUUGUCCAUGGAUAGAGAGGAAAUGUUGUACUAUUGAAUACUUGAUUCAGAUGCAUCCUUUCAUAUAUCUCCACGUAAGAAUUGGUUUUACAAAUAUGAACUAUGUGAUGGAAAAAUAGCUUACAUGGGAAAUAAAGACUCAUGCAAAAUAAUAUGAAUUGGAGGCAUGGGAAUCAAGAUGCUAAAUGAGGUGACACUAAAUCUCUUGCGUAAGGCAUUUUCUUCUGGUCUCACAGUGAGUCUCUUAGUCUUAAGAAAAUUUGAUGAGUAAGGUCAAGUUUACAGGUGAUAACACUAAAUCUCUUGCGUAAGGCAUUUUUUUCUGGUCUCACAGUGAGUCUCUUAGUCUUAAGAAAAUUUGAUGAGUAAGGUCAAGUUUACAGGUGAUAAUGGAUGUCUGAAAAUUUCAAAAGGAAUAAUAAUGGUUGUGCAAGUUGUCGACUACUUACAGCCAUUUGAUUGGAAAUCAAGUGGCUAAGGUUGUGUCACGAAGAUUAGUAAAAUAUUUAUUGAGCUUUGAGUGCGUUAAUUACAAAACCCUAACCAUCUGAUUUUAAAUCUAACCUUUCUGUACUAAAUAUAACCAAUCCAAUUGCAUACUUUUCUUUAAUAUCUUUUGGGCAUUUUAGUUAGGAGUUAAAUUGCCAAUGCAACUCGGAUUUGUCCGCGUUCGGAUCAUUGAUUGUGGUCCCAAGAGUCCUAGAACUGCUCUGAUUCUUUGCGUUUUUUAGCUUCUAUUUUCAAGUCAUGUUUGUUAAAUUUGGACAAAACUGGUUUGAUUAAAUUGAAAUGGACCCUGGCGAGUAGUAGUAGAUUUCCAGUUUUGAAAUUACUGUGUAGGCUCCACUUUCCUUUGCCCUUUGUGUUUUGUGUCGACAUGUCCAGAUGCGUCUAAAGAUCUAUUGGUGUGACCGAAUAACACGGAGCGUCUAAAUGUAGGCACACCGUGUUUGAAUAUCAGAUACACCUACCUACUCUAUGGUUUACUUUGUAUGACUUGCCUACUGAUCUAUUAAAUGAAGGUUCAAUGUACAUGAUAUGAAUGCUGACUGCAUAUAAAAAAUUUGGUUGUCCAGUUUUAGAGAUAUCGGGCAGGCACAAUUUUUUUUUUUUUUUUUUUAUUAUUUUUCGAUGCGGUUCAAUAUUGGAGAUACAAUGCAUUUCAAAUGGAAAACGCUAAGUAAGGGAUGGUCCAAUGUAUCUAAUAUCAGCCGGUCAAAAAUGGAUCGGUCCAAUAUUUGGUACAUCGAACAGCUGAAAAUAUCAAUCAUAGAAAUUAAAAAAAAUAAAAAGUAGUCCUUGAUGUUUGCAACAUCAGAUCAGUUUUUUUCAUGAACGUUCUCUUCCUGGACAGUGGUUUAGCUGUAGAUUAGAGAUAAGUCUAUUCUAAGACAAUAGUUCAGUUGUAGAAUAGAAAUCAUAUAUUUGCAAGUGCUGUCGUUUGGGAAAGCGGGUCUAAAAGAGUUUUCUCGAGUGGGUUUGGUUGAGGGUUAAAUAGAAAAGCAACCGGUGAUGACAUGAGGGAAAUUUGUCAUAAAGUUUCGAAAAUUUUCUUUCCAAGUUUGAGCUUGAUCAACUAAAUAAAUACAGCAACCCAAUUUCACAUUCAAUGGUUAAAAUCAAUUGUGACAAUCGUGUGCCAAAAGUAAAUGGUUUCAUUAUAUACUUUUUCAUAUAAUUAUAUAGGUAUAAAACCCCAAUUUUUUCAAAACUUAACAAACAGUAUUGAAUAAUGGUAAAGUAUGUAAUGAGACUAUUUAUCUUUUCUACAAGAUGGUCACAAUUAAUCAUGACCAUUGGAUGUGAAAUUAGGCGGCUACAUUUAUUUCAUUGACCAAGCUGAAAGUUCAAAAUAAAUUUUUUCAAACUUUGUGACCCAUCCAAGCGUUAGAUUUCACAUUGGAUGGUUGUAAGUAAUUGUGCCCUCCCUAUUCCAAAGGAAAACAGUCUCAUUGUAUAAAUCCCUUGAAUAAUCUAUGCCAACAAACUAGAUCUUCCAUCUAUCACAAAGAAGACCCUUGAGCCAAGCCAAGGGAUUCAUCUAUCGCAAUACUGUAAAGUCCCCUAUGUGCGGUAAAAAUAAAACUCAAGGCAUCCACCACCCUCUAGGCCCCUAAAGACAAUUGGUCAAAUAAAAUAUAAGGAAAAUGUCUCCAUAAACCCCAUUUUCAACUUUCAUUUCUUUCUAAACUAAAUAUUUCAAAACCUAUCUUCUAACCCCCUAAAUAACUUUAUCAAUUUUUAUUCCAACUUUUAAUCCAAACAAAUUAAAAAAGAUAUUUUUUUUCUAACUCUAUCUCUCUCCUCACAUGUUUCAAUCUAUUCUUCUUCUUACCCACCUUCUCCCUAGCUGUUCUCUUGCUCUUACUCUCGCCCUGCAAUGGGGUCACCUAGCUGCUCUCUUGCUCUUACUCUUGGCCUGCAAUGGGGUCACCAUCUUCUGACUCCAUCUCCCUUUUCUGGCAAAGCCCACAUCAGAAAAGAAUAGGUCUUGGUUAAGGCAAACAUCAUCGCCUCUUGUAGUUUUCCGGCGAUCCAUUGUUAUAUCAGGCGCACAACGGGAUUCUUCAUAGGCUGAAGAUUCAUGGGAGAAAUAUAGUUAUAUCAGGUGCAAUACGGCGAUCCAUGGUUAUACCAUUGAAUUUUAAACCCCUUUAUCUAUAUCUGCCUCUCUCUCUUCUGUCCAUCUCCUCCCUUCUUUCCCUCUCUGGUCAUCUUUUCAAAAUUCUGAAAUUGAAGACUUCUUCAAGAUCAUUUCUCUUGGGAUGAGACUGGACUCUCAGAUUGGGAUCAACUUUGAUUAAUAGAAAUUAAUGGAGGAAGUUCGUUUGCCUUAGGAUGAGGGAUUAAUGGUAUGUUGUAGUUUUACGGAUUUUAUAGUGAAAUUUGGGGGAGAAUGGCUGGAUUUUGGCUAGAAAGUGAGCAAAAUAAGCUGGUUUAUGGUGGUGAUGGUGAAAUUUGCUGGUUUAUCAGAUGUUUCCUUUUCUUGAGUUGAGCAGGCCGCCGGAAUUUAUUAUCGGAUGAUUUGGCCGGAAGCUUUCGCCGGAGAAUGAGGAUUGAUGAUUUUCUUGAAGUGGGUUUUGGGGGGUUUGUGUUAUCGUUCAGUUGGGAUUCUCUCUUGAGCUUACAUGUUUCUUUUUUUUCAUUAUUGAAACUUGGAGCCCAUCAUCACCUCUUGUGGUUUUCUUGCGAGUAGGUGACCAGGGUAGUAUAGUUUACCGGCGAGUAGGUGAGGGGGAGAGAGAGAGAGAGAGAGAGAGAGAGGUUCUAGAGGUUGAUCAGGGGAGAGAGAAAGAGAAUCAUGUCAAGAGUGAGAGGGGUUUGGAAACAAUGUGUUUUUAAAAUUUGUUUGGGUCAAAAAAAUUAGUAAAAAAUGAAUGAAAUAUGCUUAAGGGGUUAGGAGAUAUAAUAGAGUGAAUUUCUAUGUAGUAAGAUAGGUUUUUUCAACUUGAGGUCAAUGGAGAAAUGAAAGUUGAAAGUAGAGUCUAUGGAGAUAUUUUCUCUAAAUUAUAUGGUGUGUUUUCUUUUGGGGCCAUCUCACAUCAUUGUCUUACUAUAAUUUAUUAAAAUAUAUUUUUUAGAAAGUAUGCGUAUACCAUUUGUAUGACUCUAAAUUCUAAAUAUGCACUCUCAUCAUCUUAAUGAUCAAUCUCAGCAAGAAAAAAUCUCAUUUAUAUCUUAGAAAAAGUAAAAAAUAGUUCCACUCCAACAAUGAAUCUAGACUAUGCAUUUAUUGGAUAUUAGACAAAGGUUAUUAAGAAUUCAAAAUUUAUUUUUCGUUGUUCAAGUUGCUUAUCUAACGGUGAAAAGGCCAUCUAAAAAACUUGGAAUUAAGAAGAAAAAAAAAAUAGCCCUCAAACAAAUAGAUCUAAUCAUCCCAAACCAGUGAUUUAAAAAAUUCAGAGUCGACCCGGAAUCGCACCGAGUUGACACGAAAAUCAACCACUAAUUUUUAUGACUCUUGGGCGUCUCUUUUGCCACGUGCACCUCGCUACGGCUAACCCGAGCUGUUCCCACAUGCAUGCUCUACAAAAACCCGCAUUUUUGGGUAAUGGGAAAGCUUUUAUACAUGCCAAACCUCUCCUGAUUUGUCGAUGUGGGAUAACAAUGGAGGCUGUAGAGUAGAUAUCUCUCUUUGUGUGUUAUAUAAUAAAUAAAAUAAAUGACAUUUAGUUAAUAGCAUUAGUUAAUUCUUCUUUAUAGUGUUUAAGGCAUUAUACCGUUAAAGGCAUUAGUUAAUAUCAUUUUCCUCUUUUUGGCUUCGUACCGUUAAAUGCAUUAGUUAAUAGCGUUAAAUGUUAAUGGGAAAAGUUUAUAUAAGGUUGCAACCUUAAAAUGUAGAAUCACAUAUGCACCUCAAAAAUCUUUUCAUCUUGAUAUCGAGAUGUAUGACUAUAAAAAUAUAUGUAUAUAUUUUGAGUCCCAGAAAUAGUUCAUCUUGCAACACAUUAUCUAGACUGUCUAUUUUCAAGAUUUUCAUAUAUUUAUAGAUCUACUUGAUUUUAACCAUUUUUAGAAUUUAAAAUUUUAUAAUUAGAUAUGAAAAAUAGAUUUUAAGAUAAUCCUAAGAAUUUUUUACAACAAAAGUACAUGUUAUGAUAAAAAUUUUAGGUGCGCCUUAAUUGGAUUGUUUAAAGUUGCAACCUUAUAGAAACCGCACCCUUAGUUAAUAGCAUUGGUUAAUAACUAAAUGGCAUUAAUUAACAUCAUUUAAGGCUAGGUUUUAAAGGUUUGGACCUAGCUUUUUAUCAAAAAAUCAAUGGUAUAAUUAUAUUAAUUUCUUUUGUACCAUGGUGGCCUUUAAAUAUUAAUUUACAGCAAAGAAAAAUUAUUAAAAAUAAUAAUUGGCUGAUAGGGCCCACCACCCCUUUCUUUCACCAAAAAAAUUUAAAUUUACUUGUCCAAAAAACAAGACCAAUAGAAUUAAACUAUUAGCUAAUUGAGAUUAAAAAAAUUAGAACUAGCACAUAAGAUAUUAAAAAAAGCAAAAAAUAAUACUAAUGCUGGUUUAUUGAACAUUAAAAAAAAAACUAGUACUUUAACAAACGAAAAUAACACUAGCUCAUACUACUUUAGAAUUUAUUGCAUGUUGCUUUUAUCAAUUAUCCCCCAUUUGCAAAGAUGAAUUUAUUUAUAUACUUUCUUAAUUUUAUAAAAAUGUGAUUGCAAAUAUAUGUUAUUAGAUUCUAUAUGUUUAUCAACACUAAUUAUUAUACAUUAUAUUUAUUUAUUCAUAAUAAUCAAAUCUUAUAUUUUAUUUAUUAAUUUAUUUACAUUAUAAAUUAUGCAAUGUAUUAUUUUUUAUUAUAGUUGUAAAUUAGAUUUUUAAAUUAUAUGAUACUAUAUGACAAAUUUCAAAUUUAUUCUUAUUUGUAUUGUAAAAUGAUGGUAAAAUAACAAAAUACAAACUAAUAAUUCUAAUUUCAAUGUAUAAUAAUGCAUUUAGUUAGGUUUUAAUAAAUGUUUGAUAAAAAUCUUAAUACAGGGAAAGAACAUCUCAAUAUUCGCAUAUUGAUGCAAAAAAAUGAAAUUUAUUAGUGGAGUACCCACAUUUCUUAUUGGAUUUCUAAAAAAAAAACAUUUAUAAUGAAUUUUAAUAAUUAUUUUGGAUUUUUUUAAUACUUAAUCCGAUCGAUUUGGCUGAUUCCCGAUCUGAAUCACCAAUUCACUGAUCCGGAUAGGUUUUUGGGGUGCCCGAUUUGGCGUACCGAUCCGUUUUUUAAAUCACUGCAUCAAACAAUCAAUAAUCAUGGCAUUAAAACAUAAUUUAUUUUUUGAGAUUAUUUACAAAAAUAAAAGGAAAAUUUAUGUAAAUAUCUGUUUUAUUUUUUGUUAUUACAAAAAUACCUAAAUCUUUCAAUUAUUACUCAUAUAUCCAUUUUUUUAUAUUCAUAAUAAUUCUUUUUUACAAAAAGUCGAAACUAUCCAUUUUUUAUUUUCAAAAAUCAAAAUUUAAGAAAUUUCGGUCUUAAAAAGCCGAAUUUCGCUGUUUGCAGAUUCGACCAAGUUAUUCAAGAACAAUUUUCAUGUUCCCUCCCCUCUAUUAAUGGCAAAAGCGAAGAAAACAAAAAAUUGAGAAAAUUGUAUAACAACUAAUAAAUGAACUUAUACACAUGGAAAAAAUACGAACUAAUAAUUCAUCCACACGAGCAAAAUGAAACCCUAAAAUUAGGUCAGCAAACAAGAAUCCUCACCCCCAAACUCACGCCUCUUAUGUCUGGAAUCCGGUGAUGUACGAGAGAGUUCUGAGCUCAGUGUGAUUGAUAGGAUGCAAUUGGAAAGCAAUUGGGAGAGGAAGAGCGAGAAACACACUCCAUUGUUGAAGAAUUAUAGUUUAAUGGCAGUUCAAAGCGCUAUUAACAAAGAAUUGCAGUUGAAAGCGCCAUUAACAAAGAAUUAGGGAUUGUAGGGGAUGAGAAAGCCUGGGAGAUUUUGAUUUCGAUUGAAUAAAACGAAGGGAUAUCUUUUAAAAUAGUAAAAUUUCUUCCCUCAAAUACAAAAAGCAGAAAGUGUGGGUAAUUUGUAGAGAACAUGCUGCGACCAAAACAUAAAAACUGAAAAACAAAUAAAUUUGGUUUUUGAAAAAUCAAAAAUUUAAAAAUUAACCGUAAAUGAGUAGUUUCAUUUUUUUAAAAAGAAUUGUUAUGAAGUUCAAAAAACGGAUAUAUGAGUAAUAGUAAAAAGUUCUAAGUAUUUUCAAAAUAACUGAAAAUAAAACGGAUAUUUCCAUAAUUUUCUCAAAACAAAAAGAGGUGUGUUUAAAUAUUCAGAUUUUAAAAAUGUCCCAGCAUUGUUUUAAAAGUAAAUUUCACUAUAUUGCUAUAAAAUCAUUGGUUGAGAUCACUCCCUUGUUGUUAGCGAUAUAGAUAAAGACAAUUGGUCAAAAACAAUAUAUGUACGUACCUAACCAAAUAGAAUAUUGUUGUUUUAGAUAUCCAUAUCCCACAUUGUUAAUCUUUUGUCCUAGACAUCCAUAUUGUUAAUCUUUUGUCUUGAAUCUCAAGUAAUUUGGGAUUAUUCCUUUUUUGAAGUGGGUUUAGGUUUCCUAAUUCAAAGGGAUAUGUUUUGUGUGCCAAUUUUGUGGGAGAUUAUUUCGUAUUUCCGGGAGAGACUCCCUAGCUUUUGAGAAUUCUAUAUGGAGCUUUUUAUGUACGGACACUUUUUUACUCCAUAUAUUAUCGUUCGAUUUACGAAGAGCGCCACUCCUAUAGUGCUUUUUUUCUUUUUGGUUUUAAGUUAAACUCCUAUUUGGUAUUAACAACACCCGAUUAAAGACAGCUUUUUGUUUUAAGACAAACAACUCAUUCACCGGACUAAAGGCAACGUUUGCCUUAAGACAAACAACUCAUUUGUCCGGUAGUUUUACGCCACGUGCGGUGUUUGGUAUUUUCAGUAUUGGAUAGUUGCUUGCAUCCCCUUAAAAAGUGAGUGCGCCCAUUGGCGAGCCUAUUUCAAUUUUGUGGGUUAACCCUCUCUCUCUUCUGGGAGCUUUCUCAUAGCCUCAAGCAGAUGUCCGAGGUCUCAGAUCUACGCGAACAUUUACUCAUCUAAUUUGCAAUCCAUCAAAUAUAUUUUCAUUUUAUUUGUCUUAGUCAUUGUAACUUUUUUUUGUUGAAAUCAUCAUUAUUUAUAGACCUUUUGAACCAAUUUGUCAAAGGCUUUGCUAGAUUGAUCAAUCUUCAAAUAUUGAAGUGUUUUGGUUGAGAUCUGGUUUUGGAGGUUUCUUGGGUCAAUGAGCGUUAUAUUGAACCUUUUAAACAAGUAAUGACAUAUUCUGGUUUCGGGGUCCAAAACUACCUAAAUUUGGAUUUUUUUUUUAUCAUUAUCAUUUUUAAUCAAUAUUUGCCAUGAAGUAAGAAACUUCUAUUAAUUAUGUACAAAAAUGAUGGUAACUUACAAAAAAAAUUAAAAAUAUUGAAUGCAAGAAGGAGAUGAAUCCUACCUGAUUAGCACUCGAUGCAUAGCAACAGUUUGCCGAUGUGAAAGCUUUAGAUAGUCGCUCAGCAGAGACCGAGAGAGAGAGAGAGAGCUCUAGGUAGAGAGAGAGAAUAGAGGGAAAAGGCCAAAUGGAGCAUUCGAGUAGAUGUCUGUUACGAACACUGGACAUAUUAGAAUAUAAGUUCGACUUCACUCGAGUAAUGUUUGGUAUGACUAAUACCGAACUGACAAAAAACAAAAGCACUAUAUAUCCGGUAUCCUGAACACCAAAUAGGACAAAGUAGCCCCUCUGGUGUUGUGAAAAAAAUAGAAAAGGAGGCCAACUUAGGAAAAAAAAAUGCUGCUAGGGGAGGGGUACUCUUUGUAAGGUUUUUGAAAAAAUAACACUAACCGAUAAUAAAGGAUACAAAAGGUUGUCAAAGGAAAGUAUAUAUUGUAUAUCUGGUUAAUAUAGAAGGUGCAUAUUAUAAUCAGUAAAUAUGAGAAAGGUAGGAUAUUGUGUCCUCCUUUGUUUUAUGGUAAGUCUGGGUAUAGUUUAGGCAUCUAUGAUUUAGUUUUUAUUUUCUCAUAUGUAAUUUGUCUAUAAAAGACAAGUCUGUAUAUGCAUAUCAAUUAAUGGACAUUGAGUCUCUUCAGAGAAAACUGCGACUCUUCACAUGGUAUCAGAGAAAGGUUAUCUUUGUUGCGUCCAUUCAUCAUCUGAACUUGCACUUUAGAUCUGAGUUCUUUGUCAAGUCGUGUUUCGACUAUUUAAUCUAUCUCUCUGUCUAGUCGUGUUUCGACUCUCUGAUCUGUCUCUCUAAGGAGUCGUGUUUCUUUGAUCUAUCUCUAUGCCGAGUCGUGUUUCGACUCUCUGAUCUGUCUCUUUAUGGAGUAGUGUUUCUCUGAUCUGUUUCUAUGUCGAGUCAUGUUUCGACUAUCUGAUCUGUUUGAUCUUUUUCAAGAGUUCCUAAAACCAUAUGUUCUAGAGGCUUGUUGAUUCUUCAUUGCUUUAUGUUCAUGUUGAUCAAGCAAUCUGAGUAUGCACAUGAAGAUCCAAUUGCUCGUUUUCUCGAUUUGGUGUUCAAACUCUAGCUGCUCUCUUUCAUAGCAUCUUGUGUUAUGAGGGAGAGUGUGAAAGGAAAGUAUAUAUUGUAUAUACGGUUAAUAUAGAAGGUGUAUAUUGUAAUUAGUAAAUAUGAGAAAGGUAGGAUAUUGUGUCCUGCAUUUUAUAGUAAGUCUGGGUAUAGUUUAGAUGUCUACGACUUAGCUUCUAUUUUCUCAUUUGUAAUUUGUCUAUAAAAGACAAAGCUGUAUAUUCAUAUCAAUUAAUAUACACUGAGUCUCUUCAGAGAAAUUUGAAACUCUUCACUAUCCACACGUAAAAAGAACUUUUCUAAAUUACCCAAGAAACUCAUUAAAGGAAAGGAGUUUAUAGGAUUAGCUUUAUCACUUUAAAAAAGAAGAAUAAACUAGGCCUCACAAGAGGGUGCUUUGGGUUUCCUCUAUGCUAUAAUUGUUUUGUAAAAAGAGAAACACACAAGACAAAUAAGUAAAAGCGAAGGAAACUUUGGGAAUGUGUAGAGAAAAUCUUUUAUGAGAGAUUUUGUAUCUGGUUCGCUCUAAGUGUCUUGUAAUUUUAUUUCUUUAAUUAGUGGAAAACUGUCGAUUGUCUUCUCCUUUGGAUGUUAUUACAUCUGUAUUGAAUUACAUAAAUUCUAGUUUACUUUCAUAUGUUAUUUUUCCAUGUUUUAUUUUUUGUGCUUGUUAUUUGAUUGUUAUUAGUUCUAUUUUUUUCGCCCUUUAUCUGCCGAAAAUCAAUCUGUCAGGUUCUAGAGCUUUCGGGCACAACACAUAUUAUGAUAAUCCACAUGAACUCUUAAGCCAAAAGAUUUCGACCUUCAGCACAACCAUACUACCCAUUUAAUUUCUCAAGUAAAACUCAAUUUAUGAGUAUUUUGAGGACUCAAAUAUUGGGGACGUAUCCUCUUCAGCCUACACAUUAACUUUAUUUAAAAAAAAAAAAAUUUUCCCAAUAACUGAUGUCCAGAGAUCAAUAGGUGAGGUUCCAAUUUUGGAUAGUGAGAUUUAGUAGUUAGAAAACUCAAAAUCCAAACCUUUUAUUUUGGAAAAUAACAAUAUGGUGGUUCUCAAAUGGUUCCCAAAAUUCCUUAUGAAAAACUCCUCCAAAGUAGUUCUUCCUCUUGAGGAAAAGUCAUACAGCCUGCUCCCUCGGGAGCAUAGUACAGGCGCUCAACUCUUGAAAUGUGCAUCGGGCUUGCCACACCGUCUAACCGACAAGGAAAACUGUGGAAGGGUGCACAUGCGUACCGGUUGAGAUUUCACGAGGCCAGCAAAAAAAUUGAUCUCAAAUUUUAUUUUUAUAAAUAUAAAUAAUGAAAAUAUUUUAGAUAAAAAAUAAUCAAAAUAAUCUUAAAUUUAUUUUGAGCAUUAUUUUUUAUUUAAAAUAUUUUUUGUUAUUUUUGUUCAAUUCUACUUAUAAAAAAGAAGCUAAAGCCCAAAUCUCAUAUUUAUAUUUUAAAAAAAAACCAUUAAACCAAAAAAAAUAUUUUGACCCUUGGAUGAGGUUGGUUCAAUCUCAACCACUAAAGGUGGUUUGUGUAAGCGUCACAGCAUGUGGACGCAGUACCACCUGGAGAAAGGUUGUACAAUCUAGUUGAAAACAAAAAAUUUGGCAACGAAAAUCUAAAUGAUAAAUGAAAAUACAUAUUGGAAAAACCUCACAAAAUAUAUUGACGCUCAAAAAGUACAUAUUAAAAAAAGUGAAAUAGAAAUAUAUAAAAUGAUAUAUUGUAUGAGAAAAGAAUAUUUAUGAUGUUGAAAAAGCAUGGUCAUAAUUAAAAAGAAAGCAAAAUGAAAUACACAAAAUUAUACAAUAAAAUUUUUAAGAAAGGAAAAUAAUUUACCCCCAAAAAAGAAAAGAAAAUAAUUUGAUUAGGCUUCAGCCCUAUCAAAAUAAGUAAAGCCUCGUCUCAUAGCUCAUCAAAAAUUGCAGUUCUAAGUAUUGAAAAACCUUGAAAUCAAGCAGCUUGAACACUAAUGUUAAAACUAAUGUAUAUUGCGACAAAACAUCUAGACCAUCCACUUUGCCUUAAAAAUAAAUGUUCAGUGCACAAGAUCUAUACCAUUUUUUGUGUUUCAAAUUUCCUUGUCGGUGUUGAAAAUUAAUUUUAGAUCUAUCAUGAAGAUUUUCAACAUCCAAAAUGCUUUCCAGAUCAGGAUUUGAAGUGAGGCUUUAUUUUGUUUCAUAACGCCCUUGGCUCUAUAGAAACUUCAUCCUUGAAGAAAAAAAAUGUAGAAAGCACCGCUAGAGCCACUAAUAAAGGGUGAAGCCUGAACCAUCGUCACAGAAAAGCCAACCUGCUUUAGGUGUUCUAGACACCGUGUUUAGGGGCUCAGUUGAGUCGACUCGGCGUCGUGACCCCGCCAAAGUGAGUGUAUUUGCCCAAUUCACCCCUCUUAAAAUCUAUUGAAAAGUCACAAAUUUUAUUUAAGAACCACUAAUAUAUAAUUCAUAAAUAUGUUUAUGUAUGAAUUUUAGGGAUUUUUAUGAUGAUUUACGAAUUUUUUUAUGUGUUUUAAUUUUUAAUUUUUCAUUUGUUGGAAUAUUUUAAGAUAUAGAUCAAUUUCUUCAAUAAAUUAUGUUUUGCAGAAUUUUCAAUAUCUUAUAUCCUUUCAUCGAUCUUUAUUACUUAUUUUAGUCUUUGUUGUUCUAUUUUUUAAUAAUUUUUGUAAAUUUGUUAGAUUUUUGGGCCGAUUUGACAUUAUGCAGCACUCAGCCAUGUUCAUUCGAACUUAGCGGAGUAACUCAACUUGAGUCGGGGUGGAGUCCGAGGCUGAAGCCAUGUUUCAUAACAAUGUUGAGAACUAUUUUACACGAUCAAAACUCUUUUAAAUGUAUAACCGCCGGUUUUUACCCCUUGUUUUUUACGGUCUCCUCUACAUUUUCCCUAAACCUGCCGUUUUUAUGACAGUCUCCUCCAUAUUUGCACAACUUUGGAGAAAAUACGGAGGAGACAAUAAUAAAAGGGGUGGAAAAUCGAUUCGUACAUAUUUUUCCCAAUUAUAAAUAAGAAUAAAGAUUCAAUGAGCUGACCAACUUUUUGGGAAAUAUAGAGUAUAUUAGAUUAGAAAAAAAGACGCUACGGCCUAUAGAGGAUGUUGGCCAAUGAGGAUAACCGAAAUAAUAUGUAUAAUACAUUUGAAAAAAAAAUAUGGAACUAAGAAAAACUGCUAAAAUAGGAAAUCACUAAACCACAUCACAAAUAACAUAGACCACACACACAAGUAAAAAUAGAUUGCACCGAAAAUGAGUUACAUCCAAAAACAAAGACAAUAAAAGGGAAAAAUUUAAAAGUUAGUGGCAUCUAUAGAAAUUAUCUACAAAUAAAACUUGAAUAGAUUUUUCUUACCUCAAUACCACCAUUAAUCGACUCUUCUUCGUCACCGUCAACCAUCAUCGUUGCCACAAAGAAAUGCCAAUGAAAUCCAGCCUAAUACAAAAGAACAAUGGUGCUAGAAUUUAUGCAAAAAAAAAAAAAGCGCCAAAUCUGUACCUCUGGCAACUUCUCUACGCUUCCUUUUUAUGUUUUCUCUCUCUAAAAUUAACUUUUAUAGGCCUCCAUAAAAAUCCAUUCUUCUAUGACAAAAACAUCUCCGAACUUUGAGUGAUUGUGCAUGACAGGAGAUCUAGUUUGCUUAUUUAUUGUCAAUUACAUCUCGUUCUNNNNNNNNNNNNNNNNNNNNNNNNNNNNNNNNNNNNNNNNNNNNNNNNNNNNNNNNNNNNNNNNNNNNNNNNNNNNNNNNNNNNNNNNNNNNNNNNNNNNNNNNNNNNNNNNNNNNNNNNNNNNNNNNNNNNNNNNNNNNNNNNNNNNNCUGCAAAUUAUGGUGAAUACAAAUGGGGUGAAUACCUUAUGUCAAGGAGGUUCAGCAAUUUCAAGAAGUUGGACAAGCCUGUGAUUGAGGUUGCAGAAUUUAAAAAGUCCAAAUAAGCCACUCUUAUAGAAGUUUGUAACGCUUUAUGUUCUUGCUUGCUUGCUCUUGGUUUCCUUUCUGUGUUUCUACUCGUAAGUUUGUUCGAAUAAGUGGCCUUUGAUCCACAAACUAUCUCUGUCCCAACUAUUAUUGAACUGUUAUGUAAAAAUAGCAAUGAAAUAUGGUAUUGGUAUCAUCCUAUUGCAUUAAGUUCGAUAAUAUGCAUUUCUCUCUCUAAUUUGUCUCAUACACAUCUCUUUCUCUCAUACACAAUAUGCAUCUCUCAUCUCUUCAUACACAACAUGCAUAUUUAUCUCACACUCUCUCUCUCUUAAGGCGCUAAUAAUUCAAGAAUCUUAAAAUACGAAAUGCUCUAUUUAGAGGUGAAAGUUAUCGGUCAACCUAUUUUUUUAAUUUGUUUUAAAAUUGCCCCUUAGGCCAAGGACAUAUCUCACGUGAAUCAUUUAGCUAGUAUUUUUAGGAUUAAACAAGAAAACAUAGUUAUAUUUCGACAAACAUCUAUUACUUGAUAUUCUGAUAGACUGUUAAUAUUUCAUUCAACAAAGCUAAAUCGUUGGAAACUUUAAAAAUAAGAGUUUAAAGAAAUUGAACAUUUUUUUUUCUGUUUUUUUAGGGCAAUUGUCAAUCCAAACCGAUUUUCCGGACAACCACUUCGCCAGGCCCAUCGAGAAUUUCAAACAUUGGUGGAUGAAUUAUUCGACUUCGAGGUCCCAACCGUAGGCAUAAGAGAGCUGUAAAUUGUUUCAUCGUACGGUAUAUGGGCUUGUUGAGCUUUAAAUGUAUUAUAUUUACAAUGCACAAUAGGCAAAGAUAAAGAAAUGACACGACACGGAAAGAUAACGUGCUGCUGCGCCAUACACAUGAUUAACUCCUCUUUCUUUUUUUGAAAUUUUUUUCAAAAUGGAAAAAGUUUAUAUAAGCUUGUAACGUUAUAAUGUAAAGCUACGGAUGCACCUCAAAAAUCCAUCGAAAAAAGUCGUUUUAAUGUUGAAAAACCCUUUGAUUGAUCAAUUCGACGUAGAGAUAAAUGUCAUGAAAAGAUAAAAAGAUUUCAAGUCUAAAAAAUAUAUGCAUUUUACAAGUCUAAAAAAAUAUGCAUUUUUCAAGUCUAAAAAAAUAUGCAUUUUCAUAUGUUUAUAGAUCUACUCGAUUUUAACCUUUUUGAAAUUUAAAAUUUUAUGAUUAGAGAUAAAAAUAGAUUUGGAGAUAAUCCUAAGAACAUUUUACAUCAAAAUUAUAUAUCAUGAUAAAAUUUGAAGGCGUACGUUACCUCUACAGCUAUGGAUGCAUCUGUAUGCCAACUGCACCCUUUCAAAAUCGUUCUCCAGUCUGAAGAUGGAAUCUUUGGUCCAAAUUUUAUUUUAUUUUUUUUAAUUUAUUUUUGUUAAAAGGGCAAUGCCCCCAAGCUUUAAGGUAGUACCCUACUUAAAACAAACUAAAAAAAAUUUAAAAUUCGGUUCUCGAAUGUCCUUGGCCUAAGGGGCAAUUUUAAAAAAAAUUUAAAAAAUAGGUUGACCGAUAACUUUCACCUCUAAAUAGAACAUUUCGUAUUUUAAGAUUCUUGAAUUAUUAGCGCCUUAAGAGAGAGAGAGUGUGAGAUAAAUAUGCAUGUUGUGUAUGAAGAGAUGAGAGAUGCAUAUUGUGUAUGAGAGAAAGAGAUGUUUAUGAGAUAAAUUAGAGAGAGAAAUGCAUAUUAUCAACCUUAAUGCAAUAGGAUGAUACCAAUACCAUAUUUCAUUGCUAUUUUACAUAACAGUUCAAUAAUAGUUGGGACAGAGAUAGUUUGUGGAUCAAAGGCCACUUAUUCGAACAAACUUACAAGUAGAAACACAGAAAGGAAACCAAGAGCAAGCAAGCAAGAACAUAAAGCGUUACAAACUUCUAUAAGAGUGGCUUAUUUGGACUUUUUAAAUUCUGCAACCUCAAUCACAGGCUUGUCCAACUUCUUGAAAUUGCUGAACCUCCUUGACAUAAGGUAUUCACCCCAUUUGUAUUCACCAUAAUUUGCAGUGUUUUUUUCAUCAACCAGCUCCUCUAAUGGCUUCACAAUGGCAUGGUAAGAAGGUACGGCCGCAAGGAUGGCUGAGAACCUCUCGACAUGGGAAUCCAAGACCACUCUGUGGGUUACGCUAUCAUAAAUGUCAUUGCUCCAUACCUGCGAAAGUUAUAAAACAUUCUCACUCCUNNNNNNNNNNNNNNNNNNNNNNNNNNNNNNNNNNNNNNNNNNNNNNNNNNNNNNNNNNNNNNNNNNNNNNNNNNNNNNNNNNNNNNNNNNNNNNNNNNNNNNNNNNNNNNNNNNNNNNNNNNNNNNNNNNNNUGUUUUUUUCAUCAACCAGCUCCUCUAAUGGCUUCACAAUGGCAUGGUAAGAAGGUACGGCCGCAAGGAUGGCUGAGAACCUCUCGACAUGGGAAUCCAAGACCACUCUGUGGGUUACGCUAUCAUAAAUGUCAUUGCUCCAUACCUGCGAAAGUUAUAAAACAUUCUCACUCCUAGAACGAGAUGUAAUUGACAAUAAAUAAGCAAACUAGAUCUCCUGUCAUGCACAAUCACUCAAAGUUCAGGAGAUGUUUUUGUCAUAGAAGAAUGGAUUUUUAUGGAGGCCUAUAAAAGUUAAUUUUAGAGAGAGAAAACAUAAAAAGGAAGUGUAGAGAAGUUGCCAGAGGUACAGAUUUGGCGCUUUUUUUUUUUUGCAUAAAUUCUAGCACCAUUGUUCUUUUGUAUUAGGCUGGAUUUCAUUGGCAUUUCUUUGUGGCAACGAUGAUGGUUGACGGUGACGAAGAAGAGUCGAUUAAUGGUGGUAUUGAGGUAAGAAAAAUCUAUUUGAGUUUUAUUUGUAGAUAAUUUCUAUAGAUGUCACUAACUUUUAAAUUUUUCCCUUUUAUUGUCCUUGUUUUUUUGAUGUAACUCAUUUUCGGUGCAAUCUAUUUUUACUUGUGUGUGUGGUCUAUGUUAUUUGUGAUGUGGUUUAGUGAUUUCCUAUUUUAGCAGUUUUUCUUAGUUCCAUAUUUUUUUUUCAAAUGUAUUAUACAUAUUAUUUCGGUUAUCCCCAUUGGCCAACAUCCUCUAUAGGCCGUAGCGUCUUUUUUUUUAAUCUCUGUCUCAUUCCUUUCUUUCCUUCCUCCAGACCCUUGCGGUCUUAUGUUUUUGACCUCUCUCUCACUCCCCAUAUAACCAUUCCCUCAUAAUUUUUACCUCCUCUCUCUCUCCUUCGACUAUUAAAUUUGACGUCUUUCUCUUAUUCUCUAUGAGUAAAUGAUAAGUUGUUGCUAAAAGAUUUCAUGCUCAUGUAGGAGCAUAUUUUUUAUUUACUCCCUUGUGUUAAACUCAAUUUAGGAGCACUUUUAGAAAUCCAAAUUUUAGAAUUUAAAUCUUGUAGACUAGCCUCAAUAAAAAAAAUUCCAAAUCAUACUCUUGAUGGGCUUGAAAAACAUGUAAUGUCUCAAAAUAGAAUAGAAACUGGCCAAUUUUUGGGGGCGAUAUCAAGUUUGCUAUAAAACUCGAAAUUAAUAUUUUUUAUUUUGAAACAAUUAUCUAUUAAUUAUUAGGUGGUUCUCAAAAUUUCAGAUCAUUAAAAAAAAAUGUCCAAAGUAGGUCUUCUGUCUGAUGGAGAAAGUAUAUAAUAUAUGCUCAUGUGGGAGCAUAAUAUAUGCCCAAAUAAUUUGUUUUUUUUGGGUGAGUAAAAAAGCAUUCGUGCAACUUUUUUAUCCAAAUAAUUUGUUGAGGAAAAUCUUUUAAGUUGAUCAUCUCGACUUUGAGCAUCAGAAAACUUUUAAGUUGAUCAUCUCGACCUUGAGCAUCAGAAAACUUUUAAGUUGAUCAUCUCGACCUUGAGCAUUAUGGUCUCAUAAAUACCAGCAAGAUUGGUAUCAUUUCUAAGCUACAAUUGUCAUAAUCAGUAGUGAAAUUUUAUCUUAGAGCCAUGAUAGAGAUUUCUCAUGUCAAAAGUGUGUUCUGAACAAUAUUUUGAAAUAAAGUUUUUCUUUUUUUAUAAUUUUUUUUGUAACGCCUAAGCCUAAUAGAAAACCGCAUCAUCCAUUUGUUAAUGCAUACCUGAACGACAUCACCGCCAACAAUGAUGUAGGAGUUGGGUAUGGGCCUAAGCCUUAGCCACUGACUGUCCGAUCUUCGUUGAACCUCGAAUCCACUGACCUCAUCAGUGGUUAAAAGGGUGAAUGCAGUUGGAUCUCUGUGAGGUCCUUUGCCCAAAGCCAGCUCUGGGAUACUGCACGGUGCGUAGUGAUUAGUGCGAACAUAGCAAGUGCUCUUUUCGAAAUAGCGGUGCAGUCGGUCAGAUGGGAGACCCAAGCUAAGAGAAAUGAGCUCCAUCAAUUGAUACAACAACUUUAAGGUCCCUUGGGCGAAGUCCUGGCAUAUUUGCCUGUGGGAGAGGGAGAAUUACAGGGAUUAGAGAGAAAAUGUGCUUAAUUACAUUAAAGAAAGUGUGAUAGAGAGGAUGAGCAUAACAAUAAGAGAGAGACAGAGUCCAUUACUUGUAAUCCUCUGGCUUUUCCGGCCACAAGUUCCUAAUAAUCUUGGUCUCCUUACAGUCUGGCUCCAUGUUUUCCGGUAUCUCGAGCUCCUCUGUUUCUGCCAUAAAAUCGAAGACUUCGACCCAAUCUCUAACAUUCUUGGUGUGGUCUUUAUCAUUGUAACCCCAAGGGUUGCUUAUAUCUCUACCCACCUUCUUCUUCUCCUCAUAUGGCAAAGCUGAGAAACCAGCCAUUGCCUUCUUCAGAUUCGACCAGAGAUCAGGCGACACACCAUGGUUAAUUACCACAAAGAAGGCCCACUCUUUCAUGGCAUUGUGCACUUGUUUGGCUAUACUAGCCAUGGCUUCCUCCUUGGAGGAAUUUUGAUCUGAAAAUGCCAAUUGAAGUGGAGCUAGGUCGAUUAUUGGGGCAUUUUCUAAGUAUAUGAUUGAACCUAUGGAUGGACGAGCCUCUACGGGUUGAAUUAGAGCUGCAUCAAUGGAGGGCGCCAUUUUUUCUCGAUGCUUUCUAACUCUAUUCACUCUAUGAUGCUUGACGCUUGGUCUCUUAUUCAUGGCGAGCCCUGCUCACCUCUUUAUUGGCCCUCGGGCUCUUUUAUUUUUUAUUUUUUAUUUCUUGGAAGUGUAACACGUGGUGAUGGUGCACCAUAAAAAAUUGUGGGACCGGCACCAAUACAGCAAUGGCCAAUCCCUAGCCCUCGCUAUGUCGGGGUUGCGCCGGAUACCGCCGGGCUUAAUAUAUCCAAAGUGAAAAAAAGAGAAACAAUAAGAAGAAAGAAGGUUCACACCUGGCCUUGUUUGGCCCUUGGGCCGAUGCAUCCUGCCCCUCGGGCCAUAUUUUGUGGCUUAGGCCUAGGAUUUUUUAAGGUCGGGCCUGCCAUCUGACCCAUUUAUCCUACCAAUAUAGGUACUUUGUCUCGUAUUGGUUUUAGGUGCAGUAUUGGGGCCACACCUCAUACAAACCUGAUAUAUGCAUACAACCAUCUAUAUAUAAAUUUAGUAACAAUAUCAUCAUCAUUAUCAGAGCAUUUUUCUAGUUAAUUGGGAUUAGCUAUAUGAAUUAUGGUUCACUAUUCUAUUCUAUUAAGGGUCAUACGCUCACUAAGGAUAUAAGUCCUCAUAUAUUUUCUCACUACUUCCAACCAUAUUUAUAUGUUUCUAUUAGUAUGCGGUGUUCACAUGAAACUCCUGCUGCACAUCUUCACUUUGCCCAUUCAGCUCACUCUAUUGUUUUGGAUUAUCGAUUCAAGAUAUUUAAAGUGUGUUUUUUUUUUUGUAUUCUUUAGCCGUUAAUCUUAACUGUUUCUUCAUCUCUAUUCUAUUGGUAUGCGGUGAUCACAUAAAAGAGACCUAACCAGCGAUUUAAAAUAUAGAAUUGGGGUUCAACUUAAUCGUAUUAAGCCUACAUUCGAUCUUUUAAUUCUGAUUCAUAUUGCCUGAUUCAGAUUGCGGAUAAUAAAGAAAUUUCAGGAAAAUAGAAAAUCAAGGGAACCCGUGCACAUUAUGGAUUUUUCGAGUUAGAAUUGCCCAUGCCCCAAUCCAGAUUCGACAUGAACGACUCACAAUUAGAUUGGAAAUUUUCCCACACUGGUCCCUCAAAAUAAAUUCCCUGCCCUUGAAACAGGUGGCCAGUCAAACACGGGGCGGCUUCCUAGUAAAGGUCCAAAUUGGGAUACAAAGCAUGUAUCCAUUUCUUUUCGGUGUGGAAUAUAAAAUGGUGAGAUGGUUAUAAUAGGAAAAGUUUAUACCGAGGUGAGGCUCCAAACAAUCAAAUUUGACUCUAUCUCAAAAAUUUCACUAGAAGAGAUUGUUUUGAUGUCCAAAUAUUUUCAAAUUGAUCAUCUUGGCAUGAAGAUGUAUAGACAUGAGAAAAAGGAGAUUUCAAGUUUUGAAAAUAAUGUAUUUUGUAACGUAUUUUUGGACCAUCAAUUUUCAAGAUUUUUAAGUUUUUUUAGAUUUGUUGAUCUACACUAUUUUUGAAGCUUUAAACUUUUAUAAAUAAAUAUGAAAAUAUAUUUUAAGGCUAUUACAAAGAUUUUUAAUAUUAAAACCACAUUUCUCAGAUACUAUUAGAAGGUGGCUCUAAUUUGAUUGUUUAGAGCCUAGGCUCUAUACAAAUAGCAUCCGGUUAUAACAUUGUGCAGUCACUCACUAACAACUAAAUACAAUAAAAUUAAGAAUUGGCCUCGAAGUCAGAACGGCCAAAAGAAUUUGACAUCUUGAAUUCUAUUUCUACGGCGUCGUGUCCCACUCAUUCGUUGUACUUGAAAUUGUUGAGAUUCCUGCAAAAAGUGGACAAUUUAAAGUAAUAAAAAAUGUUAAGUUUAGCUUUUUGGUGGGGUUUUAACCACACUCUUUGCUCAAGGAAAAUAGGGGUGGAGUUUCUAUAAGGUUGUAACCUUAAACCAUCGAAUGAAGUUGCACUUUAAAAUUUUAUUAUAACAUGUAAGUUUUUAUAAAAAUAUUAUUAGUAUUAUUUUAAGAUCUAUUUUCAUACCUAAGUAAAAAAUUUUAAAUUUUACAAAUGGUUAAAAUCAAGUAGAUCUAUAAAUAUAUGAAAAACUUGAAAAUGGACAAUCUAGAUAAUGUGUUACAAGAUGUACUAUUUUCGAGGCUCAAAAACUUUUUUUUUUGGUACUAAAAAGAUUUUUCGACAUUAAAACAACAUUUCCGAUAAAAUUUUGAGGUGCAUAUAUGAGUCUACAUUUUAAAGUUGCAACCUUAUAUAAACUUUUCCCAUAUAAUAGUGAAAUGUUAUGUUGAAAAAAGAACGUUGGGAGAGAAGUGAAAAAGCCUCCUCCUCGUGAAAAUUAGUCAUGACCUAAGUUGCACCUCGUGAAUAUUAGACAUGUGUAUAGGGAUAUGACCGGGCCACUGUAGCAAACCACGACUUAGAGACGGAACUCCGCCAUGGGUUCGAGUCGAGGGUAUGCCCGAGUCAAAAAGUGCUAAAAAAUAAAAAUAAAAAACACAAAAAUCUUAAAAUAUAUGAAGAUACGUUUAAAAUAAACUUAAGAAAAAUACACCAGAAUGAGGUUAAAAAGUACAGAAAGAAAAUCAAUUUUUGACAUUGAGGUUUUCAAAAAUAAUCCAAAAAGAAAAAAAAAUGUCAAAAUAAGCACUCAUGGCCAAAACACUUUUCGAUGUUUGCCAAUAUGGAUGAUGUCACACCCCAUGUUGAUGAUGUUAUACCCACCUAAUGACUAAAAAUACCCUUGUUAAAAAAAUACUACAUGUACAAAACAAAAAUAUAGAAGUGUCCAAAAUUGUUGAGUACAAUGAUAAAUUACUCCAUAGUAUGAGCACCCAAACAUAACCCAAAAUUAUAAUAUUAACUGCAAUAUUUAAUAUUGUGUUUUGUUAAAUUCGUCUAAUAUAAAAAAAUAACUUUCAAUAAAUGUAAGUAAUUUUCUAUUAAAAACGUAAUUAAUAUAUGUAUUGUAUUAAUUAAGAACUUAACAUUCAUUCAUAUAAGAGAAGAAGGGAUUAGUAGAGGGAGGGUUAGAGGAAGGGACAUGUAGUGGAGAUAGAUGAGAGAGAUAUGCUAGGAGGAGAGAAUGUAAUGAGAGCUUUAAAUAAUUGUAGACAGACAGAAAGAUAGUUAUAGAAAGUUGAGCGAUAAUAGUGGAUAAUUGAGAUGAUAUUAAGAGUAGUUAAUAUGUGUGUCUGUGUAUGUGAGAGAGAGACUAAUAGCAAUUAGUAGAAUAAAUUUGGAAACAAAAUGGCUUCAUUUUUCCAUUGAUUUACUAAAAUAAAUAAAUAAAUAAAAGGUUAGAAUAAAAAAGGAUUAAGAAAUCGUAGGACCUCAUAUGAUUGUCAUUAUUAAAUGUAUAACAUAUUAAAAAAUUGAUUAAAAAUUUAAUAAUUAACUAAUAAUACUCUAUAAUUAUCAUAAUUUUAAUAACAAAAUUAUUAAUAUAUAAACAAAUUUAUAAUUUGACAAUAUGUAUUUUAAUUCUAUAAUUAAUUGUGACAUUAACUAUUAAUAUUUUAUUUAUUCAAUUUGUAUAAUAUAAGAAGAUAACUUUCAAUAAGGGUAAGUAGUUUUUACGGUAAGAAUAUAAUUAAUACAUGUAUUGUAUUAAUUAAGAGCUUAAUAUUCAUGCAUGUGAGAAAAAAGAAUAUUAGAGGGAGAGGAUGAAAACGAGUCACGUAGUGGAGAUGGGACGGAGAGAAAUGUCAGUUUUCGGAAAAAAAAAACACAUGUCAACAAAAUAAAUGGGGACUUUCAGUUGCUCAAUAUAUAAAAUAGAAAAGGAUAAUAGAUAGUGGUGCAUAGUUGGAUGAGAGUGAAAUAAGAGUGAGAAAGAGAGUGAGCAAUGCGAAGUGGCAAACGAGGAUUUGUUCACUUCAAAUUAAAGGCUUUGCAAUGUCAAUGAUAAGAUCUUGCGAUGUUUGAGCACAGGCAAAUUUUUAAAAUAUGCAUGUAGCCGCCGCCCCCCCCCCCCAACUUGCGAUGUUUNNNNNNNNNNNNNNNNNNNNGUUUGAGUCACAGGACAAAUUUUAAAAUAUAGCACUGAAUUUUAAAAUAUGCAUCGUACGCGCCCCCCCCCCCCCCCCCCCCCCCCCCCGCCCCACCCCCACGCCCCACCCCAACUUUUGACUCAAUAAUGGAGAUGUGGUCAACUGAACUCAAUAAUGGAGAUGUGGUCAACUGAACUCAAUAAUGGAGAUGUGGGCAACUGAAGAUAUGAGGCUCAUUUAAUAUUCGUCAUGUAAGUUUUUUUUUGUUUUUUGUUUUUUGUUUUUUGCUUUUGGAUUGUGUGAAGGGUUGGUGGGUGGGGGAGCCUGCAUGCAUAUUUUUUUUUUUUAAAAAUUAAGAUCUUAUUCUUGUGAGAAUAAAAGAAGUAUGGAGUUUCAUAAUAUAAUACUUGAACCUUGCCAAUUUUAAUCACUUCAUUUGUGUUUCUUGACAUUUGUAUUCGUCGUUUUAUUGGUGUGGGAGCUUCUAGGUGUCCACUACUAUGACUCCGCUCUCUCUCUCUCUCUCAAGGGACGAGGUGUGAAAUAUAUUCGAAUUAAUUAAUGGGAAAUUAUGGAAUGAGACCAUUUAUCUUUUAUGGUCACAAUAAUCUUGACCAUUGGAUGUAGAGUUGUAUGGCUGCAAUUAUUCCAUCGAUCAAGCUCAAACUUCAAAACAAAUUUUCUUGAAUUUUGUGAUAUAUCCAAGCUAUCAAAUUCGUAUCAAAUGGUUGUAAGGAAUUGUGACCACCUUGUAUUAAAGGUAAAUGGUUUCAUUGUAUACAAUCCCUUAAUUAAUUAGUUGUAGGGGUGGUAAUGGACUCGGACCUGACCCAGGACCCACCGGGUAUACCUGACGUGGGUCCGGAUAUGGGUCCAAUAUUUAGACCCAACAUAUUGGAUCCAUGUACAAAACCUAGAUCCGAACACUAUUCGAGUCUGGGUCCAGGUACGGUUGGAUGCGACCCGUACCCAUAAACUGUUAGAGAUAAAAUACUUCAAGCCCUAUUCGUUUUGGUGUAUUAAAGAUCGUAUACAAUAAAAACUAAUAGUCAUUCUUAACUAUUAAACAACAAAUCAGACGACUUGAAAUCUAAUGGCGGUUUAUUGUGACCUUGUUGCGAAUAAUAUGGGUAUAUAAUACAAAAAAGAAAAAAAAAAGAAGUUCAUAGUGAGAGUGAAAAUGGACCCAAUCAAACCCAGAACCCGACAGGUACAGGUAUGGGUCCAACUUUUAUAUUUGACGUAUCUAAUCUAGGUCUGAAUUUGGAUCCAAUUCCAGCCAAAUCCAACCCGUACGCAACCCGUUGCCACCCUUGGUUAGUUGGCAACAAAAUUAUUGGGACAUGACAUUUUGUGAAUAGAAAGACAAAAGAACGCCAAAAUCAAAGCCCAUUGAUCUCUUUUAAGAAUCCUUGUAGGCACUCGUCACUUGAUUGCAAUCGCAAAAGGACCCGGUUUUUACGAGUCCCUUGACUCAUACUAUUUUCUUGAGGGCUCCCUUGAACCCCCAUUAUUUGUGUCGUGGAUCCAAAUUUGUAGUGAUGAUCUAGACUAUGAUGAUCAUGAAUAUAAAAAAUAAAAAUUUUUUAUAAUAAAAUAUAAUUUUCAAAUAAAUAAAAUUUUACAAUAUUUUCCUAUCCAUUGAAUAUGAAUCUUUUGUUGUGGAUGUUGAUCUUAAAUAUGGAUGUUUGUGAUUCUGCGGGCUAGUGAGUCCGUUGAUUCAUAAGGCACAUUUUCAUUGCCAAGUAUACAAAGACACUAUUUAUUUUUGAUACAAGGAGGUCAAUUUUAUUUUUGCCUAUUUGAUUUCAAAUCGGGUGGUUGUAAGAGUGUCACUGACUGCGAUAAAAAAAAAAAAAAAAAUAUUCUCGAACUCUGUGGCAUACUUCUAACAAUCUAAUUGGAUAUGUAGUGGUUAAGAGUAAUUAUAACCUUCUUAUAACAUUGAAAAAAUGUCUCAUAGUGUACAAUCCCUUGUAAAUAAGAAAGUGAAAAUAUACUUGAACCCAUACGAUCAUGAAUGUCAUUUUAGGAUAUGGAUAUCUUGUCUUAGUAUUGAUAUACUUGAUAAUGGAUACAUAUCAAUAUGGAUAUGCAUUUGUAUCCAUAUCAGUAUGUCAAUACUAACACGAGAUAUCCAUAUCCUAACAUGCCAUGCUUGAUUCGAACAGGCUUUUAAAUCCCUGAAUGGGUCCCACAUUGGCCCUAGCGUGAAUCGAGCGAAAUCGGUCAGUUUGUAUCAAUUUGAGAGAAGAUUGUAAAAAAAAAAUAAAAGAUAAAAUAAAUAGCAAGAAUAUUAUGUUCUAUAAUCAAUUUGGUGCCAGGUUUUAAUUUCAAAAUACGGGAGAGAUCAGCAUCGCUUAUGGCUACGUGUUGAUCGCUCUAGUGAUUUCUCAUUUAUGUGGAAUCCCAUCCCUAGAUGCCGUCUUAUGAUAGCGGCACAUUUUUGGUGGUUGGUGGGGAAUGGUGCCUCCAUUUCCUUUUGGCAUCAUAAGUGGAUGGGUGACAUCCCUUUGAAGGUUACUUUUCCAGAUCUUUUUUUUCUAAGGUUCUUCUCUCGGACACUAAGAUAGCAGACUUAGUAGAUUUCAAUGGUUCACAUAUUGUUUGGAGUAUCUCUUUUCCUUACGAUAGACAUUUUGGUGACACUUAUCUUCAGUGGUUAGAACUAUUGAGGCUAUUGGAUUCCGUUUAUAUUUCCCAGGGGUCGUCAGAUGAACUUAUUUUAGAAUUUGAUAAUGAUGGCAUCUUCUCGGUUACUGGCUUUUUUUCCAUGAUAGAUGGAGAUGGUCAUUACCUCUUGUGGCUAAGAUUUGGAAAUGGCCUUUUCCCCAUAAGGUGCAACCUUUUCUCUUUUUAGCAGCCCUUAACAAGACAUUAACUAUUGACAACCUGGUUAAGAGGGGUAAGGUGUUACCCAAUAUCUGUUUGAUGUGCAAAGAAGACAAGGAAACUGGGAAUCACGUCUUCAUUCAUUGUAAGAUUGCUUCUUUUAUUUGGCAUUGGUUUUUCAAUCUUCUUGGGGUUCAGACUUCUAGUCCUUUUUCGACGGAGGAUUUAGUGUCACAACUAUCGUUUGGGCAUUUACAUUCAGGGGGGAUCUUGGUUUGGCAAAUUGCAAGAGGGGCAAUGCUUUGGGAGUUGUGGAAAGAAAGGAAUAGGCGCACUUUUGAGGAAGUGUGUAUUUUAGCAGAUAGUUUGCUUGAUAAUGUUUAGCUCUCCAUAUGUUACUGGUUUUCGAUCACUAAGGAUAGCUGGGAAAUCUCUCAACCAGAUGUCUAGCCUGCAAAAACUAUUUCUCUUGGGCGAAAGUUAAGAUGCGACCUAAAUACUUUUGGACUCCUCCGAAGGUUGGUUGUUUUAAAUUGAAUUUUGAUGGCAGUUCCUUAAGUAAUCCUCUCCUUGCUGGAAUUGGGGGUGUGUUGCGUAAUGAUCAGGGACAGGUUAUAUUUUCUUAUGCUGGUCCGUUAGGCUCUGCUACGGCCAAUCAUGUAGAACUUGCCUCAUUGCUGCAAGGUCUUAAGCUGUUUAUUUCCAAAGGCAUUGACAAUAGUUGUAUUUUUUAAGGUGAUUCGCUUAAUGUUGUUGGUUGGGGUAAGAAGGAAUUGCACAUUCCCUGGAAGCUCAGGUCUAUCUGGUUAAAGAUUAUAGACAUUUCAACUCCCUUAGCUAUCUCUUUUUCCUCUAAUGUAAUAUCUUUUUAGUAGUUUCUCAUUAAUAAAAGUUGGAACCUUUGUCAAAUUUUUUAUUUUUUAUUUUUAUGAUGAAAUAUAUUUAAUUAUUUUAGCAAUAAAGUUCUUUGUGAUUGAAAAUUUGGCUGAGUUACUUGGAUGCGACUCCCGGUUGAUCGGAGUACUCAAGUCUAAAAAAAUGGCCUACUUUUUCAACGAUUUCAUUUUUACACCAAAACCUAUUUAUUUGAAUUUCCAAGGCCUAUGCAUUACAAUCAUCGGCCCCAUUGACCGGAAACAUAAGGCACAUUUGGUAUUUAUGAAAAAUUUAGAGAGAGAAACAAUUAAAAUUUUUCAAAGAGAGAAACUAUAUCAAAUUUUUUUAGAGAGAUGAACUAUCUUAAAAUUUAUUUUGUAGAGAGAGAAAGUAUGUUAAAAUUUUAGAGAGAAAAACUAUAUCAAAUUUUUAUAGAGAGAAAGUAGUGAAGAGUUUUUAGUGAGAAAAACAAUUUCAAAGUUUUAGAGAGAGAGAGAGACUACAUUAAUUGUUUUCGAGAAAAACAAUUUCAAAAUUUUUAGAGAAAGAAACUACAUUGAAUUCUAAGUUUUUGAGUUUUAGAGAAAGUAAAUGAAAAAUUUUAGAGAAAGAAAAUAUCCAAACUAUCUCAAAUUUAAAUUUUUAGAGAGAGUAUCUUCAAAUUUUAGAAGGGGAAACUAUAUCAAAUUUUAAAGAGAGCACCUGAAAAUUUUUAAAGAUAAAUUUUCUCACAUUUUUUACAGAGAGAAAAUAUCUCACAUCUUAAGUUUUAGAGAGAGAAAGUAUCUUAAAAUUUUAGAUAAAAAACUAGAUCAAAUUUUAGUGCUAGAAAAUACCUAAAAUUUUUUAGAGCGAUAAAUAUCUCAAAGUUUUCAGAGAGAGAACCUAUGUCAAAAUUUAGGUUUCAAAGAGAGAAGGUAUAUUAAAAUUUUAGAGAUAAUAACUAUAUCAAGUUUCUAAGAUAGAAACUACUCGAAAAAUUUAUUGAGAGAAAUGGUAUCUCAAAAGAUUUAGAGAGAAAAACUAUCUCAAAUUUUAGGUUUAGAGUGAGAGUAUUUUAAAACUUUAGAGAGAAACUAUAUCAAAAUUUAGAGAAAGUACAUAAAGAUUUCUAGAGAUAGAAAUUAUUUCAAAAUUUUUGGAGAGAGAAACUAUCCAACAUCUUUAGUUUUGUAGUGAGAAAGUAUUUUUAAAUUUUUAGUGAGAAAGUAUUUUUAAAUUUUUAGAGAGAGAAACUAUAUUAAAUUUUAGUAAGAGAAUCUGCCAGAAAAAUUUUAGAGAGAGAAAUGUUUCAAAAUCUUUAGAGAGUGUAACUGCCUCAAAUUUUAAGUUUUUGAGAGAAAAUAUAUUAAAAAUUUCCAAAAAUUUUAGAGAGAGAAACUAUAACAAAUUUUAUGUUUUAAAGAGAGAGAGAGUAUCUCGAAAUUUUCAAGAGAUAAACUAUAUCAAGUUUUAGAUAUAGAAAGUACCUAAAUAUUUGAGCGAGAGGAAGCUAUCUCAAAUUUUUUAGAGAGAAACUAUCUCAAAUUUUAAGCUCUAAAGAGAGAAAGUAUAUCAAAAUUUAGUGAGACAAACUUUUAUAGACACCUCAUCUUGUCAACUGGCAAAUUCGAUGGUUUUUUAAACCAUAGACAGCCUUAGGACUACAUUAUCCAAGUAAACCCCCAGACCAUAUACCACCUAGUCCAUACUGCUGGCCCUGUGAUCCAGAAUCCUGCAGAACACGCUGUUUUAGUAAACAACUCAUUAAAAAUAGCAAAAGACCUUAUUUUGACUUAAAUUUUAGUGCGCAGCAUCACAAGGGCCCGUAUAUACUCGCAGAAUUUGAAUUUGCUGAUUCUGCAUAGAUUUGGUCUAAUUGGUGUCGCCCAGCCUAAACUGGUCCAAGUUGGCUAAUUUUUGGCAGGCAGCAACCCACCCAACAGCCUAAAGAUCACCCCAGAGUUAGAAUAUGCCGAUUCUAGGCAUAUUUGGUAUGGGCGACACUAGGGGGUGGCCCAACAAAAACUGUUUAGAAUUACGUGAUUUUUGGCAGGUGAUGUCUCAAAAGCCUUUGGAUUACUCGAGAAUAAAAAACUGUCGAUUCUAGGCAGAUUUAGUCUGGGCGACACACCUACUAUCGCUCAACCAAAACUGUCCAGAAUCAUGUGAUUUUUGGUAGGUGAUAUCUCAAAAGCUUGUGGUUCACCUCGGAAUUUGAAACUACCGAUUUUGGGCAGAUUUGGUCUUGACGACACACCUAGUGUCGCCCAACUACAACCUUCCAGAAUCGUGUAUCUUUGACUCAAUUCAUCUCUCGAAUCAUUUUCUGCCAGGUUCAUUGAACCUGGACCAUUUUGGUAUGGGCGAUAGGGUAGUGUUGCCCAAGCCUUUAACCACCAAAAUGGCAAUCUAGGUUGGGAAAUCCCUUUGUUAUGUGUUGUCACCCAUUCCAACCAUUUUUCACGGUCUAGUACGCUUUCACUCUUUCCUGUAUUUCUUUCCAUUUUUAUUUUUUAUUAGAAUUAAAAUUAGUUUUAUUGCAUUUUACGUAGGGUUUCGCAUUUCGAAUCGAUGUUGGCUUUGCCAUAGAUCUGAGUGCAGAUCUACUCAUUUCUGAGUAGAUCUGGCCUCAAAUUAGAAUUUGAUUGACCCCACUUUCUAUCACUCUUUUAAAAACAAGUUUGUGAUUCAGAUCUGAGAGAUCUUCAUUCAAAGAUCAUCCUAAUCUGCAUUGUGAACAGUUUGGCGCCUACCGUGAAGCAGUUUGAGCUUGAUCCGAGCUUCGAAAUAUGUAUUUUUGUUUAUUAUUUCAAUGAUUUUUUGUUCAAAAUAGUCCCAAGUUCGACUGUAACUAGGACCUAGGGUUUCUACGGCUGCGAAAUCCUAUAUGUCUGGGGCUACACUACCUGUGUCGCCUAGGAGGCACUCCCUGUGUCGCUCAGACUCAAAGAUCUUGGAAUGGCCCAGGACACCACAGUCCAGUCCCUAGACCCUUUCCCUGCUUGCACAAAAAAUUUUCUAUCAAAAUAAAAUACUUAAAAAUACCAAAAAAAUAUUUUCUUAGAAAAACUGAAAUAGUUUCAACCUUUGUAGGCUUUGACUUUGUUUUAUUUAUUUGAUCUCUUUAAUUCAUUGUUUUUCGCUUUUUAUAAGUUCAAAAAGACAUGAAAAUCUAUCAUUAUCAGUGACCUAGGGUUUUUGCGGUUGUACCCUAUCUGUCUGGGGCGACACUACUUGUGUCACCUAGGAGACAAUCCCUGUAUCUCCCGGGAGACCACUUGUGUCCCUUAGACUCAGAGGUCAUCCCGGGACCCCGUAUACCUGUUCUAGGACCUUUUCUCUUGUUGUUCACUAAUUUUCAGGUCAAAAUAAAAUGUUUAAAAAUGCAAAAAAAUAUUUUUCUUGAGGCAGGUCUUUCUUAUCUGUGCUUUCUGUAUUUCAUUUUAUUUUAAUUAAUUUUAUUAGAAACCAUGAUUUCCUUGCUUUAUCAUGCUUAGUUUAACCCUAAUUCAUCAAAAACAAAAAUAAAUUAUUUUGAGGGUUUCUUCCACCCUCUUCGAACCGUGUCCUAAUCGAGUCACCCUCGACUCGGGCUGCACCCAACCAGGCACAAGCUGUACCUAGUUCUACUUUGUAUAACUUUACAUUUUCUUGGGGGUGGUUACCCCCACACCUGAACUGUGCUUUCAGUCGGUCAAAACUCUAACUCAAAGAGCACCUCACUCGGCAAGAUUUGUGCCAAGUGGUCACAUCUCUUUCUUAUGUGUUUGCUUGCCACUUUAUUUUCACUUGCUUGCUUCUUUACACACUACUCCACACAACGAACCAGGAAAGCCUGGGAAACCAAAUUUUUUUUUUUGAAAACCCCUGAAAUCCAGCAUUGUUGUAAGGGGAACCUAGUCUUGAGGGCUGAGGGGAACCUAUCGUAGCAUUAACUCGCAGUCGAGAUUCACAUAACUUUAAAAGUGAGCACCCCUCUGUAAUCCUUAGCCUCAAAGCAACUCCACACAUAGUAGGACCUUGCUGAUUCCUUUAACAGGUAGCCAAAACCUACGUGGGGACCCACUCAACCUAUCCUCAUUUCUGUAGUUAGAAACCCCCUCAAACCUAGCCUACCCAUAGUUUAGGGCAAAGUUUUUGAGUGCUUUGUUUGUUUACCAGAGUUGAUUAGUCUUAGAUCUCAAUCCGGAUCUACUUAUGGUCUGAGCUGAACCCUGCUGGGUCCGUUUCUAGGCUCAUACUUAGCCCAGUCCAUGUCCGAAUUCUGUUCACAACCGGGUCCAAACCUAAGCUCCCUCUCGGUGCGAGCCAAGGCUCACACCAAAUGUCAUCUAAAUCUCAGUCCGGGUCUAUACUUGGUCUAAAUUCGAAACCCUCUAAGUCCAAGUUUAGGCUUGGACCCAGCUUAGUCCAGGUCCGACCCAAGUUCACACCCAAGUUUGAACCUAGACCCCCCCUUGGUCCGAGCCAAGACUCGUGCCCAUCUAGUCUAGAUUUCAGCCUAGGUCCUAACCUAGGUCUAGAUUCAGAAUCUAGAACUAGACUAGGUUUAUCCUAGUUUAGGGUCCUAACCAAAACCUACUAAGUCUAGCAAGACCUCGAGUCUAGGACCUAACUCUGGUUUGAACUUAAAGUUAUCUCUGGGAAUAGGUUAGGCUCAUCUCUAUUCAGGAUUCAAACUUAAGUCCAUCAAGCCUAACUAGGUCAAAGUCUAAAUUAGGUCCUAUUCCGUCUUGUCUAGAUCAGGUUUUAAGACUAAGUUAGGGAAAAACUAUCAUGCCGAUCACCCAAAGCGACCAUGAUGAUUGCUCCACUGAUUACUCCAAACCUAACCUUCCCAAACCUAGGGACCAGUAUCUCACAAUCACAUGGGAUUACGACCAGAAACCGAGUCCACCCAUUUUUUGGUGCCCAAGUCUUCAACUCGAGGUAGAGUCUCAAGGAACAGUUCCAGAUGUUGAAAUCUGUGUUGCUCGAAAAGCUAACUCCGCUCGAAAGACUUUGAAUAGUCAAGGCGUUCCACCUGGGGUCACCCUGCAAGGGCUCUUAGGAACCCAAAGUAUGAGUCGAGUAAGGGAAGAGGUUCAUGUAGUGUCAAAUGGUCAUUCCCAUAACUCAAACCAUGAUAAUUUCGAGGCACGAUGGUCUCGAAACCAAGACCCACCUAGGUUUAGAUGAUCUAAUUUGGUUGCCCUAGAAAACAGAGGGAUCGACUUGAAUCGACCCAUGGGUGAUAUAGGUGUCCAAGCAGCCCUUCAAAGUUUAGUUGACUGGGGCUAUAUUGUUCAUGCCCCAGCACAUGGGGUCAAUUCCAAACCAGUUCAGUGCUAUAGGGCAACCCCUAGGACAACUGAGUCAACUAGUUCUUCAAUCGGUUCCAGUAGUUCUUCGGGUCCAAGAGACCAUGCACCUAUGAGACAAUAUGUCCAUCAGGCCCAGGUGUAACAAACCGCCUCGGUGACUACGACUCAUCAACCUCAGGUCCAUAUGGGCCAAUACAUACCCCAAGCCUUGACUCAUCAAUCUAUACUUGGGAACUAGCCAACCAGUCGGCCUACUGACAUGCGGAAUGCCCAAUAUGAAGGCACCAUGAAAGAUGAAUGAUGUGUACUCAACCACACAUCACUUAAAAGGAAUGUUCAACGUAUACAUCUCCCACUAUCGUAGAUCGACACCAAGACCUAUCUGUUAUGCCCGGAAGCUCUAAAUUCGAUGGGUUGAUGUUUGGAAAAUAAAGUAUGAGAAAUAAAGCAAGAAACACAUACACAAGAAUGCAAAUAUUUACGUGGUUCACCCCAUAAGGGCUAUAUCCAAGGGCACGGUAACAGAAAUCCACUAUACCAAUGAAAAUUACAUCAAAGAUUUUGGAACAUACCUCGAAAAAAAUCCAAGCCGAGCAAACCCUUUUAAACUUGCUCUCCCAAACGGCAACAUGCUGAUUUCACAUCUCUAUUCCAUAACUAGACCAUUUUCUAGGAAGAGAACAACUUUGAGAGGAAACGAGAUUUUAUCUCACUAAAAGGGUAACAAUCCAAAAUAUAUAUGGGAAUUGCUUCUCUACAAGAAACAAGACCCUCAAUCUUCAGGAGUCUAAAAGAGGCAUCAUCACAAUGUUUCUCUCCAUAGGAAGCUAUCUUGUCUCUAAGAGGAAAUUACAUCUUAUGCACAUAAGGUUCUAGCUCCAUCUCUCCCUAGAGGAACUAUCAUUCCCAUAUGGUGACCCAAAUAGGGCACAUAUUCUCUCUCUAAAAAUAACCCAUUAUAUAGAGAAAAGAUACUCAUUAAAAAAAGGCUCAAGUGAUAACCCUUUCUAUUCCUUCUUUUAUGGGAAACUAAUCUUUAUAUCUUUAAAUAUGGCUCUUCAAGUUCAUCCUAAUCCAAAUAGAAUUUAUCCCAAUAGCGAACUCCUAAAUUGGUUAAUAGCAAUCCCACAUAAUAAGGAAAUAUCUCAAUCCCACAUAAUAUGGGAAUUUCCAUAUGUGGGUGAUUUUGGAUAGCACCAAAUCUAACCAUUUCCACCUUGAUAACAAAAUCACCUACUCACUGUGCCAACAUCCAUUGGAUAGCUUCAUAAAUUGUUCAUCUUUUGCCAAAAGAAAAAAAUGCUUUCCAUCAAUUUUCUUGACCUCGAACCUUGCAUUCAAAACCUUUAUUACCUUACUGAAAACCCCAUACCAGGACUUUGAUACCACUUAUUGUGUGCGGAAGCUCUAAACCCGAUGGGUUGAUUUUUGGCAAAUAAAGUAUGAGAAAUAAAGCAAGAAACACAUAUACAAGAACCCAAAUAUUUAUGUGGUUCACUUUAGAAGAGCUACAUCUACGGGCACGACAAACAAAAAUCUACUAUACCAAUGGAAGUUAUAUAAAAGAUUUUGGAACAUACCUUGACGAAAACCCAAACCGAGUAAACCCUUUUAAACUUGCUCUCCCAAACGACACCAUGCCGAUCUCACGUCUCUAUUCCAUAACUAGACUAUUAUCUAGGAAGAGAAUAACUUUGAGAGAUGAGACUUUAUCUCACUAAAAGGGUAACAAUCCAAAAUCUCUAUGGGAAUCGCUUCUCUACAAGAAACAAGGGUCUCAAUCUUUAAGAGUCUAAAAGAUGCACCAUCAUAAUGUUCCUCUCCAUAGGAAUCUAUCUACUCUCUAAGAGGAAAUUGCAUCUUAUGCACAUGAGGUUCUAGCUCCUUCUCUCUCUAGAGGAACCACCAUUCCCAUAUGGUGACACAAAUAUGACACACAUUCUCUCUCUAAAAAUAGCCCAUUAUAUAGAGAAAAAAGACUCACUAAAAAAAGGCUCACGUGAUGACCCUUUUCAUUCCUUCUUUUAUAGGAAACUAAUCUUUAUCUCUUUAAAUAUGGGCCUUCAAGUUCAUCCUAAUCCAAAGAGAACUUAUCCCAAUAACGAACUCCUAAAUUGGUUAAUAACAAUCCCACGUAAUAACGAAAUAUCUUAAUCCCAUAUGAUAUGGGAAUUUCCAUAUGUGGGUGAUUUUGGAUAGCACCAAAUCCAACACUCUCUCCCUAAGCAAACUCAGUGCAACAAAGCAAAACCUAAGAGAAACCUUUGAGGACUUCAUCAAUCGAUUCCGUGAGGCGACAAUACGAGCAAUCAAAUGUCCAUUCACAAAUCUGGCUAAGAUCUCCAUGGCCCUAGAAAAUGCCGCUCCCGAAUACAGGACCUUCUUCAGCCAAGGUCUUAUCCCCUACUCUUUCGACUCCAUGAUUGAGCGAGUAGCACAUCGCGAAAGGGCCAAAAUAACACCCCUCAGCACUAGGCCCGAGAACAAACUUUUAACUACUCCCCAAAACACGAGAAAUAAGAACAACAACAAUAGGGGGAAUACUUCUGAUUAAGUUAAUGAAAUUGUCAUUAACGGCCCGGCUCGAGGUUCAGCCUAUCAAUGAAGCAAUCAUAACCAAAAUAAAAGGGGUUAGCCCAGAGCCAACACUCAAAAUAACAACCAAAGGCGAGAGGAUAAUUUCACUCCUCUCAAAGACCCAUUAGAAAAAGUAUUGAAUUUAUUCGUGUCUAAAGAUAUGGUUUACCUGCCAGCGCCUUCCGAGCCACCAUUCGAAGUCACAUACAAGAGUAAAUGGUGCAAAUGGCACUGAAACGAUGCACAUGACAUCUAAAAAUUGUUAUCAUUUGAAAUGGGUUAUUCAAGGGUUGAUCAAUAGGGGGGAUAUCACUGUUCCACCAAACAAUAGACCAUUGGAGAGCCUAAUCAAAAGAUGGGUAUCUUCAUAAAUCCCCUUCUUAAAAAUACGGUCACAACGGCUGGAAAGAUGGAAGCUCAAGAACACCCAGAUGAUCGAAAGUGGAGAUGGAGAAGAAGAUUUAGCUCAUUUCAUAUUCCCUCAAGAUCAUUGUCUCCAAGAACCCCAAGACAAUCUAUUGGAUCUUCUAAAAGGGAUCCCUUUGCCUCAAAGUCUCGACAACCCACCUAAGUGGGACCAAUAUGAGGAGGAUCUAUUAGAAAUCGAUGUAGUCCGGAUCAACGAGAAUGGAUCAUCCUCCAAUCAGGGGGCCAACGCCCCAAAGUUUCCCAUUAUGCUUGCUAGGGCAACCCCUAUCGAGCUUCAGGUUGGUGAGAUAUAUUUCUUAACCCAAGGAGGAUGAAUAUUCAAACCCAUCAAAUUGAUGGCCGAUACCCUCAAAGAAAGGAUGAGAAACACCUUUAAGUCCAAACAAACAAUAGUAAUCGCAGAUCAUGGACCCCAUAAAGAAUCUCAGGGAUCCACAACCACCUACGAUCUAUCGGCUCACCUUGGGAAGAUCCAAGCUUAGAUCUCCAUCUUGGAGCUACUUAGUAACUCAUUAGCACAUAAGGCCUAUCUUGAGAAAGUCCUCGCCAAGAUGCACAGCCCAAGCAAUACACAUCCGGAUGAGUUGUGCUGAAUGAUCAACCACUUGCUGACACCUAUUCGAUUGUGUUCACAGAUGAAGAUAUCCUCGGUCAGUUUCAACCGCUUUCACGUCCAACUGUUGCACAUCACUAUUUUCAUGCAAGGGUAUGCGAUAUGAAGGGUACUCGUUGACAACGAGGAAUCUUUAAACAUAUGCCCUAUGAAAAUGAUGAAGCAGAUAGGAACGAGCCCAUAUUACUUCGAACCGUGUCAGCUCAAUAUCGUUGCAUACGAUGGGAACAAGAGACAAAUUGAAGGCAUAUUGCCUCUCACUCUUAAGAUCGACCUUGUCAUCCAAAUGAUAAAGUUUUUUGUCUUGGCCAUAAAACCUCAUUUAACAUGUUGCUAGAAAGGUCGUGGUUGUAUGAGAAUCACGUGGUGGCCUCUACACUCCAUCAGUGCCUCAAAUUUCCAAUCAAGAACAACAUCUCCAUGGUAUGUGUUGAACUCUCUUCUCUUUGGAUCCCUAGUGUAGAUAAUGGGAACCUUUCCAUAGGAGUCGAGUUAGGAGAAAUCCUACUUGUUUCCUUCAAGAAACCUAAUUGCACCGCCUUACACCUAGAGGCCAGUGACCAUAAAUUCCUCAAAUUCUACAAGACUUAUGUAUUGAUGGAAGACAUCAUCUAAUCUCAACAUCGAUACGGUUUUGGGUCCCUCGAGGCUUGGCACAUGCUCUUCUCCCAAGGUUUCCAACUAGCCCAAGGCUUGGGAAGUCAAGGGCAAGUCAUAAUGGAGGCAAUCUCUGAAUCACCCCAAGCCAAAAUCGAAAACAAGGAUCGAAGAGGACGUGGGUGUUCUCUCACCAUAUUUCAAAGCCGGAUGAAGCCUUCAUGCCAUUCGGGCUUUGUAUCUAGAGGUAUUCAAAGCCUCGACCCCCUCGAUGCCCGUCCUUCAAAACGACCAAAGGUGACCCUUAAUUCCCCAAGAUGGAGGAUUCAGCUUCCUCACCUCAGCACACACAAGAACUGGGAAUUGAAAGCCUUUUCAUUGACCUGAACUUGAAAGUAUAUACAAUUGGCUAUAACACAGCCAAUCGUGCUCAUUCAUCUGUUCAAACCCAAAGACAGAAUUGAUUUAUCACUCCCCUAUCUCAAGAAUCGCUGGAAGCAUACCAGAGGCACCUUCAAGUUCCGAUGCCAAAAGGCAUGGGGUGGCCACCUAACCACCCUGUGCAUCCGGUCCCCAACAUAUCUCUUACGAGUCCCAUAAGGGACACCUCUUUUGACAUUUCAAAAACCGGUGACAAUUCGAAACAUGAUAAUAAUGAUAAUAAGGAAAAAGAAUUUUCAAAAAAGACAAAUACUCAAGAUAGCCCAUUAACAGUGCAAAACGCCCAAGAUGAUGAAUCAGAUAACCCGGACUAAGACCAAGAAAACCAUGAGUCCGAAGAAAUCCCUUAAUUUGAGAAACUCACUUCCCAUGUUGAGGAGUUCAAGAAGAGAUUUGAUGGUGACUCAACGGCUACCAUUGAAGAGAAAAUCAAUGUCAACCUGAGGAUUGAGAAAGACCCAAGGUUAACCAAGAUUAGAACCUCUCUAUCUUCCAAGGAGAGGAAAAACAUGAUCUCCUUUAACCCCUAUUGAUUACUCAGAAUUGUUGGCCAACAUAAUGGUCGUACUCAAGAAAGACGAGAGGAAUUGAGUAUGUGUCGACUAUAGAUACCUGAACAAGGCAUGUCCCAAAGACAACUUUCCCCUACCAAAUAUUGAUGCCUUGGUCGACAACAUUGCAAGGCAAGAGAUGAUGUCAUCCAUGGAUAACUUCUUAGGUGAAAACAAGAUCCUCAUGGCAGAAGAAGACCAAACUAAGACAUCGCUCAUAACAUAAUGGGGACCGUACUGCUACCAUGUCAUGCCCUUUGGACUAAAAAAUGUAGGGGCAGCUUACCAAUGGGCAAUGACUAGCAUCUUCCACGACUUAGUGCACACCAUCAUGGAAGACUAAGUCAAUGACAUUCUGGUCACAUCAAAGGUCAGGUCCGAUCACCCCUCUAACCUGAGAACCAUUUUUGAAAGACUCUGAAACAUUAAACUCAAUCCACAAAAAUGUAUGUUUGGAGUUGAAUCUAGCAAAUUACUAGGCUUUAUAGGACACCAAAGGGGCACUGAGGUGGACCCAUCCAAAAUACGAGCCAUCACUAAAAUACCCCCUCCCUAGAACAUCUGAAAAAUCGUGGGAUUCAAGGUCGUAUACAGGACAUAAGGAGUUUUAUCUCACAACUGCCAGACAAGUGGGCACCAUUUAAUAGGCUCCUUAAGAAAGGUACCCCAAUAAUAUGGGACAACGAAUGCCAAGAGGCAUUCGACCAAAUCAAUAAGUACCUAACCAAAUCUCUCGUCCUUAGUCCUCCUAUUAUAUGUCGUUUUUGAUGUACUUGUACCCCCGAUAUGAAUAAGGUGAGAGCCUGUAGUAACCUGGUCCUGCCGUUGCCCAAAACGCCGUCAGACCAUGAGAAUAUUACAACAAUAAGCCUAAAACUGGGCGACCACUGAAGAAGUGUAGAAUGACCUCAAAUUGCAUGAAAGGGGUAGUUUUGAUAUGAAAUGGACCCUACAAACAACCCCAUUUUAUAGGUCUCAAAACGGUACCAUACUAUCGCCAUUCAAUCUGGAAAGUUAAAAAACCCCCAAGUGCAAAAUUUCGGCUCAAUUGGACCGUCCGAGACCAUUAUGGGUCUAACUUACCAUAAAGGGUGGGUUUUACAUUUAUGGAAACUCUAUUUUCUCAUUUCGGGAUGAUUUUCAAAUGCUCAUGACUUAGUUGUUUUGAGUCCAAUUAAUCUCAAAUUUGGACAUGAGUAAGAUCUUGACGAUCUGAUCAUUUUGACAUAAGGCACGCAUCAUUGCGUGGCUUGAAAAAGAGAGAAUUCUAGAGAGAAGAUGGGCUUGAAAACAUGAAAAUUCGGAUUUCAUACAAGAGAACAUCCAAUUAUUUGAGAGGCCAUAGCUCAAGAUCCCGGUGUCGGAUCGUUGCACAUAUGGGUUUGUUGCGACCGUGCUUCGAAGAGUUACAGUUUGAUACAAUUUUUAUGAUCGGAGGCCAGAUUACACAAAUUUUGAGGUUGAAAAUGGCAUACUUUUUCGGUCAUCGGAAUCCCAUUUUCCUGUGACUUCUCAAAUUUGGAAUGUGUUCAAACAGAGACCAAAAUGAACAAAAUUUAUUGCAAAAUGAUAAUGACAUUGUCCCCUUCGAUUUGUGAUAAAAAUGAAAGCUUGGAACGUCAUAGAUCAUACCAGAUUGGUGGUUGAAGAAUUGUAAAGUUUAUGGACUUGGCUAGAUUUUGGGUUCUUCCUUAAACAUCUGUUUCAAGACGAUCAAAGCGUAUCAAAACGUGCGUAAAUGUUCAAGUAUCGAUUUUACGGCGAUUGAUAGCCCGAAUUACCAUCAUAGAUGCCCGAAUUAUUUUGUCAUUUGUUGAAAAUUGCUUACGGGUAUUUUGGUCAUUAGGUCCAAAUACAAGAUUAAUAUUUUAUUUCAUUAAAUAUGUAUUUUUGAUAGUUUUGGGUAAUUUUGAGCAUUCCACCCCUAUUUAAUGGUUGCUCUAUAUAAGGAAACCCAAGUCAUUUGUAAUAGGACUUUUGAAUUGUUGCUUGGGGCUUGAACAUUUGAAGUGUGCUUUUGAAUUCUUUGGGUUAUUCUUUUGGUUUGCUUGCAAUUUCAAGGUUCAAGAUGAGAGGAGAGAGAAGCAUUUUUAGGAGAGAGAAACGUUUUGUGGAGAGAGAAGAUACCCGUAGAUCAUCAUAUACCUUAGCCCAUCCCUUACUCCUCACCAUACACUAUAGAGUCCCAUACUCCCUACACCUUAUUCCACACCAUACACCUUAAAGCUUCUUACACCACACCAAUUAGCUUAACCCACCUAGCCCCUAAUCUUGACCCACCAAACCCAAACCUCUCUCUCUAAUGUGCAUGCAAGGAGACUAAUGGAUGCACACCUAGGCUCAAGCUCAUCCUAGGUCUACUGUCUCUCCUCUCUAUCUUCUUUCCUCUCUCACUCUCCCUUAUUUCGUUUUUCUCUCUCCUCCUCCUCCUUUCUCUUUUUCUUUCUCUCUUCUCUCUUUCUAUCUCUCUUUCUUCCUCUCUCACUCUCUCUCUCUUUCUCCUGCUCGAACUCAGGGCGGGUCUGAGCACUCCUCAUCCUCCUUCUUUCUUUCCCUUCUCCUAUUCCGCCUCUCUCGUCCAAAGUUACGACUUACACUUAAAGCGGGCUCGACUUCACCUCUCUGUUUUUUUCUCAUCUCACUCUCUUCCUCUCUAAUCGAGUGACAGACUCGUACCUUAGGUGGGCCUGUUCAAGUUUACCACACUCACACUCGCGCCUUUAGCCACUUUCUCGUCUCUCACUCAGCCGCCCUUAACACCCACACUCACACCCUUGCCUUUAACCACUCUCUCGUCUCUCACUCAUCUGCCCUUAACACCUAUACUCGAACCUGUGCCUUCAGCCACGCUCUAGUCUCUCACUCAUCCACCCUUAACACCCACACCUGCACUCGCACCUUCAGCCACUCUCUUGAACCUCACUUACCUGUGGCCAACAUCUGCACUCCUAUCCGUGCCUUAGCACCACCUUACCCCUCUCACGCACACUCCGCCCUCUCACCCCUCUACAAAAAAAAUAAAAAUAAAAUAAAAUAAAAUAAAUUUGGGCAACACUACCCAUGUCACCCAAGUGACAGAGCCUGUGUCGUCCAACCCAGGAGGAAACGUGAUGUGUCCUCCCCUAUUCAAAUAAAAAAAAUUAAAAUUUCUGGCGACACUGCCUGUAUUGCAUAGCCCAGGUAUGUGUCCACCCUUUUUUGUUUUUUACAAAAAAAAAAAAAAACAUGGUUGAGACAACCUGUAUCACCUAGCCCACCUUUUUCCUCCAAACAAAAAAAAAAAAAUUGCUCGACACUAUUUGUUUGCCCAACCCAGGAAGACACGUGAGGUCUCCUUUUUUUAAAAUUUUUUUCCUAUAUAUAUAAAAAACUUUGAGUGACACUACCUAUGUUGCCCGAGUGACAUAGCCUGUGUCGCUCAGCCUAAGAGGACACGUGAUGUGUCCCCCCCCUUUUUUCUGCAAAAAAAAAAAAAUCAAAAAAAAUUUGAAAAAAAAGACUGAAAAAUAAGAGAGACUCCAGAGUCUCAGAGGAUCAAUCAAAAUUGAAAAUAAAACUUUGUAUAUCUCAAAAUUCUCAAAUAUCAAUCUUAUUCAUCCAUUGAAUAUGGGUUUAUUACAUGCACUCACGCAAUCAAAUCUAGUCUUGAGACCAAAAUUUCUUAUGUCCUAACAUACUUCAAAGGAAUUAAAACUGCUGAAAAAUAAAGGUGAUCAUGAGAUCAACUUAUUCAAACCAAAGCAGGAACAAAACAAAAGAAAAGAAAAAGGGUCAUACAAUUACUCAGUCUUUGACUUGAGAUCAACAUUCUUCUCCUUGAGGUCCGCCACAACCCAUUGAGCUAACUCAACUUCAGCUUCUUCCAAGCUGAUGUCGGAUACAUCCUCAUUAGAUUUGGCUCGCUUAUUUGAAGAAGAGGCAUCAUUAUCUCGAAAAGGCACGGGAUUCUGAGCAGGGGCAUAGUUGAUGAUGAUAGGCAUGUUCCCACUAGGAAUCAUAGUUGGAAGUGGUUGUGGGUUUGUCUUGCUUGAUCAACUCUUCAUUAGAAGGAGGUUUAAUCCCCUUCCACAAUAAACCUGCCUUAACCAGAAGGGUGGAAGAGUGUUGUUGAAGUGGAAAGAUAGGGUGACGAUUGAUUGCCUUUUCAGGAGAUGUAUAGUUCUGAAUAUACCAAAACUGGCGAAGCACCCUUUAAGGGAACUAGCCCUCUAUGAAGUAUUGCCCCACCAAAGAGAACACAUGAAUACCCCAUAGGCCGAAGAAACAUGAGCACAUUCUCGAGACCCCCCAUUACCAAUCGAACGACGAUAACUCAUCAAAGACCAUGCGAUAGAAAUUGACGUCGUGAGGUCGGGUGGUAUCAUUGACAUACGCUAGUCCUAGAGCAACAGAUAUAGCUGUCAUGGAUCGAGGAGGAUGGACAACUGCGAUGUGUUCAUAGGUCGAAAUCUACGAAAAGAAGGACCCAAAACACCCCAAAAGGUCACAGAAGUGAAAUUCAGAACCCCCGAACCAUUCGAGGUAGGAUCACUUGGGCGACACUACUGGUAUAGCCCAGACUGACCUGGGCGACACUACCAGUGUCGCUCGUGUGACACCACUAAUGUCGCCCAAGUCAGAACCCCUCGGGUCAGUCUAGGUCUUUUCAAGAGAAUCCCUAUGAUCAAAAUUUGGAUUCCAAAAACAAAAAUGAGGCAAAAAUCUAAAUUUCAGAAGAAAAAAUGAAGUAAAAGAUUAAGUUCAGGAACACACCUACAAGAUCAGGACACUGCUCUCAAUAAAUCGAACGCUUCCAGUAACUCGGUUGUGAGGACUUUGAUAUAUGCCUACUAACACGUCCGGAAUAAUGGUAUGACCCUCUCUCUCCUAGAAAGCAUGGGCUAGAGGGAUGAGAGAACUACGGACAGUCUUCCGACCACUUUUAAAGAGGACCGAUCCCAAAAGCACAAAGAAAAAGUUACGGAUCUGCUUGGCUGCAUGGGAUCGCUCUCGAUUAACGACUAGCGAUCCAUAACAACCCAAUCACCAUGAGAAGAGUAGGCAGUCCCCCAACAGUCGUGCACCCAAGAAGGAAUGAUCAUCUGUUGCCGUAGAUAGUUGAUAUGCAAUACCGAACAAGCUCAAGCCAGAGAUCCCGAUGGCCUCCUCGAAAGUAAGAGUUGUCUCUCCUGUAGGGAGGAAGAAGGUAUUCAUAUGAAAGUUGAACCUCUCGGCAAGGGCCUCAAGGAGGGAAAAAUUGACAUGGCAAGAGGCCAUGGUCAAGAUAACCACCAUUGAAAGUGAGGCCAGAAAGGCCAUGAGCUCAAGCCAUUGCCGAGCAGAGAGGAACCAAAUCCUAAACCAGGGGCCGAUAACAAGAUAACCCUGAAGUCACCGAGGAGCAUCACCUAUUCUUAGGCCUUGUAAAAUAUGAGAAGGGAGACCUCAGGAAAAUGCCUAACCCUAGCAAAAGGAGGGAGACCCUCUUCCUCUCUCCUAUCGUCAGCUUGAACUGCACUCUUUCCCUUACCCUUAGAAAGGAUAGCAUUCUUCAUAGGAGCCAUGGAAAACUAGGAAGAAGAAGAAGAAAGAAGAGAGAAACAAGAAGGAAGAAGAUGAAGAUGAAAUCGAAGAAGGGAGAAGAUAAAGAUGAAAAUAAGAAAGGAAAAGAAGAAGACUUGGAUUCAAAUAUUUUCCAAGAAAGAAAUAGAAGAUACGAGAUCUCCUGUAAAAAAAUCCAUCUUAUAGUCUCCAAAUUCGGGAUCUAGGAGGAUUGACAACCCCAAGACCUUCCAAACCAAAAAAUUUGAGAUUCGAAGGUUGGUGGCCUGUGUGACGUAGGGUAUGUCGCCUAGAUCCGUAUGCCUAGUCCAGGCGACAUAGCGCAGUUGCCCAGGAGACACUACUUUGUCAAAAAAAUUUGGACAAAAAUGCCCCUACUUCAAUUCCGAAGUAUUCUGAGUACCAAAGUUGGUUUUGUUAUGCCUUGUUUUUUCGAAAAAAAGACUGUUUUUCAAAAAAUUAAUUGGUUUUCAAAUUUUUUCAGAUUCUCCUUGGUGGCACGAGCCUAAACUGGCAACUAAUUUCAAAAGAAAAAUCUUUAAUUUAAAAAGAAAAAAAAAAAAAUUUGCUCCUUGGUGGCACGAGUAUAAACUUCCAACCACAUUUUAGUUCAAAAUGUCUAGCCAUAAAGUUCAAAAUGUCUAGCCAUAAGACCCAAAACUCAGAUUUCUAGAACCUGUGUCAUAGACAUAGGGCUUCAAAAUACUCAGCCACAAGGCUCAGAACUCAGUCUUCUGGGUUGAUCUAUUUGGUACGCACACUUUGUGUCACUUUUACCAGAAUUCCCAAUAGUUUCACUGGUGACUCCAGCCCUGUGUCCCAGGUCCCUAUCAACCAUUUCGUGAUCUUUGGAAUUAUAAAAAAACAAAAAAAAAAAAUUAAAAAACUAUAUGGGAAAAGUUUAUAUAGAGCUGAGGCUCUAAACAAUCAAUUUUGACCCUACCACAAAAAUUUCACUAGAAGAGGUUGUUUUGAUGCCCAAAUAUAUUCAAAUUGAUUAUCUUGACAUCAAGAAGCACGGACAUGACAAAAAACUAGAUUUCAAGUUUUGGAAAUAGUGUAUUUUGUAACACAUUUUUUGACUAGCAAUUUUCAAGAUUUUCAAGUUUUCAUAGAUUUGUCGAUUUACAUUAUUUUCUAAGCUUUUAAAUUUUAUAAAUAAAUGUAAAAAUAUAUUUUAAGGCUUUCACAAAUAUUUCCAAUAUUGAAACUACAUUUCUUGACACUAUUUGAAGGUAGGCUCCAAUUUGAUCGUUUAGAGCCUAGGCUCUAUACAAACCACACCAUCUAUAUAUAUAUAUAUAUAUAUAUAUAUAUAUAUAUAUANNNNNNNNNNNNNNNNNNNNNNNNNNNNNNNNNNNNNNNNNNNNNNNNNNNNNNNNNNNNNNNNNNNNNNNNNNNNNNNNNNNNNNNNNNNNNNNNNNNNNNNNNNNNNNNNNNNNNNNNNNNNNNNNNNNNNNNNNNNNNNNNNNNNNNNNNNNNNNNNNNNNNNNNNNNNNNNNNNNNNNNNNNNNNNNNNNNNNNNNNNNNNNNNNNNNNNNNNNNNNNNNNNNNNNNNNNNNNNNNNNNNNNNNNNNNNNNNNNNNNNNNNNNNNNNNNNNNNNNNNNNNNNNNNNNNNNNNNNNNNNNNNNNNNNNNNNNNNNNNNNNNNNNNNNNNNNNNNNNNNNNNNNNNNNNNNNNNNNNNNNNNNNNNNNNNNNNNNNNNNNNNNNNNNNNNNNNNNNNNNNNNNNNNNNNNNNNNNNNNNNNNNNNNNNNNNNNNNNNNNNNNNNNNNNNNNNNNNNNNNNNNNNNNNNNNNNNNNNNNNNNNNNNNNNNNNNNNNNNNNNNNNNNNNNNNNNNNNNNNNNNNNNNNNNNNNNNNNNNNNNNNNNNNNNNNNNNNNNNNNNNNNNNNNNNNNNNNNNNNNNNNNNNNNNNNNNNNNNNNNNNNNNNNNNNNNNNNNNNNNNNNNNNNNNNNNNNNNNNNNNNNNNNNNNNNNNNNNNNNNNNNNNNNNNNNNNNNNNNNNNNNNNNNNNNNNNNNNNNNNNNNNNNNNNNNNNNNNNNNNNNNNNNNNNNNNNNNNNNNNNNNNNNNNNNNNNNNNNNNNNNNNNNNNNNNNNNNNNNNNNNNNNNNNNNNNNNNNNNNNNNNNNNNNNNNNNNNNNNNNNNNNNNNNNNNNNNNNNNNNNNNNNNNNNNNNNNNNNNNNNNNNNNNNNNNNNNNNNNNNNNNNNNNNNNNNNNNNNNNNNNNNNNNNNNNNNNNNNNNNNNNNNNNNNNNNNNNNNNNNNNNNNNNNNNNNNNNNNNNNNNNNNNNNNNNNNNNNNNNNNNNNNNNNNNNNNNNNNNNNNNNNNNNNNNCAUCACCGUCCAAAGUUUAUCGCACGGUCACAAUUGUCCGAUAGUGUUUCAUUUUUCAUUUGUUUUUUACAAAUCAGAAUAAUCUAAAAUUUAGAGCGUGUAUACAUCUUAGUGAGACGCACCUAAUAAAAAUAAUAAAAAAAAUAAUUCAAAAAACUGAGUUAACCAAAUUACCCCUAAAACUUUUCGAGAGAAUUUUGGUUAAUGUUUUUCUGGUAAAAACAUUUUUUGAUAUUUUUUUGUAGAUUCGCCUAUUUUUUAUGAAUACGCACUACAAGUUUUAAGUCAUUCUAAUUUGUAAAUAAAAAAUAAAAAAUAAAAAAUAAAAAAUUAUUGGACAAUCGUGACCUUCCGAUGAACUUUGGACGGUGAUGAGGGUAUGUGAAAUCACUGUUCAUUUCUCUUAAAGAGAGAGAGAUAGAGAGAGAAAGCUAACAAUAGCUGGGCAGCUAUAAUGAAUGGUAAUAUAGGUGGAAUCCUAAUCGCCAGAUCUUCAUCGAGUGGUUCAAAAUAUAUAUCACUAUUUUAAUUUUAAUUUUUUCUAUAAAUCUGAUUAUAAUGAAAUUUUGGGUGUAUAUACCUAACACUAUUGCCCACCAUAAAAAAAAUAUAUAUAUUAUUCUCAAUAAUUUAAAGAUAUUUUGGCAUCAAAACAACCUCUUCUAGUGCAAUUUUUGAGGUAGACUCAAAUUUGAUUGUUUAGAGCCUCAGCUCAAUAUAAACGUUUCCCUUGAAAUAAAGAGGUAUCUUUUUAAGAUAGAUGGAUCGACUAAGAAAGGUGGGCGCAAGUUUUCGAGCUUUUCGAUGUGUAAAAUAGACUGUAGGCUGAAGAUUAAAUUAGAACUAUGGGUUAGACGUGAGUGGCUUUCUUGGGUGAUAUGGAGGCAAAGAAAAAACGAUGGUCGCAAAGAGUGCAAAACGAUGCAAAAAAAUAAAAAAAGAGAUGCAAAACUAUGGAGGCAAAGAGUGCAAAACGAUGGACGCAAAGUCAAAAAGUAAGAGCAAUAUCUCUUUCUUAUCUUGUUACAUGCAAUAUAACUUUUUGACCUUGUUACAUACAAUAUAUGCUUUCCUACCUUGUUGCUUUCUUAAGUCAAAAGGUAAGAGCAAUAUCUCUUUCUUAUCCUGUAAUAUGCAUUUUUCUAUUUUGGAUUUUGUUUCUAUUAAUACUCAUGCGUCUCCCUCCCCCGCACACCCUCUUGUCACUCUCUCACUCUUUCUCUCUCUUGGACGUGCCACUUUCUUAUUUUCUCUCUCCAGUUUAACAAGAUAUCACUACUUUGAAAUAAGGUUUUCGGGUGUGUCUAGGGGGUGAGAGUUGCUUGAUCCUAGCCUUCAAUCCCUUAUUGGCUACCAAUAUUAAGGGUUAACAUUUAAUGGCCAUUAUCCCUUGGCCUAAUUUAAACCUAAAUUUCCCUCCGAUUUUUUAAUUCAAACGUUGCCACUAAUUGAAGUUAAAUCCAAAUAAACUUUGAUCAAAAUUCUAGUUUUGGAUCUAAGACUUAAUUUCCAGUUACCAGAAACUAAUUGUGUGAGGGAAAUUGUGUAGAGAGGGGCAUAUAGUCUAGAUUUAAUUGAUCUCUCUCUAAGUUUUAAAUUCAAAACACAGGUGCACUUCUUACUAGCAUAUGGCGUAUCCAUGCAAUUAAGGGGAGCAUGUCAUGUGGCAUGCUAAUGGAUUCUUUCCUUUACAUAUGUCCUAGGGUUUAGACAGUAAUGUCGAACCCUACGCCCAUUUUAGAAGCUUGCAGGUGCGCGCGCCAUGUGUACGUCCCUUAAAUUAGGGAUAUUAACUUUAUCUCACAUAAAUCUCAAUCCAAAAAACAUAUGACUAGCACACUCCCUUGACAUCACUCAUGUGAUAUCACCCACAUAGGACCCCAUAUGUGGUCCAUGUGUGCUCAUGUAUUAGAUACGAAGACACUCCACUUUGAAAAUGGUUGUAUGAUAUGAAGACACUCCACUUUGGCUUAUCUCAAUAUCUCCAACCAUUUUUUCAAACCAAUCUAAAAAACCCGUGACUCACAAUUUUAACUAGAGGCUCAUGCGUAGUCCAUCUAAAUUCAUCGAUUGAUGAUAAAAUCUUAGAAUUUAGUAGAUUGCAGGUGUACCCCACUGUUGACAAGUAACUCAUGCGCUAUUAUGCCUCUCUGAAGUACAUGUGUAUGCUCCCUAUCUAGUUGAUCAACCAGAAGGGUGGCUUGGUGGUUUCCGAAAACCGGUUGUCAUGUGCACAUGAUGUAGAUUAGUUAGUGUCGAGGAUUAGGCACUUGUUAGAACACAUCAUCAUAAACGACAAACAUUUCUCAUAAAUUAAAUGCCCUGGCUAGAACACACAUUCUAGGCUAUUACUGACUUCGGCAGAGGACAAUUACCUCCGCUUUAGAAUACCAUAUGACUCUUGAUCUCUUCAAACUCUCAACCCAUUCACUUAAAAAUAAAUAAAUGUGGGAUUUAAAACAUCAGUUUUAAAAUUUAGGUAAUUGUAAAUUGCUUUAAAUUUGCAUGGACUAUUAUAUAAAUCAAUAAAUCAAUUUGUUUAAAAUUCUUUAAACUAUUGAGAUGUUAUGUACCUAAUUUUCAAAAUGAUUUCUUAGAUUGGCAUGGGUUUCUUCUAACAUUAAAUUCAUAAUUAAGGUAUCUAAAGAAUUUAGAACUCAUUAUUGACAUAUUUUCAGAUCUCUUAUUUCUCAAUUAGCAUAAAUUUCUUUUUAAACAUGAACAACUUUAAUUGUAAAGCGUCAAAUUUUUCCAAUGGGCAAACCGGAAAUGGAGAUUGUUGUAAUUAUUUUUGUACUUUCAAAUUGAUGUAAAUUAGUUCCCAGGCAAUUUUAAAAGAUACAAAUAUUAGGAAGGCUUUAUUUCUUCCAAUCCAUUGCUUCAUCUUCUCUUUAAUAAUUUCCAAGUGUAAAAUCAUAUCAAAAUCAAAUGUUUUGGAAGGUUUUUUAUUUCUGAUUUUCAAAUUUUUUAUUUUUAAGGAACAUAAAUAAAAUUUUAUUUUCAAUAUUGCAAUCAAAGAAUUCAAAUCACAAAAAAGGUGAUUAUAUAUAGUUUAUACUUUUAAAAUAGAAAUUGGAGUUUCAGAUAAUUUGGACUUUGCCAGUAAUCGCCUACAUGAAUGGAAGCCUUAUUUCUUUGGAUAUUCUAAAUACAAAAAUCCAAAAGUUUCUAGUUGCCCCUAUGAAAAGAAAGUAAAACCUCAUCUCGUAACCUCGUACGAAAAAUACUUAUUUUGGUAGGGCUGCAUUCCUAAUAAAUAUUUCUAACAAAAUUGACUGCCCAAACUUUUGACGCCAUAGCCGCUUAAACCUUCUUAAAAUUUGACAAAUUAUACAAAAAACAAUAUUCACAAACAUCUCCGGAACUUAUUCACAUUGGAAUUACUACCAAUGAGAGAAGAUGAACUAAUAAUAAAGUUCCACCAAGAGACAAAUAUAGUGAUGUUGUAGACACCCCAAUUGGGAUGAAUGAAUUUCCAAGUAUCCACACUCCUAAACCCAUGUCACUCUAAUCUAAAUACCUUUCCGGACCUAACCCAAACCUAAAACCUAGCUUUGUCCCACCUAUAUACCUCAUUUCUACCUUAUACCAGAGUAGGGACCAUAGUAGAGUAGUAGUCCAUAGUGCACCAGAAUUCAUGCUCCAAGCACCUUAGGAAACAUCUCAAAAAUGCCCUAGUUGCCCCAUCAUCAAGGGAACACACCUCGCCAACCUAAAACCUUCCCAAUUAGGCUAACAUAUUAUAAAAAUUCACCUAAUUUGGCUAAGCACCUUUAAAACAUGCCUAAUUAGGCUAGCACAUCCUUAAAGCCCUCCAAAAUUGGCGUAAACCUAGAUUGGGAUGAUCCCAUCUAGCUAGGCCCCAAGACUAUUUAUGAAAGUUGAACUAUGUGAUUGAGCAUGGUGUAUAUAAAUUAAAAAAAAAUUUAUUUAUUUUAUUCUUAUAUCGAAAAAAACACUCACAAUGUCCAAUUACAAAUAUAUAACUCUUAAAACAAAUAAAUAAAGGAAAAAAAACACGGUUCUCACUUACUACCACUAUUGAAUACAAUUCCAUAAAUUAAAAUCUUAACUCAUUGCUUUAUGAGAAGAGAAGAUCAAAUCACAAAUAAAGCUUUAAAAAAGUAAAAUUGAUGGAGAUUACCUCAACCGGGCUUAAUAUAACUCACAUUGAGUCUCCUCCUUUCGAUGGUGCUCGAGAUCUAUCGGUCUCUUGAUUCUCCUAACUAUGGCAAAACCCUCUCAAUGGCAUAUGGAUCUCGAUAUAAAACCAACUUCCUAAGGCUUCAAUGCCUUGGUCUUGCUCAAGCCCCUUUAGCUUAAUCGUUGGAGAGAUGAGAGAUAGAUUAAAGAGAGAGAUCUACUAGCAAGGGGAUCCUCACCUUUGCUACCAAAAAAAUUAAACCACCACAAGAAAUGAGAGAGACAGAUGACUUGGGCGUGCUCCCCUUGCCAUUUGGCUUGAUAGAGAUUUUGGUUGGAGCGUGCCCUCUUAAAAAAAUGUGGGAGAGAUCUUGAAGCCCUAGGUGAGGCAUGCCAUAUAUCGAGAGAUCUUUGAGAGAGAUAAACCUUAAGGAGAGAAGAAAAAAUAAGUGUAGAGAUUUUAUGAUGUGGGAGAGUCUCUUUGUAUAGAUUUUCUAUGCUUUGGGGUUUGCCUCAAUUCGUAGGGUCAAAUCUUUACCGUCGAUCUAAGUAGACUUAUGAGAUGAGAGAUUUGAGUCAUCCAUCUUUUUGAUACACUAUCAAGAUUCUUUGAUCCAAUUCAAAGAGAUGAGAUAGAGUCUUAUUUUCUAAUUCCUAGAUCUAUUCCUAUCAAAUCUUUAAAUAAAUAAAAUAUAAAUCCUACUUUCUAUUUAGUAUAUCCAAUCUUUAUUUCAUGGAUCAAGAAAUCUUGAUUCAAAGAUUUACUAAAUGUUUCAAAUAUUCAACCUUAAGUUGGCUAUACCCAAAAGAUAAGCCAACAAACAAGGGGAUAACUAUCACCCAAUCGUGGUGAACAAGUUAGUCCCUAUGGGUAGGGCAUGCCACCCUUUGAUGGCCACAUGUGUGCCUCAUCGAAUCCCACAUGUUUUAAAUUGGGCCCCCAUAUUUAUAGAGGGUCCCAUAUAAUUUUAAAAAUACUUUCCGGGGGUAUUUUGCUCAAUUUUUUUAUUUUGUAUUUAGAAUUUUUAAAUAUUAUAUUUUAUUUAAAACAUUGAAAAAUUGAUUUCUUUUAAUUUAUAAAUCCAAAUGAAAAAAAUAAAAUAUCAAAAGAUUAACAAAAAUUCAAAUAAACAUUUUAAAAAUCAUAUAUCAUAAAAUUAAUUAAAACUAAUUAAUUUUGAUGGGUUAAGAAUUUAUCAAUAUACAUGAACAUUUCACCUUCAACUGCAUACUACAAUCCACCUAGCUUUCUCAAACUGACCCAACAGUUUCCAAUACCCACAGUCCACUACAGGCGCUGAUGAUUGGACCACCGAAGUCAGCCAAUGGACUAAGGGACACAAUCCUAGUUUAUGGAUUUCAUGUUCUCCCCUAAAGAAAAAAAAUUCAUCGUCAUCCAGACCAUGAUGCAACCAUGAUUCUAUGGUGAAUAGGGGUAAUAUCUUGCACAUGUAUAUGAUUCAUGGCCAUUGGCGAAUAUGAAAAAGGCUAUCUAUGUACAUGUCGUGAUGUAUAACGAUAAGGUUUCAGCCCUGUCUCUAAAGGCUGUUCAUCAUAUGCAAGCGUCAUAUAGUCCCUCGGCUCUCAUCUGACCAUACUCUGACAUCAUCAAAGGCUAACCCACUACACCCUUCUCGGUAGAUCCCUAUACCCAGGUAUCUUGGGUGUUUCCAAACUCGGUUGUCCUAGCACGUUGAGCUUAGUCUACGUAUCAAAAAAAUCACAUUUUCCUAGUAUGGUCCACAAGAUGAUCACACUCCCACUGAGUUUAUAUUUCACUAUAAAAUGCUCAUACAAGCUCUCAUGAGGCCUUUAAAUGUCACAUAAACCCAACAUCUCCCACUUGGCUUUUGGAGGCCUUGCAUUCUCUCUUUCUCAUAUUCUCAUCCCCCCAAUUACAAUCUCUCUCUCAAGCAUUUUUCACUUAUUAUCUCUUAUUGUAGUAAUCAUGCUUUUGUUAUCAAUCCUUUCACAAAGGAUUUUUAGAGGCAGUGCCUCAUUUUCUUUGCUACUCAGAUCUUAUUCUAAACGUGGUCGUAGUCCAUCUUUCAUGUCGUAUUGCGAAUCAUAGACGUGUUGUCACAGAUGAUCAUCAUGUAACCUCUUCGCAUGGGGUUGUAUCUUUAUUGACUUUAAGCAGUUCUUCAAUCAAGCUGCUCCCUUCUGUAGCCAUACAACUUGCGCCACACAUUCGGGUUCUAUGGGUGAACAACGGUAUGUUGUUCCAGCUGGGCCAUCAAACAUAAGCUGGUGCUCCCAAUGGAAUAUUGAGUUUAUUUGGAUCUUUUCAUAACAUGAUACAUGUAUAACUCAAAACCAUGUAGUUUGGUACUUGAGCUUUCUUGAUUCUUUGCUUUUACUUGCUGACGAGCUUUUGUGAACUUGGAUGAGCACACAACUGAUGAAGAAACACUUGGUCAUCACCUUUUAUACGUUGAUGAGGCAUCCAUCUCUUUGGCCUUUUGGAUUCUCUCAUACAUAUAUAAAAGUACUUUUCUUCAUUCCAUCAUUUCAAAGAUCGCGAAUUUAAAUAACCCACUGAUCUUUAGAGCUUCUAUGCUGCCACCAAGUUUCUGUACAUAUCCCUUCUUUGCGAAGAAACCAAAGUGUUUUCACAUGCAUUGUAUUUCUUUUAUAUUCUACAAUUGCCAGAUUCACUUCUUUACAUAGAGUGUCAUAUCUUGUCAACCUUAUAUUACAUCUCUUUGAAGUUUUAUUGUUAUAAACCAUACAUAUGGCACAUUAUAAAAGUUUUGAAUAACACCUAAAAGAGCUUCAAUUAUGAGAAGUGCAAAGAUGUGCCUCAACAUUACACAUCUUUUCAUUUAUUGCAGAAUAGAAGAUGAACAUCUCAUGGUACGAAUACGAUAUAUUUCAACUCAUGAGAGUUUACCUCUUAACCUUUUUUAGUAUUGAAAUAGACAAAAAAAUAUAAAAUAGUGUUUAGUUCCAUCCUUAAAUCACACCAUUUAGUGAGAUUUUGAUUUAAUGACAUUCACGUCACAAUAUAGUUUUCACAAUAAAAAAAUUAGUUGCGCACCUCUCAAUAAAAUACUUUUUCCUCUUAAUCCACAGAUCAUUUAUUCCUGAAACUUUUUCUAUUGAAAACUAGAUAUAAAAUCAAAGCGUAGAAUCAUAAUGUGAGUCCCAAGUAAUAUUUUUCUUCAAAGAAAUAAAUAAGUGACAUUACAAUCAUAAAAUAUAUAAUACUGCAUAAUUCCAAGAUGAAUAUUAUCUAGUAAAAUUGUCUUUUCUCUCUACCUUCAUAUAAUUUCUUUUUCAAACGUAUUUUUUUUUUGAAGUAGACACAGAAUGGUAACUCAUAUAUUUUCACAAGUCUUAUAUCACUCUGUUAAGUAGGUUUGAUAAAUAUAGAUAUUCACUCCUUAAUGAAGAACAUACCAAACUGCUGAAUAUUCAGGAUGGCCUAUCUUCAAUCGAAAAUUUGUAUUCAUCUCUUCUCAUAGAUAUUUCUCUCUCAAAUAAGUUUUAUUAGAAGCUAGACUCAAAUGGAAGUUAAAAACUUAGUAUAGGCCUUAAAACACUCUGUUAAGAAUGAAAAUAAAAUUAUGGCUUCCAAGUCAUUAAAACAGCUUUUUUUGUAGAAAUAGUACUUGCGCACCCUUUAAUAAAUUAAUCUUAUCUGUCAAACCACACUUUGUUUAUUCAUAAAACUAUUUGUUUUGAAAUUACACUCAAUUUUAUGAGUCAUAGUCAAAUUUCAGGUAAAACUAAAAUCAUAUGAUUGCUGGAAAAAUUCAUGGACCCCAAUGGACAGUUCCUAGAUUUUGCAAAGUCAAAACCUGGAUUUUGUAAAGUCAGAACUGACACCCUUCAUUGAUUAGUUCAUAACUCUCUAUUCCCUCAGGGCCUCCCACUAAUAUUUUGUAGUUGAUCCUACUCUCCAAAAUACAUAAUAUCCUGAAGUAUGUAUCAAAGAAAUACAUCAUUAUGUUGUUCAUAUCAGUGCUCCAAAAACAACAAGAAUACCCGAUUCUGCGGAGUGCCUUCUUGGCUUUUGAACGUGCCAAUCAUUCUUCCGGAGGUGUAUCUUUUGACCGCAAAAGUCAUUGGAUUUCUUAUAUCUCAUUCCCAAUUCACCAAAAAUAGUGAAAUAAAAUAAAUAGGAAAGCAAGUAGAUCUAGCUCUAAUACCAAUGAAAGUUGGACUAUGUAAUCUAACACAGUGUAUAUAAAUUAAUUAUUAUUUUUCUCGGAAAGUUGGACUAUAUGAUCAAACACAGUGCAUCUAAAUUAAUUAUUAUUAUUUUCUUAUUCUUACACUGGCAAGACAACUCACAAUUUCUAAUUACAAACAAAUAACUCUUGAAACAAAUAAAUAAAAGAAAAGAAGCACGAUUCACACGUGCUACCCCUAUUGAAUACAAUUCCUUAAAUCAAAAUCUUAACUCAUUGCUUUAUGGGAAGAGAAAAUCAAAUCACAAAUAAAAAUUUACAGAAGUAAAAUUGCUGGAGAUUACCUCAACUAGGCUUAGUACACCCCACACCGAGUCUUGUCCUUCCGAUGGUACUCAGGAUCUAUGAUCGGUCUCUUGAUUCUCCUACAUAUGGUAAAAUCCUCUCAAUGGCAUAUGGAUCUUGAUCUAGAACGAACUUCCUAAGGUCGCAAUGUCAUUGUCUUGCUCAAACCCCUUUGGCUUAAUCUUUGGAGAGUCUUUGGAGACAUGAGAGAUAGAUCAAAGAGAGUGAGAGAGAUCUACUAGCAAGGGGAUUAUCUCCUUUGCUACCUAAACGUCAAACCACCACAAGCCAACCUUAGCUUAGGUGUGCCACUUAGAAAGAGAGAUGACUUGGGUAUGCCCCUCUUUGCUUGAGAGAGAUUACUUGAGCAUACUCCCCUUGGCUUGAGAGGGAUUUGGUUGGAGCGUGCCCCCUUAGAAAAACUUGGGAGAGAUCUUAAAGCCCUGGGACGUGCCACCUAUAGAGAGAUAUUUGAGAGAUAGAGAGAAAGAGAUAACCCUUAGAAAGAGAAGAAAAAAUAUGUUUAGAGAUUUUAUGAUGUGGAAAAGCCCUGUACAUAGAUUUUCUAUGCCUUGUUGCCUUAAUUCGUAUGAUAAAAUCUUGACUGUCGAUCUAAAGAAACUUAUGAGGUGAGAGAUUUGAGCCAUCAAUCUCUUUGAUCCACCAUCAAGAUUCAAAGAUAUGAACUAGAGCCUUAUCAUCCAUUUCUUAGAUAUAUUCCCAUCAAAUAUUUAAAUAAAGAAAGUAUAUAUAUCAAACUUUCUAUUUUAGUAUAUCCAAUCUUUAUUUCUUGGAUCAAGUAAUCUUGAUUCAAAGAUUUACUAAAUAUUUCAAAUAUUCAACCUUAUAAUGUAAGAUGGUUAUACCUCAAAGAUAAGCUAACAAACAAGGGGAUAACUAUCACCCAAUCUUGGAGAACAAGUUAGUCCUAUGGGUAGGGCGUGCCACCCUAUGGUGGCCACAUGUGAGCCUCACCCAAUCCCACAUGUUCUAAAUUGGGUGCCAAUAUUUAUUGAGGGUCCCAUAUAAUUUUAAAAAGUAUUUAUUUUGUAUUUAGAAAUUUUAAAUCAUAUAUUUUAUUUAAAAAAUUCAAAAACUAAUUUCUCUUAAUUUAUAAAUCCAAAUGAUAAAAAUAAAAUAUCAGAAGAUCCACAACAAUUCAAAUAAACAUUAUAAAAAUCAUAUAACAUAAAAUUAAUUAAAACUAAUUAAUUUUGAUGAGAAUCAACUCCGUUAGAUCUAAGAUUUUAUCAAUAUACGUGAGCACUUCACCUUCAACUGUGUACUGCAAUUCACUUAGCUUUCUCAAACUAACCCAAUAGUUCCCAUGACCCACAGUCCACUGCAGGGGCUCAUGAUUGGACCACCAAAUCAGUCAAUAGACUAGAGGACAUAAUCCCAGUUUAUCGAUUUAGAUUCUCCCCUAGAGAUAAAAAAAUGAUGCUCCUGCAGACCAUGACGCAACCAUGACUCUAUGGUGCUUAAAGGUAAUCACUCGCACAUGUACACGCUUCACCGUUAUUGGCGAAUAUAAAAAUUGCUAUCUAUGUAUAUGUCGUGUGAUGAUAUAGCGAUGAGUUUUUAGCCCUAUCUCUAAUGGUUAUUCAUCAUACAUAAGGGCCACACAGUUUCUCGGUACUCAUCUAGGCAUACUCCGACCUCAUUAAGGGCUAACCCACUAAACCCUUCUCGAUAGAUCCCUAGGCCCAGGUAUCUUGGGUUUUGCCAAAAUUUGCUAGCCUAGCACGUCUUGCCUAGUCUGAGUAUCAGGAAAUCGCAUUUGUCUAUUAUGGUCCAAGAGAGGACCACACUCCCACUGAGUUUAUAUUUCACUAUAUAAAAUGCUCAUACAAGCUCUCAUAAGGCAUUUAAAGGCCACUUAAACCCAACAAUUUAUACUCCCUUGUUUGACGAUUUUAGGGUCUAGGUCCUAUCAUUAGGCCCCCUAAUCCUAAUUUUCCCUUCCCUUUCACCAUUGAACCCAAAAAUCAUCAAUACUCAAAUCCAAUCCCUAGACCUAUGAGUCCCUGUAACCUCUCUGAAUUUUAGAAAACCAAGUUUCAAUCUCUUCAAAAUCACAAACUAGAUCAGCCAUGCGAGGUAGCCUAUGAAGCACUAUUGUACGGGCCCUACACUAUUAUAGGCACCCUCACUUUUCCAACCUCCACUAAUUUCGUUAAAAAAAUUAUGAACCGGGUGUAUCCAUCUCAAGUGAACUCAAAGGACAAGGGCAUGUUCCCCUUGUACUGAAUCAAUCUAAUCUAGGUUCAAACUCCAAGUGUUGCUUGUGGCUCUGACUUGCACCAAGUAGGCCAUUUUCCUUUCCUUCUCUUUUAUUUCUUUGCAUUAUAUGCUUAAAGUAGUUCUCUUCUACUUCUAAGAUGUUUCCUUGCAUUUCUUUUUGCUUCCUAAGCUUUUCAAACUCUUCUCUCAGAUUUGGAGAGUCUCUAACUGGAAUGACUAGUAAAUCAUAGAAGGAAGGUCCUUGAAGUCUAACCUUUGUGAAUCGUAAUUUGACGGAACCCAUCUCUUCAGACACACUUAAUCUAUUUUAGGCACAAACAGACAUUGAGGAAAUUUCGAUCUUUCAUGCCUCCUAGUUUUGCGUCAACCUAGGUAUGUUCUAGAGUAAUUAUUCAUGAUUGACAUCAGUAGUUAUUGGACUAUAUACAACACUAUAGUACCACAUGAUCGUAAUGAAAUGGGAGCUUUGAUAGAAAAAGAAAUGUUCUACAGAUCUCAAUGUUACAAUAUACAAAAGGUAUUUUGAUAAUUUUCUAUUACGUUCGUUUCUCAAAGAAGCUCAACAGGCCCUAGAAGAAGUCCAUGCUGGGGUCUGUAGAUGGAUCAAUCAAGACCCAAGGUUUUUAUGAGGCUUAAAUGCCUUUGACGAUAUUGGCCUCCAAGAACUGACUCUAUUUUUAGAUUUACAAACCCAAAAAGAAACCGUGAGAGAUUGGCCCAAGCAGAAGCACCCUAAAAUGAUUUUAUUUUAUUUUUUAAUCAAGAGAGAGAGAGAUAUAUAUCUAGAGUGAGAUGAGACAGGCAUAGAAGACCAAAUGGAGAGAGAGACAAAGCCUUGCUCUAUUAUUCAUUUAUUUAUUUAUUUUUAUUUUAUUUUUAGUUUUAUAAAGGGGGAGAAAAGAAGGUAAGAAGGUGAGAAAACAUAACCACCUUAUUGGACUCAUACACGGGUGACUUCUAUGAAAAAAGACAUGAAAGAUAUUAAACCGGAUGCCUGGGAGACUUACAGGCCGGCUGGGUGUAAUGUAAUCUACCGCAAUAGCUAACUUAUGCAGUACUUUGCCGCAAUGGACUCACUCAUGUUUAAUAUGACAGUUAGGAUAGUGUGGGUUUCUCGGGUCAACGCACCACGACAAUGAUCUUAGUCAAAAAACAAUUUUGUUUAUAAUUCACACUCUUCAUUCAAUCUGCAAGGGGUACAAUAUAUAGUCGCACGAGGGAAUAUUUACUCGUCUUUUGUAUCAAAUCAGAAUAAAGAAAAAGAUACAUCAAAUCCUAUUUUACAUCCUAUCAAAGAAAAAGUAACAACGUUCUUCUCUGAAUGCCUCUUCUAGUUCUUCUUUUGUUUCAAUCAUGCACCAAGCCAUCUGAAUUUCGUUUUUCUAAAAAAAAGCCCUGAUUGGUCUGGGUGCUCUGGUUGGGCAUGGAGAGGCCAUAUGACCAUCUUGUUUGCAAGCACAACAUGGUCCUUUAGGAGGAUAACUUUUAUUUCUUUUAUAAAAUUUAUACGCUUAAUAGAUCUCUUCUUGUGCACUCUUCGAAAUCUUGGAAUAUUGUACAAUUCUGCUCCUUCAAUGUUGUUGCAUCCUCUGACAGCUACCUUUGGAAAUUGCUUAGGGGCAUUUAUAUUGAAACACAUUUUUUGACUUUUGAUCUAGCAAAACCAAUCACAUCUGCUAAUACAAGAGCUUCUACCAUGGUUCCCUUAGCUGAUACUAUUUUUGUUAUCGUCCUUGGCAAACUUGCCAAAUAGGAGGUAUUGCACAUGACAUUUUUGCUAACCCUCAACCUAUAACAUUAUGUAUUAAAAUCGCCGGACAAAAUUUCAAAAUCAUCUAUAUCAACUAAUUUUCUCCGGGAUAAUAGUACUGAAUCAAGUGCAGUUUUGUUUGGAUGACUUGCAACAAAUUCUAUAUACACCUUUUCUCCAAGCUCAUUUAACCCCAUGUACUUAAUAUAAUUUUUCCCAUCAUCAGUAAAUCCAAGCCGCCAGUAUGAGGAUCUUCCUUGUAACACACUUGCUUUGGUUACUGCAUUAUCAUUUGGCCAUCUUCUUAGCUCCUAAAUCAUAAAACAUUUAUGAUUCCAGGUAACAAUAUUUUGUUCUUUAGAAUUACUUAGCCUGUCAAUAUUUAACAGAGGAAUAUCAAUUCUUAUGUUUUUGUUUCCACCAUUACCUGAAGCUCUGAACAUUUAUAUAUAUAUAUAUAUAUAUGACAAUGACUUCAUGCAACCGUUGUAUGGUAAUAUGAUGCAACAACCUUAAAAAACCAUCUUAUAGCCACUUGUUUGAUCUAAAUUUUGAAAUAUACACUCUUUUCAUUCUAAUGAACAAUCACAAAAAAAGAAAAAAUUUAAAACACAACCUAGAGAGUAUUUUUUUAGCCCAAUUAAUAUAGGUCGUUCAUUUUGAUGAGAUGCUUAAAUCUAGGCCUUAGAAGGAUUCUUUCAUUUCUAACUUUUUUGGAUGGCUUUAUUAUCAUUAGAUGAACAAUGUUAAAAAAAGCAAAAAAUGAUUUUGGAUUUAUAAAGGCUAAGAUAUUGACAUUCACAAAAUGAUUGGUCUACAUUCGGUUUUGGAGGGGACUCAUUUUGACCAUAUCUAGGGUUCAAAUUAAACUUUUUUUUUUUUUGGAUGAUUGAUUUUUGACAUGAAGAGAGAGUGUGUAUAAAAUUUGGGGCAUACAAAUACCACAAACAUGGUUUUCAAGAAANNNNNNNNNNNNNNNNNNNNNNNNNNNNNNNNNNNNNNNNNNNNNNNNNNNNNNNNNNNNNNNNNNNNNNNNNNNNNNNNNNNNNNNNNNNNNNNNNNNNNNNNNNNNNNNNNNNNNNNNNNNNNNNNNNNNNNNNNNNNNNNNNNNNNNNNNNNNNNNNNNNNNNNNNNNNNNNNNNNNNNNNNNNNNNNNNNNNNNNNNNNNNNNNNNNNNNNNNNNNNNNNNNNNNNNNNNNNNNNNNNNNNNNNNNNNNNNNNNNNNNNNNNNNNNNNNNNNNNNNNNNNNNNNNNNNNNNNNNNNNNNNNNNNNNNNNNNNNNNNNNNNNNNNNNNNNNNNNNNNNNNNNNNNNNNNNNNNNNNNNNNNNNNNNNNNGCUAUUUUCAAUAAUUUAAAAUGACCAAAAUAACCCCAUCAUUUUUCAAGGUAUUUCUAUCCUUUUAUAUUUUUGAAAAUAUUUUUUAUUUGUGCGCCUUAUUUUUUAGUACACAUGAAAAUUUCAUUAUGAUCUGAUUUAUAGAAAAAUAAUUAAAAAGUGAUAUGCAUUCUGAACAGCAUGAUGAAGAUCUGAUGGCUCUCAUUCCCCCUUUAUUACUAUUCAUUAUAGCUGGCCAGCUAUUGUUAGCUUUUUCCUAUAUAUAUAUAUAUAAUAAAAAAUCAUGCACAACAUAGACCAUGCUUGUGAGUCAUUGUAUCCCACAAUUUCCACAUAACCAUUAACAGAAUGGAGAAGGAUGUCAUUUAACGGAUUCGACUAGCACCCGCUAGUGCUUGCAUAUAUAUAUUUUUUAGCUAUUAACAAUUAUUUCUUCAAGUGUGCAGAAGCAAUACCAGUUUGAAUUGUAAUGGUAAAGAUGGUUGUUGAUAUUGUUUUGCGUCAUAACAUCUAUAGAUAUGGUGUCCUAGGCAAAAUUAUCUCGGAUAAUGGUGCAUUUAUAAAAAAUAGAGCCUCGUAAACAUCAACUUCAUGCUAAAUUUCAAAUUCAUUUAAGCUAUACACCUGAGGCAGUGAAAAAACUUUACAGGGAAAGAACACAAAUAAUCUAUUGACUCAAGGCAUGGCUCUUGCAAGAUAAUAAUGAGCUCCAACAAAAAAAAAAAAAAAGUCCAUUAACUAAAAAAAUUUAAGAAAAAGCAUGCAAAAGCUAGACUUGAAUUAAAGAAACGUAGUAAAAUCUCUAACGCAAAAGAAGGGAUUUCAUCGUACUGGCAACUUCUCACCCCUCUAUGGCAUUUACAACUUUUUAUUUGAGCUGCUCCUCUGCUGUCUUACCACGCGAGAACGUAACUACCAUCUAGGCUCCUCUGGUUUAACUGGUGUGGGUAUGGGUUGGGCAUUACUUGGCCCCUCAUUUGGUCGGGAAGGGAGCCAUACUGGUGGUACGUUUUCUUCCAUCUUAUCAUCCAACUCUAAUUCCUCAGAUGCAUCCUCAUCCCUUGCAGCUUCGUCAUAAAUUUUCAGCAAUUCUAAUGCUUCCCCAAUUAGGUCCCAAUUUCUUGAAUUUUAACCUUCACGUACAGGUUGAGCUGCAUGGUUGAUGUCCCUAGGUUACAUCAAGUCUUAUGAAAAUAGAUUAUUGAGUUUUAUAAAAUUAAAAUGUAGUGAAUCAAACAACAAAGGUUCUAAAAAAUUCUUACCAUUCUAUCUUCAUCAUUAUAACCUUGAGGUGGUUAUUUAGAGGGACGUUUUCUAAAUGGAUUAAGGAUUGAGGGCUUAGUCCUUAGCAUGUAUCAUUCGAUGUAUUCUUGUAACGGCUUCCCAUUGAACAUAUCUUUAUCUGUCUGACACAAAAUAUCUAACAUAUUCAUCCACAUAUCUAUUUCAUUUUGAAGCUCAUCUGCCCAAUUGUCAGUCAUCUUCCCCAUUCUCUCCCUCCUCUCCCUCCUUUCCAACUGCAAGGGAUCAGCCGGUAUCCCUGGGUGAAGUCCAAACUGUCAAAACAUACGAUCUGGCAUGUACCCCUCACAAAUGUGUCCACAUAUGAGGUAUGUGUGACACAAAACAAUCUGAAGAACAAUAAGGUCAUAAGCUCUAUCCUCUUCAGUUUCUUCUUAUAGGUUAAGAUAAUCAUCAUAUGAAAUCCAUAUGACGUAUGAAAAAAUAAAUAGAAAUUUUAAGUUAAAUAAACUUGACCAAAAUUAAUUAAAAUAUGAAUAAACAAAAUCAAUGAUAACUAUUUUAUACUAACAUCAUUUAUUUGUGCGUUAUCGGUCUCAUGUGGCCCCACGAGAGGGAAGUUAUGAGAGUUAUCCCAUUCUGUAAGACGAGCCCACCUGAGGGAUCUAGGUUACCCUACCCUUAUUUCUCUGGGAAUUUGGCGUAACAAUUUGAAAUACUCGUACGCCGAGCACUGAAAUGCAUGCAUAAAAAAUAAUUAUACAACAAAAAAAAUCUAUCAAACUUUUAAAAAAACUAUCAAAAUAUUAAUAUACUAGCACUAACGACAAAAGAGUGGCUUAUCCACUUAGGUGUUGAUGAUCAGAAUGAAUAACUUUUGACAAGCCUUGAAACAAAAAACCUAGGGCAGCUGCACCCCAUGCAUAUUGACCAGCUACUUCCAUAUCCUCAAAAAGCUGUAAAUAUAUUGCAGGCACCGUACCAUAUAUAGAAUCUGCAAAUAUUGUGCAGUCAAUUAGAUAUAGGAGGUAGGAACGAGUGUGUCGUAAAAAGGUGGUGCAUUUAUAGUUUUGUGGCAGCUGUUUAAAAAUGUUCAUCAACCAUGUCAGCCGGAUAAUAGAAUGGUUACGUGCAUAUUGCAAUUGUCCUAUUAUAUUGAGUAUAUAGUCCUCAUAGUUCUCCACUCUCGUAAGAGUUACAACUACACUAGUAACCCUUAAUCGGAGAAUUUUCCAUAUAUCUUCAAGUGUAGGCAUCAUCUAUCUGACGUCUAUAUUGAAGUGUCUAGUGUGCGUCUCUACACGCCACCUCUCGAUCAUUGUAGACAAUGUGCCAUGAUUAUGGUGAGUCAUCGAUACUAUGAUCAGAGGAUACAAUCCUGAUCUCCGGACCAAAUCGAUUUAAUCAUUAGUUGUUAAAGGCCAUAAUGAAGUUGCAUUGGCUUUCUCUUCAACCCUGAGGGGAUUUUCCCGAUCCUAAAAUGGAAUUUGUGAUUUAAAUUACUAAAAUAAAUAAGUUGAUUAACCAACAUAAUAGACAAAUAAUAUAAUUUGAAAUAGUUGUAAAUACAUCUUCUUCCUAGAUCUUCUGUGAUAUAUAUUCUCUCUGUCUAUUGAGCAAUGUAAGAAUCUCAAGACCUCCAGGGCAGAGUACACCUUCUGCCAUGAUCCCUGUUCAAAAGCCAUCAUAAACAACAAACUCAUGGUAAAUAGACUACUACUAGUCUAUCAGACACCUGACCAAGGAUAUGGCAAAGUAAAAGAACAAUCAGCAAAAAGAAACUACAGAAGCCCAAUUAAAGUUUAACUACAUCCAAUCAUAAUUGGGACACAAAGUUUAACUAACAAGGCAAACAAGAAAUCACUUUGAUAUGUAUUUCCGUGGAUAAUUAUGAAGAUUUGUCAUGCUAAAGAAAUCAUCGAUUUGCUGCAAAAAUAUUAUUGAUAUAAUGUAGAUCAUCCUGGUUUCACUACCAUGAUUACUACUCAAGAAUAACUUAAUAAAGUGGAGUGGAGUAAUUUCAUGCUUAUUUUGAACUUGUAAUCGAAGCCAUAGCAACCCAAAACAAUAUGAAGCAUUUAUUUCAACACUGCCAACACUAAAAUCCCAUUCCAAAGCAAGCUAAAAACCAAUAGAUAACUCUCUCUCUCUCUCUCUCUCUCUCUCUCUCUCUCUCUCUCUCUCUACUCUACUACUANNNNNNNNNNNNNNNNNNNNNNNNNNNNNNNNNNNNNNNNNNNNNNNNNNNNNNNNNNNNNNNNNNNNNNNNNNNNNNNNNNNNNNNNNNNNNNNNNNNNNNNNNNNNNNNNNNNNNNNNNNNNNNNNNNNNNNNNNNNNNNNNNNNNNNNNNNNNNNNNNNNNNNNNNNNNNNNNNNNNNNNNNNNNNNNNNNNNNNNNNNNNNNNNNNNNNNNNNNNNNNNNNNNNNNNNNNNNNNNNNNNNNNNNNNNNNNNNNNNNNNNNNNNNNNNNNNNNNNNNNNNNNNNNNNNNNNNNNNNNNNNNNNNNNNNNNNNNNNNNNNNNNNNNNNNNNNNNNNNNNNNNNNNNNNNNNNNNNNNNNNNNNNNNNNNNNNNNNNNNNNNNNNNNNNNNNNNNNNNNNNNNNNNNNNNNNNNNNNNNNNNNNNNNNNNNNNNNNNNNNNNNNNNNNNNNNNNNNNNNNNNNNNNNNNNNNNNNNNNNNNNNNNNNNNNNNNNNNNNNNNNNNNNNNNNNNNNNNNNNNNNNNNNNNNNNNNNNNNNNNNNNNNNNNNNNNNNNNNNNNNNNNNNNNNNNCAAUAGAAAUGUAACAUUUAUGGCAUGAUCCAUUUAAUAAAGGGUGCGGUUUGUCUAGAGCAUAGGCUCUAAAUAAUCAAAUUAGAGCCUACCUUCAAAUAUCGAGAAAUGUGGUUUCAAUAUUGGAAAUCUUUGUGAUAGCCUUAAAAUAUAUGUUCAUAUUUAUUUAUAUAGUUUAAAGCAUAAAAAAUAGUGUCGAUCUACAGAUCUGAGAAAACUUGAAAAUCUUGAAAAUUGAUGGUCCAAAAAUAUGUUGCAAAAUAUACUAUUUCCAAAACUUGAAAUCUAUUUUUUUUUAUCUUGAUAUCGAGAUGAUCAAUUUGGAGAUAUUUGGGCAUAAAAACAACCUCUUAUGGUGAAAGUUUUGAGGUAGGCUCAAAUUUGAUUGUUUAGAGCCUCGGUUCUAUAUAAACUGUUCCCAUUAAUAAAUGACCCCUAAUAAUAAUAUAGCUAUAGCAAUUAUUGCAAGUGAAACUAAUCGUAAUGGAGAAUGGGCUUGGGGUCGUGUUGGUAGCACCACUUGUGCCUCAACUAAGGUCUGGGCUUCCAUUCUCACCUAACGCAUUAAAAAACCACUAACAAUUUCAAAAAACGGGUAGUGGCUCAUCCCCACUAAAUUACUAAAAACAAAAUGUAACAAAAUGGGUAGGGGCUCGUCAUCCCCACUAAAUUAUUUGUUAUUCUUCUUUUCUUGGUAGCAAAUUUGUUUCUUUUAGGUUUGUAAUUUGCGAAUUGCAUCAAAGUAAAGAAAGAAAAUGUAAAAAAAUAAAAAACCAAAAUUAAAAAAAUAAGCGGUAGAAGGAAUAUUCUUAUACUAUUAUAAGCACUAUUAUAAAUUUUAUUACUUUAUUAAUAAUUUCUAAUAUUGCUUGUAUUUUAUGGAAUUCUUUAUCAGAGAAUAUUUUUAUUUUCUAAUAUUCUACAAUUAUAUUAUUAACCUACAUAAUUUGAAUUUUUUGUUUACUAUUCUUUAGAUUUUUUCUAAUAUAAUUGAAAUUAAUUACUUAUAAGUAAAUAUAUUAAUAUAUUUACUUAUAAAUAAAUAUUAAAUUGGAUCCUUUUUAAAAGAUAUAACAAGUUUGCUUGGUGCACAAUAAAAGUUGAGCAAGAAGGGAAAAAAUUAGUAUGUCUAGGUAGUAAGUUUUUCUAUUUUUCAAUUUAAUUUUUAUAUUUUAUAAACUAACAAAAUAAAAAUAAAAAUAAAAAUAUAAAAAAAUAAAAAUAAGAAAAAAUAGAGAAUUUUUUAUUUUUUUUUAAAAAAAUUGACUCAUAAGUUAUAUGUUUUUAAUUAUAAGACAGUGCUUUGGUGUUGUAUACUAUUGUUUCAAUUAUAUUAUUUCCCUAUAUAAUUUGUAUUUUUGGUUAAAUAUUUCUCUUUUUUCCAUUUUCUUAUGCAAUUCUAGGUUAAUAAUUUGCAUUUUCAGUUAGCAAAUAUAUUGUUUUGUUGAUGCAGAUAUUAAUUAGGAAAUUUUGGAGAAACACAAAUUGGAACACGAAAGGAAAUAGAAAAAAUAUUAGAUUUUCUUCAAUAUAAACGUAGGUCAAGUUUUGCUUUUAAAAAUGUAAUAUGUUUAUGUGGCAAUUCAAAUUUUUUCUAGUUUUCAAUCUAAAUUUUUAUUUAGGAAAUUCAAAAACGAAGAUAGAAAAAUAAAAAAUAAAAAAUAAAAAAUAAAAAUAUAAAAAUAAGGAAAAUAGAGAGGGAAUUCUCUUUUGCAUUUACAAUUUUACUUAUGCGUUGCACUAUAUAAUUUUCAUAAUAUGCUAUUACUUCAAGGGUGCGGUUUGUAUAGAGCGGAGGCUCUAAACAAUCAAAGUAAAGCGCACUUGCAAAUAAUGCCUAGAAAUGUGGUUUCAAUACUGAAAAUUUUUGUGAUAGCCUUAAAAUAUAUUUUCAUCUUUAAUUACAAAAUUUAAAGCUUCAAAAAUAGUAUUGAUCGAUCAGAUCUAUGAAAAUUUAAAAAUGUUGAAAACUAACAGCAAAAAAAUAUUUUACAAGAUGCACUAUUUCCAAAACUUAAGGAUAUUUGGGCAUCAAAGCAACCUCUUAUAGUGAAAUUCUUGAGGUAGGCUCCAAUUUGAUUGUUUAGAAUCUCGGCUCUAUAUUAACUUUUUCCUUGUUUCAAUUGUAUUAUAUCCAAUAUUUGCAAUUUCGGUUAAUUAUUUUUGCAUUUUUUUGCAUUUUUUGGAUACUUGAUUUGCAUUUUGAAGUAUUAAAUAUAUUAGUUUGCUUCUAUAAAUAUUAAUCUAGAAAAUUUGAAGAAAUGAAAAUGCAAAAAAGAAAAGAAACAUAAAAUGGCUUUUCUUUAUUUAUUUAUUAUUUAUUUUUGUUUCCGAUUCCAAUGAAAUUUUAAUGACAACUAUAUUUACAAAAUUUCUUUCGAUUUUCCAAACAAUCAAAUAAUUAAAGUGAUAUUGUUUAUACUUGAAAUUGCGUGUAGGGGACUUCGCCCCCGCUUAUGGUUUUGGGUGCAAACAAAUCGAUGAGUUGAUAGAGUAUGGGUCCCAUCAAAUUACGAUUCGAGGGACAAUCGGGUCCUAAGACCUUAUCCCUCUUGGAUCGCCCACAAAGCCGCCUUCCCUACUAUCUUACCCUUGGAAUUCAAACGAGAGAGCUUUCAAAAGAAGGUUUGAGAUAAAAGGAAGAUUUUAAGAAAAUAAAUUUAACAAGAGAAAAAGGGAAGAAAACCACAAAUAAGCAACUAAACUUAGAAGAUGCAAGUAAAUAGGAGUGACAAAUCUGACUACAAGAUGCAGGAAUAAUAAAAAAUUAAAGAGCAUGGUAACAAUAGAGUGGAUCUAGUCUAAACAUUCAUAACAUAGAAUGAAAGAGAGAGAGAGAGAGAGAGUAUUAUGGUAAUGCCAACACGAUUACGAAGAAGGAAAGAGGCGGGCUCCUCAUCAACGAGGUAGAGAUAUAUGAGUAUGAAAUAUGAAUAAAGAUAAUAAUAUAACAUAAGAAGAGAUAAAGAGAGAGAGAGAGAGAGAGGGAAGAAAGCUAAUACUUGUAAAUAACAUGCAAUGAGAGUAAUAAAACUAAUUAAAAAAAAGAGAUAGAAGGAAAGACUAUAAGAAAGAGUGUUAAGAUGAAUGAGAUAGAGAGAAAUAGGGUGUGAUUCACUAAAAAGGGAAAGAGAAAAAUAGAUGAGUGCAAAUUACUAAUAAGAAAUAAAUGCAACAAGAAGAUGAUAAGAGAGACAAAGCUAUUGAACAAAAUAUAAGGGAAAAGAUAAAGUAAGUAUGAAAGAAAGUAGGGAAUGAGAGGGAUGGAGAUGAUGAGAUUUAAACUACAUAAUAAGAGGAAAGAGAAGAGAUUAAAGUAAAUCUCCCUAACUAAGAUGGAAAAAACAUAAUAAAGAAUAACGAACAACCACCAUAUAGAGAAGACGAGAGAUGGGAUAGAUAUACAUUAUUAAAUGAGUAAGAGGGGGAAAGAGAACCAUACAACAGAUUAAAAGAAAUAAAUAUAGCAAGAAAAGAGAGAGCCUAUACUAUCAAAUAGAGAAAACUAGGAGGACCCAUCAAUGUAACAACCUAAGAGAAUGGAUGUUCAUGAAAGAUGAAGAAAAUAAAUCUACGCGAAUGGAUGUUCAUGAAAGAUGAAGAAAAUAAAUCUACGCUAAAGAAAAUGAUAGAAAAGGCAUAUCUACAUCAUAAAAAUAAAUAAAAUGAGAAAAAUGAAUAACCACAACAAACCCAAUCAAGGGAUAAAUAUUACUAAGAAGAAAAGGGAGACUUCUUAAUGAAGAGAAUGAGAGAUAAGGGGUUUAGUGAAAAGAGAAUGUUUAUACCACUAAAUAUUGAAGCAAAGAAGAGUAAUAAAUUCCAUAAAACAAAAGAACUAAUAUAAGGUAAAAUGAUCAUGCAAAAAAGGGAAAAAAGAGGAUUAAAUAUAACUAACUAUGUAUAUUAAAUACUACAUUAAAUGAGAAAGUAGAUAGAAUCAGUGUUUUAAAAAUCGGCGACCCGAUCCUGGAUCGGACGAUCUAAAUCGGAUAUGUCCAAUUCGUUCCUGAUCCAACGGAAAAAUAGGAUUGGCCGAUUCUCGGCAUUAAACCGAGUGAUGACAUCACGAGUCUCCUGCUUACCUCAUAGACUACCACGUGCAUACUUUUGUUAGAUUUUUUUUCAAAAAUUACAAGCACGUCAUUUAUUGCUGGGAAAGUACAAUUGACCCAGCCUUCAUCCACAAACCACGUGGCACGUCUCAUUUGCAACAUUGUUUCUCAGCGCGCUUUGCAUGUGACAACCAACCGUGCAAGCCCAAAGGCUUUUAUUAAGCCUUGCUCUUCUUAAAUUCUAAAUUCUUAAUGUGGGACUUGCUCCAUCGGCUGUUGUAUAAUAACGUGUAGUUUUCACCAGGUGCUUCAAGCGUACCCCAUCGCUUGGCAAUGCAAGCGUAGUGUUCACCAGGUUCACUAGGUGCUCCAAGCGUAUAAUAAACAUUGUGCUGUUGUAUAAUAACGCGUAGUCCAUCCUUUAGCGCUCCAAGCAUCUUUCAAAAUAACGUGUAGUUUUCAUCAGGUGUUGUUGUGUAAUUAUAAAUAUUUUUAAUACUAUAAAUUAAGAAAUUUUAUUUAAUGAUUUAAUAAUUUUUUUUUUUUUUAUAAUGUACAAAAAAUAAAAGUAGAUAUAGUUGAGUUUUAAUUGCAUAUAAUUACAUAAAGAAAUUCUAUUUAAUUCUUUACAAAAAUUAGUAUAAUUAUAUUGAAAGUCGUAUUGUUUAUUUAUCUUAAUAACUUGUUAAACUUAUGUCAGUCUAAUCAUAUAAAUAUGAUCACAUUAAAAUUUAUAGGGAAUUUUAUUUUGUUUUUUAUCAUAUGAUAUGGAAGCAUUUUUUAAUAAUUUUUAAUCAUGUUUAUUAUUAUAUUAUAAUUAACAAUUAUACAUUGAUAACCAAAUCUUGUAUUUUAUUUAUUAAUUUAUUUAUAUUAUAAAUUUUUUAAUAUAUUAUUUUUUCUUACAAUUGUAAAUAAUAUUUUUUAAAUUAGAUGAUAUUAUAAGAUAUUUUUUAUUUUUUAUUUAUUUAAUAAAAUAAUUAUAAAAUAUAAAGUUAUAAACCAACAACUUCAAUUUCAAUAUAUACUAUUAUACUUAGUUAGGUUGUAAUAAUUUUGGAUGAGUAAAACAAAAUAAUAAAUGUUUGAUAUUUGGAUGUGAUACUAAUUUCACUUUAUGUGAAUAGUAAAAUGAUGAGAAAAUUAUAAAAUACAAACCAAUUCAAUACAAACCAGUAAAAUGAUGAUAAAUUACAAACCAAUAGGGAAAAAAGGGAAAAGCAUAUACAAAAUGGCUAAACGAGAAAUAAAUGCAAGAAUAAGAAAAGAGAAGUUAAAUCAUGAAAUAAAGAAAGGAAAGAAGAAAGCCAUAACUAUAAAAGUAAAUGCUAGAGAAAUCAACAAAAGGAGAAAGAAAUAACAUUUAGGUCGGGCCUCCAAGCUCGACCCCUAGAGUAGGUUGCGAUUCGGAUCGUAUGAUUGUAUAGUUAAUCCCGAACUUUCUCUGUUCUUAAUAGGCAAAUAGAAAGAGAAAGAAGAGGGAUCGGAAUAUCAGAUUAUCCGGACUGCCUCCGGCUUAUAACGUAGUGUGAAGGAGUUUGUAAUUGUAGUUUUGUAUUGAAGGGUUUGGAUGGAAUGAAGAUUGCUCAAGUGGGCUCACCUUGGGGCUUCUCUCUUAAGCUCAAGUUCAAGCUUAAGAUCAAGAGGUUUUUAGUUAUAAUCUAGGCUCAAGAUUAAGGGAACUCAAACCUUAAGCCUAAGGUAAAAAGGUUAUUUAUAGGCAAAAUGGACCUAUGACAGCCUAUAGGUGGGUUUUGUGUAAUUUUUUGGUCAUCAGAACUCUGACGACACUUGGAUUGGCGCUAGUUGGAAUGGCGUCAUGUCAUUAAUGCUGCAAUAAUGACGUUCAACAAAUAUUAAUUACUCAUUAAUUCGGCUUUCAUACGACCUGUCAGAAUCUGCUGCCAUUGGCAAUGGUGCCAACGGAAUUCUGACCGCCUUCAAAUUCUGUUGUGGACAUGUGUAGCAUUCUGGUGACUCUGAUCUGGUUCAGAUGGACCAAUCACAGCUUCAAGCUAUUCCAACUGGAGCCAGCGACAUUUGUACUACCGCCAUAUACUAGCUGGCACACUGUUUUGGUUGAACCUUCGUCUAAUCAUCAACUAAUGAAAUUUUGAAAACCUUGAGCCGUACUGACACCUGACAUGUCAUACGGGCCUGCCAUGUCACCGCGUGCAGACUGACAUGUUAGCCCGUCAUCUCAGUCAUGUCAGCCAGACUGUUUUCCCUCCUGGUGGAGGUCUCGAGACCUGGCGCUAUUUGAAAUGGUGCUGGCAGCAUUGGCACUGCCACCAGGCUUCUAAUCAUUGUAGCACGAAAAGGGAGUACUGAGGCUUGGCGCUAUUUGGACUGGCACUGGUGUCAAUGGGAAUGGUGCAAGGCUUCUGGUCUGUAGGGUUGCCCGUGUGAUGACUAGGAUGCCUUCGGUAUCCCGCCGUUGGACUUUUGGUAGGGAUUUGGUCUCUGUUUAGUUAUCAGAGCCUUUCCUUUCUAAAAUGCAUCAUGGUCAGGUCGUUCUGAGUCUAUCUCACCUCGUUCGCCUCUUGACGUCUUUGAUCCCACUUGGAAUAAUAAGGGAUUGGUGGAGGCUAGGUUUACAGAAAGGGGUUCCAGCAGGGUGAAUGGUUUAAAAUAUCCACGUAGUCUGCUUGGGAUAUUUCAACUUAUUUAUAAGUUCUCUAGUCAAGAUCGGGGUGCCUACAAAUAUAUUAAGAAAAGUAGAAAUAGUGAUCCAAAAAAUUUAUUGUUGAAGCCAUUGCAUUAUAUUUAUUUAUUAACAAUUUAUAUGAAAAUUAUUGGAAGGCAAUUGCAAACUAAAAGAAAUACUUAGAAACUCACCUCUAGUUGCCGGCAUAACUUAGAGCACUGGAUAAAUUAAAGCAUUACCUUGCGUACCUAAAGAAAACUUAGUGAUUUAGUACGUUAUCGUUUGGUCUUAUUAGGAAAAGCAUUGGAUAGCGCAUUACCUUGCCUACCUAAAGAAAACUUGAGUGAUUUAAUACGUUACUGUUAUGGUCCUAUUAGGAACAACAUUAGGUUGUUAUGGUUUGGCAUGAGAGAGAGGGAGAGAGAGAUACACAUCAGGAUCAGACCAAUCAUUGAUCCGGUGUAGGAUAUGGUCAAGUGCAACGGGUUUGACUGGAUUAUAAAAAUACUAAAAAAAACGUCAAUAGUGGUUCAAUAGUGUGCAAUAUAUUAAAAAAAAAGGCAGACUGGUGGACACCACUGUUCGUACAGGCCAAAAGGCCCAAAAGGCAUCAAGCACUUUUUUAAGCUAUUUUUUUUCUAAAAUUUAAUGCUUUCGACCAGACUAGCCAAAAGACCUAAAAAUAAAAAGAUAACAUGAGAAGGCAUGCAUGUGUGUGAGAGAGAAUAGAAAUGAAAGCAUUAUGGAAAGAUGAACCUCUUUUUAACGCCACGAGAGUGGGGGUGAUUGUUCUAAUAAUGGUAAUAAAUAUCUAUGAGAAUAAGAAAAGGAGAGAUAAUAUAAGAGAAUUGGAAAGUCACCACCAUAAGAAGACCAACGUAAGAAGAGAGAAUGAACCCCUUAAAAACACCACCUAGUCUUAGGGAAAAUAUAGCCGUACACUCUAAUUUGUUUUACUAUUUUUUCACAAGAGACCGAGGGUUUUAAAAAUUUUCAUGCCGCCUAAGGAGUCCAAAUAAUAUAUCUUGUAACCCUUGGAACCUAUUCAACCUUUUUUACGGCACAUUUUUAGCUCAAAAAAAAUUUAAAAUGGCACAUCUAUCUAUUUCUUUUCCUUAUCUCCAAACAUGUCUCUAUAACGUCUUUGCCUCUUGUAAACAUCUCUCCUAAAUAGUUGGGUUGUACAUGCAAUUGCAAAAUAUUGCCCAUAAAACUUUAUCUCAUAACAUCAAAGAUUGGAAGAUGAUAAUAUAAUAUAUUUAGGAGAGAGGGGUUUAAGAGAGAGCAGUUUAGAUGGAAGUGAAAGAAAUAAAAAAUGUGUCAUUUGAAAUUUUGUUGGAUAAAAAAUGUGCGGUCAAAAGGGAUUAUUAUGGUACAAGGAGUUAAAAGAUAUAUUAUUUUGAAUAUCCAUGCAACCAUAAACUUUUAUGGUACCCAAAAUGGGGAGUACAAAGAUAUUUUUUCUAUUAUUUAAUUUAGAGGAAAUGAAGGAGGGAGAAAAAAUGAGAGUGCGAGCAUGUGAAAGAGCGCUGGAGAGAGAACAAAAUUGAGAGAAUUAUGAAAAGAUGAGCCCAUUUUUUAUUUUUUAUUUCCAUAAAUAGUGAUAAACAUAGUUACCAAAAGUUUUGUUAGCAAGCCUCCAUUUAAAACACAAUUUUUUUCAAAAAAUCACGUUUUUGUAAUGGAAACUAUGUAAAUCGGACAGGCUAAAACAAGUCCAAUACUGGCUUUGUUUUUCACCAAAUUUGGUUUUUACUCUGGCAAAACUGACCAGGGUACAAGUCAACGGUUUGAUCAGUCAGACCACAAGUCUGGAAUUUACAUAGUUUAAGGGUGCGGUUUGUAUGGAGGCUUAAAAUUCUUAAACUAUGGAAACAAACACAUACUUGUCUGAAUGGAAACAAGUAAUGGAUGUAUAGCUUAAAAUUUUGAAUGUCUAUUCUAUAAGGGUGCGGUUUGUAUAGAGUCUAGGCUCUAAAUAAUCAACUUAAAGGCUACCUUCAAAUAGAAUCAAGAAAAGUGGCUUCAAUACUGGAAAUCUUUGUGAUAGCCUUAAAAUAUAUUUUAAUUUUAAUUUAUAAAGUUUAAAGCUUCAAAAAUAGUGUAGAUCGACAUUUAUAAAAACAUAAAAAUCUUGAAAUUUUACGGUCUAAUAAUGCAUUACAAAAUAUACUAUUUCCAAAACCUGAAAUCCAUUUGCUUCUCAUGUGCUUGCAUCUUGAGGUCGAGAUGAUCAUUUUGAGGAUAUUUGAGCAUCAAAAUAACGUUAUCUAGUAAAAUUUUUGAGGUAGGCUCUAAUUUGAUUAUUUCGAGCCUCGGCUCUAUAUAAACUUUUCCCAUUCUAUAAACAUAGGAAAAAACUCAAUAAAUAUUAUAGAAAUUACAAAAUAUAAAUUGACCAAAAUAUCCCAUAAUAUUACAGGGGUAUUUUGAUCUAUUUAUUUUUGUAAAAUAAGUUUUUCAAUAUUUUUAUUAUUAGGGAUUGAUGAGAAGAGUGAAUUCUCCAAAUUUUAAAUGAUUUGAAUUUGUAAAAAAAAUAUUAAAUUUAAAUAACAAUGACAAUCAUGAGUGUUGGGUUUACACUAUUCUAUCAACUAGUGGGCUGACCGGAUCUUUUUUUCAAAAAAAUAUUAUUUUUUACCAGUUGAGAGAGAAAGAUUAUGGAUAAAUAAAGAGGAUAUGGAUAAAAUUGUGAAGGGACAAACAAAUAAGAAGGGAAAAAAUGAUCUCUUAAGGAUAAAGGUCAAAAUAAUAAAAAGGGGCAUCGUCUUCCUCAAUAUAUAAAAUCGAUAUGUAAUUGAUGGACAGUUAGAUUUAUGAAUAAGGAAACUCACACGAUGAGUUAUUUCUUAAAAUUGUAUUUAGGGCUGACAAUUUAUCCGAUUUGAUUCAAAACCCAAAUUGCGGAUCCAAUUCGGAAUAGUAAUUCGGAUCGGUUUCAAUUUGAAAUAAAAAUUCGGAUCCUAUAUGAUUUGGAAUAGUAAUUUGGACGGGAUUCGAUUCGGAAUAGUAAUUCGAAUCUAAAAUAUCGGAUCCAGAUUUGGACCCAACAGGUUGGAUCUAGAUCCAAAUCUUGGAUUUGAAUAGUAAUUCGGAUCGAAUUCGGGUACAAUGGAUCCAAUCUAGAUCGGGCCUGGUUAUUGAAAUACUAUGUGUUAUUUUGUAUAGGGUGCGGUUUGUAUAGAGCCUAUGCUCUAAAUAAUCAAAUUAGAGCCUAUCUUCAAAUAGUGUCGAUAAAUGUGGUUUCAAUAUUAGAUAUCUUUGUGAUAGCCUUAAAAAAUAUAUUUUCAUCUUUAUUUAUAAAGUUUAACUCUUCAAAAAUCAUGAAAAUUGACAGUCAGAAAAUGCGUCACAAAAUACCAUAUUUCCAAAACUUAAAAUCUAGUUUUUUCUUAUGUACAUGCAUCUUGAUGUCGAGAUGAUCAAUUUGACGAUAUAUAGGCAUCAAAACAACCUCUUCUAGUAAAAUUUGUGAGAUAGGCUUUAAUUUGAUUGCUCAGAGCCUCAACUCUAUAUCAACUUUUCUCUUUCGUAUAAAUACCUAAAUAUUUACUACAUAGCAUUCUUAAAUAUAUAUUCUACAGAAUUUUUUUCUAUAUAUUAUUUUAUAGAUAUAAAAUAAUAUUUAAUAUAAUUUUUCUGGAUAUGAUCCCAUGUAUACUUUUUGGAUCCGAAUUUGGAUCUGAUUGGGUCUGUGUACAGAUCUAGAUCCCAUGUAUACUUUUUGGAUUCAAAUCUGGAUCCCAGUUGAUCCAGACCCAAUCCGACCAAUUUUCAGCCCUAAUUAAAUUAGGAAAAAGUUUAUAUAAGGUUGCAACCUUAAAAUGUAGAACUACGGAUGCACCUCAAAAAUCCAUCGGAAAAGGUUAUUUUAAUGUUGAAAAACCCUGUGAUUGAUCAUCUUGAUAUCUAGAUAGAAACCUAAAUCGUUGCUGGGGGGAAAUAAAUGGAUUCGAGAUCUUAAUAAUAUAUUAUUUAAUAUUUUUCAGUCUUGUUGCCAUAAUCCACUGAGAUUCAGCUCUAUGUUACCACGAUUUGUUAAAAUGUUAAAAAAAAAAAAAAAACAUUAUUGUAGUUUAUGCUUGUUUAGUUAAGUUUUAUGCCGACCAUAACAUUUUUAUGCUUGUUUUGAACUGCAAGAUCAUGGAUCUAAAGCAAAAAAGCAUAUAGACUUGGGAUGUGUUCUUUACCUUCGAGAAAUUUUAUUAUGGAUCUUGUGUCUAGUCAAUGACACAUCUCCAACCGCCCGAUUUCAUAUUUAGCGACCUUGUGCAUAGUCACGUGGGUUCACACUUUUUAACGAUGGCAGACACGCAAUAACUGCAAUUGAAUACAUAAAAGUAUAAUGACCAUUUGUGUGUGAUCCGACAUAAAAAAGGAGUAGUGGAUUUAAAAGAGGAAUUUAUGACGAGAUAACGGCUUAAAGAAAUUUUCAAAGAGAAAUUGAAAUAAAUAAAAUAUAGUUCAAACCAUAAUUAUCAAGACCGAACCAUACUGGUAGUCCGACCAAUAGAGCCCUAUUUCCUUGACCAUAGAAGAUUAGAAACAUUCAACAGGAAAUUGGACUUGUCUCUAAAGUAAACAAUAGAAGGAGACUGAGAAAAAUAUCAACUUGGGGACCCAAGUCCUAUUGUAUAAUGAGUUUGGAGUGGCGAAGAUUUAGUUGAGAACUCAAAAGGUGUACAAGGAAACUAUUUACUUUCGAUAUAUCACUUUUAUCCCUCGAAUCUCAAAUAAGGUGAUGGAAAGAGUGCUAUCGACUAGACUCGAAGCUAAAAAAAGGUUUCUGGCUCUCAAGCUAUCCAAUUUCUUUUAGUGAGUGAAAGUGAUAAGUCAUAAGGGAUUUGGGCCUUAUCUUUUUGGUGAGAAUGGACUCAAAGAACUCAUCAUUGAACUUAACAAUACUAUUAAACUUAAGGUGCAGUUAACACGCAGAUGCAUCCGUAGCUGUAGAGGUAAGGUGCACUUUCAAAUUUUAUCAUGGUAUAUAAUUUUGAUGUAAAAUGUUCUUAGGAUUAUCUCAAAAUCUAUUUUUGUAUCUAAUUAUAAAAUUUUAAAUUUAAAAAAUGAUUAAAAUCAAGUACAUUUAUAAACAUAUGAAAAUCUUAAAAUGGACGGUGCAGAUAAUAUGUUGUAAAAUGCACUAUUUUUGAGACUUAAAAUCUUUUUAUUUUUCAUGGUCAUACAUCUCGAUGUCGAGAUGAUCAAUCAAAGGCCCUUUCAACAUUAAAACUACAAUUUCCAAUGGAUUUUUGAGGGGUAUCCGUAGUUCUACAAUAUAAGGUUACAACCUUAUAUAAACUUUUUCCUUAAACUUAUCAAAAGAACUUUUAAGAGAUUGUAUACUAUCUAUCAAUGUUAAAAAGGAGGGUAUGGUUUCUAUAAGGUUGCAACUAUAAACAAUUCAAUUUAGACACACCUCCAAUUUGUAUCAUAAAAUGUAAUUUUGGUGAAAAAAAUUAUUAAGAUUAUCUCAAAAUCUAUUUUUAUAUCUAAUUAUAAAACUUUAAACUCAACAAAUGGUUAAAAUCAAGUAGAUCUAUAAACAUAUGAAAAUCUUGAAAACGGACCGUCUAGAUAAUGUAUUGCAAGAUGCACUAUUUUUGGGACUUAAAAUCUCUUUUGUUUUCAUAUUCAUACAUCUCAAUGUCGAGAUGAUUAAUUAGAGGGUUUUUUUAACAUUAAACAACCUUUUUAGAUUGAUUUUCAAGGUGCGUAUGUAAUUCUACAUUUUAAGGUUGCAACCUUGUAUAAACUUCUUCCAUGUUAAAAAGGAAAAAUUACAUACAUAUCCGUUAUACUUUGUGUUAUUACAUAUAUACCAAAUAUUUUAUGUUAUUACAUGUAUGUUCAUUUAAAAAAUACGACUUUAUCUUUUUUCGGAUGUUGAUUAACCGAAUUUGAAAGUUUUUUAGAUGUUCAAUAUUCGAAAAUAUCACAUUUUCGGAUAUUCAACAUCCGAAAAUGUGAUUGCAUAAUGUUUUUGGAAUUUUGCAGUCACAUUUUCGGAUGUUGACCAUCCGAAAAUAUAACAUUUUCUGAUGUGGAACAUCUAAAAAUGGUUUCGGAUGUUGGAUAUCCAAAAAUAUCAUAUUUUCGGAUGUUCAUCAUCUGAAAAUAACUGUAAAUUUCUAGAGACCUCUAAUAUUUCGACGUAUUUUCAAAUGUUGAACAUCCGAAAAACCCUCCAAUUCGAUUGUUCAAUAUCUGAAAAAGAAUAAAGUAAUCUUUUUUUAAAAAAAAUAUUUUAAAAAGUAAAAAACGAUUCAUGUAAAGUAUAAUAGGUAUUUAUAUAAUUUUUAUAAAAAAUAAAUUGUAAAUAGAAUUCAUUUGCCACACGCUGCGCUAGAUUCCUUUUAAAAAUAGCCCCACAUGUUAUCUAUAAGAUAAGGUUACGUGUCUAUAUUCUAUUAGCGUACAAACAUUAAUGAUUAGGACAGCGCGGAUAAUGGCUGAACUUUACCCAGCACACACUUUUGGCUGCUAGCCGCUCCAGUGUCAUUGUUUCUUGAGAGGCUCAACUAUUGCUUCAGAAUGGACCCACUUCUCCAUUAUUUGUAUUUCUCGACAAAAAAAAGUGACAGUUUACAAGAUAUGUAAUGUGAUAGCGAACUCUCGCACAAAAGAUUUCAUGCAAGAGGAAAUGGGCAUGUCAAUCGGUGGGCUCCAUUAUUGUCAUCCACCCCCCAUACAAUCCCUGACCGCAUUCGACCAUUAUUGUCAUCCACCCCCGAUACAAUCCAUGUCCUGAUUCGAUUUGGUCUCUGCUUUCGAUGUGUAUAUCAAAUGAAGGCCAAGCAAUGGAAUCCCAAUCGAUCGCUGGACGGAGAGAGUGGUCUCUUAUUUUUUUUUGUUAAAGUAUUAGAAAAUAUUUUUUUAAAAAUAUUAGAAAAUAGUUUUUAAAAAUAUUAGAAAACAUUUUUUUAAAAUAUUUGAAAACAUUUUUUUAAAAUAUUUGAAAACAUUUUUUUUAAAAUAUUAAAAAAUAUCUUUUAAAAAUAUUACAAAAUAUUUUUAGAAAAUAUUUUUUGUUAAAAUAUUAGAAAACAUUGAGUGGUCUCUUAUUUUUUGGUAUGGUUUCUAUAUGGUUGCAACUUUAAACAAUCCAAUUAAGGUGCAUCCCUAAAAUUUAUCACAACAUGUAAUUUUGGUGUAACAAUUAUUAGGAUUAUCUGAAAAUCUAUUUUCAUAUCUAAUUAUAAAAUUUUAAACUCCAAAAAUAGUUAAAAUCAAGUAGAUUUAUGAACAUAUGAAAAUAUUGAAAAUAAAUGGUCUAGAUAAUGUGUUGCAAGAUGCACUAUUUCCAGGACUCAAAAUCUUUUUUUUUUUUGGUCAUAUUCAUACAUCUCUAUACCGAGAUGAUCAACUAGAGGGUUUUUCAAUGUUAAAGCAACCUUCUCAAAUGGAUUUUUGAGGUGCAUCUGUAUUUUAAGGUUGCAAUCUUAUAUAAACUUUUUCCCUUAUUUUUAUUGUAAUUUAACAAUAGGCCCUUCUUAGAAUUUUAUUUCAGGCAACAAAUAAAUCUUUGGAAAAAAUUAUUAUCAAAUCCCCUCACUCCUCUAUCCCUUUUCCUUUUCACCUUAUCUUUCUAUUAGAAUUGCCAUCACUAAUUUCUUUAUAGGAAAGAGUAAAGGGAUUGUAUAUAAUGAGACCAUUUACUCACAAUUUCUUAUAACCAUCUGAUGUGAAAUAUGAUAAUUUGAAUGUGAUACAAACUUCAAGAAAAAAUCUUUUAAAGUUUGAGCUUAGUCAAUAGAAUAAAUGUAACAAUUCAAUUUUAUAUCCAAUAGUCAAUAUUACUUAUGACCCACCCAUACCCCUUGGGUGAGAAUUGCCACAACGAAAGAUAGAGAGGAGAGAGAAGGUCCACAUGAGAGACUGGUGAAGCGUUAGCUGAGAAGUAUAAAAGAGGGAGGAGAAGAAAAAAUACUUAUUCCUUAUAAUGAAAUUAUUAAGGGUGCGGUUUGUAAUUUGGUUCAAAUAGGUACACAGACAUAAAACUGAAAAAGCUGAGGGUUGAACCUCAAAUGUCAUUUUAUGUACAAGAACAAUACUAAAAUUUAGCCAAAGAUAAGGCUUGGAGAAAUGACCCAAAAAAAGAGACUUUUGUUCAAAUGGGUCUACUGCCUGUGAAACUGAAACAGUUUUCAGCUAAGGGUUGAACCUCUCUACCCCCCCCCCCUCCCCUGCCUUUCAAAAUAUUGGAUCUGCAUGCAAAAAUUAGCCAAAUUUGUAGUGUUUUGGUUUGGAUACAAUAUUCGGGAAGCAUUGCCGAUAUUGUUUCUUAUAAUAAAUAAAAGAACUCGAAAAAAGCAUUUCAUUGCUAGUGUAGGUACAACACAACACACUCCAAUCCUAAGAGUGAUCCAUCUUAGUAUUGUUCUUGUACAUGAAAGCUUAAUUUUGGGGUAAGCUAAAUAUUUUUGGAAGAAUUUAAAUCCUUCUUACAGAGUGAGUGUGGUGGCGCAUGUGCUUCCCCAUGAGAUCCAAAACUCUUCUUGCACAUGCAUGCUUAAGUUUACAAUUUCAGAGAAAGAGAGAGCCCUUUUGGUUGAUGAAUACUGAAAAUUGCUCAUACUAAUAUUUAACCACUUUCCAUGUUGCAGAUUGAUUACAUUAUAGGCAAGAACCCGCGAAAGAUGAGCUAUACUGUGGGUUUCGGAAACGACAACCCAAAACAUGUGCGCCAUAGAGCAGCUUCAAUCCCUAAGAACAAGAACAAGUACUCUUGCAAGGGUGGGGCGAAAUGGGGAGGGACACGCCCAAGCCUAACCCAAACACACUUGUGGGGGCAAUGGUGGCAGGACCCAACAAGCACGAUGGUUUCAAAGAAGUAAGAGGAAACUACAAUUACACCGAGCCCAUUCUCGCUGGUAAUACUGCCUUGGUGGUUGCUUUGUUUGCUCUCUCCGGUGAGUCACAUUCCAUCGACAAGAAUACAAUCUUCUUUGCGGUGCCACCGAUGUUCCCUACUCCCUCGCCACCUCCGGCUCCUUGGAAACCUUGCGACAGAGACAGAGAGAGAGAUAUAGAGGGAGAGAGCCACCACAAUCCUUUUUAGGAUGGUGGUGUUUAUUUGUUCUUAAGCUAGAAAGAGAGGGGGACUAGAAAAUGAGGAGAGGUUACAUGGGGUCUCUGAUGUUGGGGGUUUGCUUGUUCUUAAUCUUUAUUGCGUUCAUAGUUUGUAGGUACAAUAUUCUUGAUUUUUUCUCACUCUUUAUGAGCUCAAUGUGACAUAUAGAGUUAUAUUGUGUCUUUGCAACUAGUUUUUGACUCCCCAAAGAGGGAUGCUAAUGAUAAAAGCAUUAUGAAAUUUGUGCUCCUCCUUUUGUGUAUCUGGUUUCAAUAUUUGCGAACUCUUUUUAAGUCAUGGGACUCUCAUUUGAGCAAGAUUUCUAUAAAGGUCCAAAAAAGAUGCAUAAACUAGAAGAUAUUAGACUUGAUUUGAUUUGUAUGCCAUUCCAAAGCAGAGCAUUUGGAGUCUUUCAUCACCUUGAUUUUUAUAAGAUACUUGUGAUCUUGUGCAGUUUUGGCCACUUCAAAAACUACCCAAAACAUAUUUUGUGGUUGUUUUACUAUUGCCAGCAGUGACUGCUUGAGAUGCACAAGUGCGCUAUACAUUGGGUAGAAAAUCUACUUGUUAGUAUUUGUUUGAUCUAAAAUUUUAGGAUCCGAUACGGAAUCACUAGAAUGUUCUUUGCAAAAAUAACUGGACAUUAUAAGCACUUAGAUUUCACUGUCCAAAUACGUUCUCAGCAAUGAAAACUGGACAUUAUAAGCACUUAGAUUUCACUGUCCAAAUACGGGUUGAAUUCCAUUCGAUCUUGGGACAUUAUAUUUUUAGGCACUUAACAAAAUGCUUGUGAAUUCUUUUUUUUUUUUUUUUUUUUCUUGAUGAGGAUGGUAGUCUUGAUCAAAAGGAGGAUCCAAGCAUCCCACCUUUGAGGGAUAUGUGGAUGAUCUCAAUGAAAUGAGCAUGGAAAUUUGCUGAAAAAUGCAUCAAAAACUCCUUGCUCAUUUUAGCUAGAGAAAUUCAUGUAGCUUGGGCUUAUAGUUUAGCAUCCAAGAGCAGGAAAAAGUAUAUAUAAGGUGCCAACUUUAUAUUGUAGAAGUAAGGCGCGCUUGAAAAAUCUAUCUGAAAGGAUGUUCAGAUAUCAAAACCCUAUAGUUAAUCAUCUUGGCCUUGAGAAUGUACAUUUAACAAAUUGAAAGACUCACAAUUAGCGAGACAGGCUCUAGUGAUAAUAUAUAGCAUUUGAUAACAAUUUAAAAUACAUUCUACUCAUCUACAAACCUUUCAAGAAAUAGGUUGACAAAUUAUUGCCAUAGUGAUAAUACAUUGCAUUUGAUAACUUUAAUAUUACAUACAAUUCAUCAACUACCUACCAAAUUGGGUAGUCCAUUCAAUAACAAAAUUGUUCAUAUAAAGUUUAGUAGUCCUGCCCAUUAUCAAAUAAUGGUUCGUUCCUUGUAUCCAAUCACCUUACAUAUCACCUAACAACCCAAAAAGAAGUGAAAUGAGUACAAUGGUAUACAACCUAUAUCUUUGUUUUGAGCGAAUGACAUAAAACCUACAUCAAUAAUGCCAAUAGUUUAACAACAAAAUUUUCAAAAAAAAGAAGAAGAAAAGCAACAUAGCCCCUCCUUUGGAGUUGUUCCAUAUGAAUUUGUCCUCUCUGCCUGAGACAUAAAACACAUUUUGAUGAGUGACAAUAGUGUUCCAAAUGAAAUUACAAAUAUGAACUUACACGCAUAUACAAAUGUUUCAAAAUGAACUUGCACACAUGACUUUUAAACAAUUUCUUCUUACCAUCAACUCACAUUUGCUGCUUUCUUAAGGGUCCGAAGCUUAUGAUGUGUUUUGUCCAUAGCGCUGUAAGAGGAAGAUAAAAUUGUAACAAAUAGAUAUUACAUACUUGUGAUAUAAACUCAAUGCAACAGGGGCGAAAAAACCCAAUGGCCAAAAACAAAACUACAACAAAAAAGUAAAAAGGGAAAGAAAAUGGGAGAAAAAGACAAUUGAAAAAAUAAAUAAAUGUUUGCAAUAGAUGUAUUCUAAUUUCCAAGAGUAAGUGAUUCAUUAUAUGGUACAUCAGAUGCCACAUGAAGAUAUUGAACAGAAAUAAGAAACUCAAUUUAUUUCAAUUUUAAUAAUACCAAUCAUGCAUUCAGCAGGCCACAAGUAACAUUUUAACUUGUAAUUUUAUAGCGUGCACUAGCAGCAUGCAUUCAUCAUGCCGCAAGUGACAUUUUCCGCAAUUGUAGUUCGAUACAAAUUUAAACAUCAACCAUCUUGGCCUAAAAAAGGAUUACUGAUGGUAAUUAAAAAUAUUAUACAAGUAUCCUGAUACUCAUUCCCCUUCAAUGGAAUCCAUUUUUGUUUCCAUUGUUACUAUGAAAGAAUUGGUAAGCCAUUAAACAGUCUUGUCCUUUGUUCCCAAACAAGCACAUUUCUUACAAAAUUCAACCAAUAUUUUAUGCCACAUUCAUAUAAUAUUCAUUUAGGAAAUAAGGUAGCUAUGGACGGGGAAGAGUAUAUACAAAUAGAGAUAAUCUAAACUUUUAUUAAUUUUAUAGUUUAUUUUUCAAAAAAAGAUACUUUUGUGGGGCAAUUUUGUAAAUAUUACUAUACGACAAAAAGUACUUUUUUCAUCUCCAUAAAAGGUAAAAUUGAAAUUUUAACUAAAAGACAAAGGUACUCUACAAAUAAAGUUCCAAGACACCAACUUCCAAAAUGUCAAUGCAUUUUUGUAAAAAUUUUGAAUUUGCCCUUACUUAACCUAUUUAAAUAAUCUUUUUAUAAAAAAAUAAUCAUUGUUUUGGUAAAUAUACCCAUCACAACCCUUUCUAACAUGAACCUUUGUAUUUUGAGGGGUUGUUAUCUCUAGACAAACUCUAUAUAUAAAUAUAUACAUUAUUUUUUAUUUUUAUUUCUUAUCUUAUUUGGGGGAGGGCCCAAAAAUAAUUUCCAAGCCAAGCGGCCGUUUCCAGGCGGGCCAAAAUUUCGGUCAUUUUGUCCGCUCCAACCCAACGUGUUAAUGAAAAAAAGAGCACGAGGGUCUAUAAAGAGGUGAGCAAGAACACGAGGGUCUAUAAAUAGGUGAGCGGGGUUCGCCAUGAAUCAAGAUUCCAAGCAUCAUAGAGUGAAUAGAGUUAGAGAAUGGCUCCCUCUGUUGCUGCAGCUCUAAUUCAACCCGUAGAGGCUCGUCCGUCCAUAGGUAAAAUCAAAUACUUAGAAAAUGUCCCACUAAUCGAUCUAGCUCCACUUCAAAUGCCCCAAAAUUCCUCCAAGGAGGAUGCCAUCGCUAGUAUAGCUAAACAAGUGCACAAUGCCAUGAAAGAGUGGGGCUUCUUUGUAGUAGUUAACCAUUGUCUGUCGCCUGAUCUCUGGUCUAAUCUGAAGAAGGCUAUGGCUGGUUUCUCAGCUUUGCCAUAUGAGGAGAAGAAGAAGGUGGCUAGAGAUCUAAGGAACCCUUGGGGUUACAAUGACAAGGACCACACCAAGAAUGUCCAAGAUUGGGUUGAAGUUUUCGAUUAUAUGUCAACGGAGGAGCUCGAGAUACCGCAGAACAUGGAGCCCGACUGUAAGGAGACCAAAAUUAUGGGGAACUUGUGGCCAGAAAAGCCGGACGAUUUCAAGUAAUAUACUCUCUCACACACACACAUCCAUAUGCUCAUCCUUUCUAUCUCUCUGUUUAAUGUUAGUGAGCACAUCUUCUCUCACUCUCUCUAGGAUUUUCGACUACAUCUUCUCUCUCCCUCUAGGUUGUUCAUGCCUUCUUUUAAGCUAGAACAUCUUAAAAGUGUGCUUGCCUAUUAUGUAUGCUGGAGCACCAAAUUUGAUUUUUUUAAUACACUCAAAUAAGAUCCUCUUUGGGGAAUUUUUUUGAAAAAAAAAAAAAACGAAAAGAAAAAAAAUAAAAGAUGAGAAAUCUCUCACUAAACCCUAUGACUUCUCCCUCUCCCAAAGGAAAAUAUGCCAGGACUUCUCCCAAGAGAGCGUCAAGUUGAUGUAUCAAUUGAUGGAGCUCAUUUCUCUGAGCUUGGGCCUCCCAUCUGAUCGAUUGCAUCGCUAUUUCGAGGAGAACGUGGCCUAUGUUCGCAUAAAUCACUACUCACCGUGCCCACACCCAGAUUUGGCCUUGGGCAAAGGAGCUCACAGAGAUGGAAGUGCAUUCACCCUUUUAACCACUGAUGAGGUUAGUGGAUUCGAGGUUUAUCGAAGGUCAGACGGUCAGUGGCUAAGGCUUAGGCCCAUACCCAACUCUUACAUCAUUGUUGCCGGUGAUGUUCUUCAGGUAUGCAUUAUCAAGUUCGUAGGGCUGGCAAUGGACCGAGCAGACCGGCCUGGCCCUAUAAAAGUAGGGCUUGGGCUAAGAACUAUGGCUCCACGGCUGGCCUAGGGUCAGUAGUGCCUGGCAUGGCCCUCUUGCUUUUCUUUUUUUUCUUCUUUUUUUUGGUUUUUUGGCCCGUCCCAGCCCUAAGAGAGACAGGGUUAGGCGGCUUGGGCCAGCCCAAUGGGGGCAAGGCCGAUCCACAGCCAAAGAUGGCCCACUUGGGCUGCUACUGCCCCUUUUUCUCUCUCUAAAACUACGACCCCACCUUUGCUUCUCCUUUUUUUCUCUCUCUAGAAUGGGUCAGAUCAGGUCUGAAUCUACCGGGAUCUAUUUUCAACUCCAAAAAGUAUACAUGAGAUCUGGAAUAUUUAUAACUUGGUCGAAUUUUGAUUGGAUCCACCAGUACUCGGAUCCGAUCUGAAUACUAUUCAGAUUCAAAUUUUGGACCCGGAUCCAAUCUGUCAGAUCCAAAUUUUGGAUCUAUACAUUGAUCCAGAUCAGAUCAAAAUUCAAGUUUUGGAUUCAAGUUGGUAAAAUCUCAGCCCUACGAGAGAGACAAAGUUAAAGAGAAUUUUGUGAGGGACUUUAGAGAGAGAAGGAGAGGGGGAGAAAGAGUGGGAGAGGACGAGUUAAGAAUAAGGGCGGCAAUGUGCUUGGUGGCCGGCCCAGCCCGGCCUGUUCGUAGUUUUCCCUUGAUUAUUUCUUUUCCCUUUUAGUAUCUUUCUUGAAGUGAUAAUGUUUUUAUGACCUGCACAGGUAUGGAGCAAUGACAUUUAUGAUAGCCUGCUCCAUAGAGUGGUCUUGGACUCUCAAGUUGAGAGGUACUCAGCCAUCCAUGUGGCUGCACCUUCUUACCAUUGCGUAGUGAAGCCAUUAGAGGAGUUGGUUGAUGAAAAUAACCCUGCAAAUUAUGGUGAAUACAAAUGGGGUGAAUUCUUCAUGACAAGGAGGAUCAGCAAUUUCAAGAAGUUGGACAAGCCUGUGAUUGAGGUUACUGACUUUAAAAAGUCCAAAUAAGCCAGUCUCAUUAGCAUAUCCUAAUUAAUUAAGAAAAUGCUAUGAUGAUGAUGAUGAAAUAAGCCACUUUCAUUGUGAGAAAUUAGAAGUUUGUAAUGCUUUGCUCUAUUGCUCUUGGUUCCUUUUUUAUGUUUCUACUAGUAAGUUCUAUCUCUAAUGUUUGUUCGAAAAAGUGAUUUUUGAUCCACAAACUACUAAGGUGUAGCUCUAACGUUUUUCUCUUUCUCUCUCUCUCUCACGUACACAAUGUGCAUCUCUCUCUUCUUUAUCAUAUAGGGUUGCCACUGAUAAGGGCCAGUAAAGCACAAAAACUCAUUUGGCACGGCCUGAAAAUUUGACUUUCUCUAUAACGUCUCUUUCCUGUAUAGAAAAACAUAUUGGGUGAAUGUGGCCAUUAAAGGCCUUAUGAGUAAUUGUAAAAUGAAAUGAUAUCGUGGAACAUGAACUCAGUGGAAAUGUGGUCCCCUGUGGACUAUACUAAGUAAACGAUGUUUACAGAUACCAAACUGUGCUUGACGGUCUAGGUCAGUCGGUUGGGAAAAACCUCUAUUACAUGGGCCUAAAAAAUUAACCGAUAAGAGUUUUAAUGGGUUAUCCCUUAAUGAGUAAGCCAAGGGAUUGUGUGACCCUUGUGUAUGAUGGUGGCCUUCAGAGACGGGGCCAAAGCCUCAUCCAUGUACCAUCACACGGCAUGCAUAAUGAUAUACCGUUUUGGAAAAACAAAUUACCUUUCAAGGUAAAACUUAUACAUGUGCGAGAGAUACCUCUAUGCGCCAUAUAUCUAGGUGACAUUGACACGUCUAUAGGGGAUAACCUGAAAUACAAAGAUAGGAAUUGCGACCUUUUGACUCAUCGAUCAAAUUUUGGUGACCCACCAAUGAGCUUCUGCAUGGACUGUGGACCAUGGGAAACACUGAGUCGAUUGAUAAAGAAAGUAUAGUCUACAAUUGAAGGUGAAAUGCCUCAGAUUAUUUACUCCUAGACCAUAUAGAUCCUUAUCACAUCUAAUGAAUUUAAUUGUGUUUAUUUUAUGAUGAUAUAAUUUUAGAAUUAUUAUUUAAAAUUUUUCUUGAUCUCUGGAUAUUUUAUUUAUAAAAUUUGGAUUUAUAAAAACGGAGAUAUUGAUUUUAAUGUUUUAAAUAUUCAAAUUAAUUCUAAAAUAAUUUAUUGAUUUUUAAAUAUUUAAAAAUAGCACUCGGGGCCAUUGUGGAUAUGGCCCACCGUGACCUAAAUUGGUGGGGGUAACAAAGCCCCCAUGGGUGGCAUGCUCUAAUUUUUGGGGCUUCCUAUUUUGAUGGGGUGACAAGCCUUAUUUUUAGGGGUUUCCUAUCUUAUAUGGGAUAAGUGGUUAAAGAAGAUUUGAGUGAAUCUUUUAAAAAGCUUGAUAAUGCUUGUGCAUAUUUUUGAAUAAAACACAAUAUUAUGAUUAAUAUUAUUUUAUUUGAUUUAUAUUGAUGGGAUAAUGGUCAAAUGAAAGAGGAGGAUAAAGGUUCUUGCACCUUCCAUAAUGUUGGUGAUACUUAAAUCUCUUACCCCAUAAGUCAUCCAAGAUCAAUGGUUCAUAUUCAAUCUCACAAAAAGAUGCAAAAGCCAAGGAAAACUUUAAAAAACCAUAACAUUGUUUAAAGCUUAUAAAAAUGGAUUGUCUCUACCUAACAUCUCUACACCUUAUCGUUUUAUCUCUUUCAUCUUUAAAAUCUCUCCCAUAUUGUGGUGAAAAAGCUGUUAUCUCUCUCCCACAUUGUGAAAAAGCCUAAGGGUUUAAGCUAUGUAGUUCAUCUCUCUCCCAUUUCUCAACUAUGGAUUUAUGGCUAAGCAUCUUAGGGUAUAGCAAAAAGAGAAUCCAUUUCUCUCAAACUAGGUUGCUAAGGGAAUUCACCAAGAGUUGGAGUUUGUAAUCAAAUGGGUUCAUGUUCUAUUGGUGUGACUUGGCCUAAACUUGUUUUCCAUGUUGAGAUUGAAGGUUGAUCAUUGAUCCCGUGCCAUUGGAUGGUGGUGACUCGGUGUGGGUUGUAAUAAGCCCGGUUGAGGAAAUCUCCAGCACUAUUUUUUUGUUUCUUGCUUUAGUUAAUUACAUUAUUUUUAUAUUCCCAAACAUAAGAAUUGUGGAUAUUUUCUUUGGUUAAAAGAAAAUUGGUAUAGUGGUAUCAAGGUUUUUAAGAUGUUGGAUUUGUUAGUUUUAUUUUAUUUGAAGCAAGUGUUAGUGUAAUAAGACUACUUGUAAAUGAUCUUUGCCAAAAGAAAAAGAAAAAGAACAGAAAAGAAAGGGAUGAGAAGAAAAAAACAGAAAAAAUUCACCUCCAAUAUCACAUUCGUCUUUCUUUCAAAAAAUUAUGGAGAGAGAAAUAAAGACGUACAAAGAGGUUUAGUAGACAACUCGGUGUAUCUUUUUAGCUUUUUUUUUGUGGUAAAAACCGAGCCAUCAAAAAGGAUAAAUUGGGUCUACGGGUUAGAAGAUAUGCUUUUCAAAGCACCUACACCACCAAAAAGUUUUUAAAAACCUUGGAUACCUAGGGAAUUUGUAUAACAAAACAAGGUGGACAGAGAUAUUUUCCCAUAAUUCAUCAAGUGUCGUUGGUUGGUCUUAUCCUGACCGUUAAUGUAUUUGUCCCAUGUGUGUGGCGAAGCAUCACUUUCUCUUAUGCCAUAGACUCACAUCUUUAUCUUUUUGUGUAUGUAAAUCAUUCAAAAACCAAAUCAGUACUCAAAAAAUUGAACUGACCUCAUAAACCUGCCAAUAACCAGUUUCGAAUGACCGGUAAACCAACCUGUUUAACCGCCCUUACUGGGCAGGUCCUGGCUAGUCCAAAAACGGUUAAUAAAUAAAAAAGUACAAAAAAUAUUAAAAAAUUUGAAAAGUAUAUUUAAGUAUGGUUAAACAAAGCACAUCCAAAUAAAGUUAAAAAUUAAUGAAAAAUAGAUUUUAAAUAAUUAAUUUGUACUUAGAGAUAUUUUUGAAAUGUUUUACAAAAACUAAUAUUUAUGGCCAAGCACAUUCCUAAUCUUUUCUAAAAUGAUAAAAAGCAGUAAAAAACAUAUUAGAAACAAAUCCCUUAUUUUAUUGGAUUUUAUAUCAAUGUUUCUGAUUUUUCUUAAAAUACCCCGCCGAAUCAUUAAAAGUGGCCGAAACGGCAGUACCUAGUUCCAAUUUGGCUGACCGGUUAUCAAUCGGACGCAUGGGACAAAUAUAACUUCUGCUUUUCACUUAUAUUACAGUAGAGAGAGACAAUGGACCACUAAUAUGGCUGGUGUGUGAGUGCGAUUUAUUAAAGUGGUUAACUUAAACAAUCAAAGUAAGGGGUACCUUUAAACUUUAUUGGAAGAUAAAGUGCCGAAAACUCCUAUAACAGCUAAAAGUUUAUUUUUUUGCCCUUAUAAAAUUUAAAAUUUUAAAAUAGUAGAAAUUGAGCAAAUCUAUAAAUAAUAAGUCUUGAAAUUGGACAAUAUAUAUAAGGAUAGUAUAUCGUCCACGUAUUUUGGACCCUUGAAGGGUGCACAAGCACGCUUGCAAUGGAUCAGAUUGAACCGCAUAUCAUCCAAUGGCCCAAAAAUAGUUUCAAAUUUUAGUUUUUAUUUUGUCUAAAAAUGAUGCAUAUCUAGAAUUUAGUUAUGAAUGUAUUUCUAUACGGAGUACCUAAUAAAAAGAAUGAAAAAUACUUUCAACAAAAAAUUGACCAAAAUAUACUCUAAAAUAAUUUAAGGCAUGUUGAACACUUCACACAUAGAAAUACAUCAAUAUUCUUAAAUAAAAAUAAAAUAUGAAAUAUAAAACUCUAUUAUGACCAUUGGAUGCGGCUAUAUUUAAUCUAAACCAUUAGAAGGGUGCCACCUUUCUACCAUCCACAUUAUGUGGGGGGAGGCUUUCUCACUAAGAGGUUGGGGUGCAAAUCCCCAUUGACUUACCCAUUUUGGGAAGGGCUUGUUGAAUUACCGAAAAUAAUAAUAAUAAUAAUAAUGAUAAUAAUAAUAAUAAUAAUGUUGUGUUGCAAGAUGCAUUGUUUAUAAUAUUUUUAAAAGUUUUUCGAACAUUCACAUUAAGAUAAUGAUUUUCUAGUAUGAAAACAAGAUUUUACUUUCAAAUGAAGUUUUUCCAAAUAAAUGGACGUGGGGUUCGCAGUCUUUUGUAGGCGUUGGUGCAUAUCACCAUGUGUGGAGGACGCAAUUCUCUUAACCAGAUUUGUUGCAAUUGAAAGCGAUUUCAAUAAUGAACUCGAUAGGGAGAGAACCGUACUAGUUUGGUAAGUGACGAAUUUGUGAUCCCUCGCGAUUGGGAAAUGUUGUCCUUAUCCAUGUGGUGGUUAUUAAUUGAUAUAGCAUUAUCACAUAUGGUUAGAAUAACAACAGCUGCCCAUUGAAAAUUAUUGCUUUGUCCUUUAAGGUUUAAUUUAUGAUAGCUACUACAUAUUUUGUUGUGGCAAAAUUUACUAAAAAAAUGAAUGAUGUGGUCCAAAAGUUUCCAUUAUUGAGACUAGCAACCGGACUUUUUA
RNAcentral lists this long non-coding RNA (124917 nucleotides) under Amborella trichopoda. RNAcentral describes it as "long non-coding RNA (ATRI_LNC005111)". Lineage: Eukaryota; Viridiplantae; Streptophyta; Magnoliopsida; Amborellales; Amborellaceae. The record is from RNAcentral.